This 121500-nucleotide long non-coding RNA is filed under the name Setaria viridis. RNAcentral's name for it is "long non-coding RNA (SVIR_LNC007217)". The record is from RNAcentral. Lineage: Eukaryota; Viridiplantae; Streptophyta; Magnoliopsida; Poales; Poaceae.
UGCUCACAAUUAAUCCGACUACACACGAGCUUCUCUCCCUGGCCAAGACACAAUCAUAGUAUGAUGAAGAACAUGGCACUAGCCGGCAAUGGUAUGAAGAAGUUAAUCCUCGCUGUUCUCUUACUCUGUCUAGUUAUAGGGCAGAUACAAGUGGAAGCUAAGAGCUGCUGCCCAUCCACCACUGCAAGAAAUAUCUACAAUACCUGCCGUUUCGGGGGUGCAUCCCGUUCAAUGUGUGCAAAACUGUCAGGCUGCAAAAUUAUCAGUGGGAACAAAUGCAAGCCCCCUAACGACCACCUCACCCUUGACCCGGACACUGGUAAAUAAUAAAUUUAUCUCACUUGAUUUCUUCGUGAUUUGAGUCGUUAAUGUAUUUUCCAUCUGAUGAAACGUAUUGGUUUUGCAUUGAAGAGGAAGUUAAUGUGCUUAACUUCUGCAAGUUGGGGUGUGCGUCGUCUGUGUGCAACAACAUCAACGCUGGUAAGCACCUUUUGCUCAGACGGAGAAAACAAUAAUCAUUAAUUAGCGGCAGCUAGAAUCCUAUAAUCUAAUAUAUUUAUAUAUAUAUAUAAUUUUAUCAGCUCUGGGAAAUGAAGAGGCGAACGAUGCCGUUGAGAGUUGCGACCAAGCCUGCUCUAGCUUCUGCAGCGUGCAUGUUGGCAGCGCCACCGUGGUUGCUUAAGCAAAUGCAUGCAACUAGAUCGUCCUUGUGCUGAAUAAUUGGAUAUCGUAUCCACUUAAAGCUGCCUUGUGUAGUACGUCUUUGUUUGUGUCUCUCUUUAUAUUCCACUAAGGUCGGUGAUCUUGAUGCCACACACACUCAGAUGUGUGUUCAUCUCCAGAUACUACUCCAUGCUACCUGCCCUUUUUGUUUUGUUCAAUAACUGGGUAUCAUAUCCCGGCCAGUGUGCCAUCUAUUUUGUGUUUGUUUCCUUCUAGUUCCAAAGGGGUCAUCAUGAUGUUACCUUCUUUCGAUAUGGUGCUUUGCAUGACAACUGUUGUAUGGUACCAUCUUGUUGGCCAAUAAAUACAUCUUAUCCUAUGACCCUUUGCUAUGACCCUUUGCAAAUAAGUACAAGAUUGUUAUAAGCGUCAAUACUCAGUAUAAUUGAUCGCUGCUGUGAGUUCCCUUUCAGCUUAUCGUAGGCACACAUUAUUGCUAGCACGGUAAAGACAACCAACACGAAUGAUGAAGUAAACGUAGCGGUACUUUUGUAUACCAACACCCUUACUUAAAUGUACUGGUGUCAUUCCCUACUGGCACAUAUAUUCUUAUAUGCUAGCCAGAUUGGAAAAUUAACCAAUUAAAAUAAUUAUUUCAAGAUAGAAAUAACUUAUCGGCUUCUCGAAGCAUGUGUAAUUUUAAUUCAAGGACUCAAUGGAAGUUGAAUCACUUCAUCUAGAUUGCCUUCUGGAUUUUGGUUAACUAAAUUUAACAUUUGUGUCGGGGGGAAAUAUUAACGAUUUUCUUACGCUCUCUAAUUAACGGAUACAAGGGCUAGGGCCCACCCCUAAUACCCAUAAUCUCCGCUAACAACACAUCCCAGAGGCACUCCGCUCCGCCUCGCCCGACUUCAGGGUCGCAGGGUCGGACGUGCCCGACCCCCCAAGGCCUCGCCUCGUCUCAGCCGAUGGAGUUCCGCCUCGCCCGACCCUGAGCCCAACGGAUCGGACGCGCCCGACCCCUCGAAGCAGGACUCCGCCUCGCCCGACCCUGAGCGCAAGCGGUCGGACGUGUCCGGUCCCACCUGACAGAGCUCCGCCUACCCGAAGGUACGAGCAGGUCAUCAGACGGAAGCGCGGGCUCUGUGAGUCCCCCUGGGCUCACCCAACCGAUGGGACCGCGCAAGCUUCCAGAUACAGUUCUGACACAUGGAGAGGCGCCCGCGUUCCUCGACAUGACCUGUCAAAAUGUUGGUCUGCGCACUGCUGCCACGACUGCACAGGGCUACACCUGCACCGUCCUACCCCACUGUGACAUCUGUCAUAGGGCACUCAUCGCUCAUACCAUCUAAUGGAGGAGGGAAAACCGCCUAGUUUUCCACGUGGGCUAGCAAGAAGAGCACGUCAGCCACGCCGCCCCGUCAGGGUGCAUGGCUACAGUGGUUGACCAUCACCCGCGACGUGCACAGUCACAGUGGCCAGUCGUCACCACCAACUUGCACAGCUACAGUGGUCGGCCGCCAUGCACGACUCGCGUGUCCGGCUACAGUGACCGACCGCCGAGUCACCGAUGGGACCCAACGGCAACCCCUAUCCCUUAGUAGCAGUACCGACAAGACGCAGAGACAAGAAGGGAAGACGACGUCUCUAGUAGCCCCACUUGCUUCCCUUUUUACCUUUCUACCUGUUUACCUUCCUUACUCCCGGCUCAUUUGUAACCUCUGUAUCCUCCUUGCACUAUAAAAGGAGACCAGGGGGUCUGAGGGCAAGGGACCCUCGGAGACCGAACCCCGAAUUCACCCAAGUACAAACCAACCGAACCACCAGACGAGAAAGACUCACAGAGAUCUGGGAACCAGCUUCCCUCUCUCACCUAUUUGUAGCCUCUACUCCAGACUUGGUACGAGUAACACGAGCAGCCACCCGCACUGGACUCCUCCGCCAGAAACUGGUCCAACCAGUCGGGUCCCUCCCCCUGCUCUUCGUCCUCAUCAUCCUCAUCAUCGUCGUCCUCAUCCGUUGCCGUGUCUGGCCCCUCCGCAGCCUUCAGAACUCCGCUGCAGCUUUCUUUUUCUUCCUCACCGUCUCCUUGUCCUUCCUCUUCUUCUGUGCUUCGUCGAGGAGGCGGUUCCGCUGCCUCUGCACCACGUCCUCUGGCACCGGUGGACGGGAGGCUGUGACAUGGUUUAAGUUACCCUGCAGAUUCGAAGACUCCGCGUCAGAAUAGCAAACCAGGAAAUGCAGGAAAGAAGAACGAGAGUGCAAAUUUCUAACCAGCAGGACAUAGGCCUCGUCCGGGCGCAUCGGAGGGUGCCCCGGCACCGGGAACACGACAUCCCUGUCACCCAAUGCAUCCCGGACACGCUGCUCGAUCUCGGCGUCGGCAAUUGCACCCGUCGCAAGGACGGUGCUGUGGUACGCCCCAACAACUCCGGCCCCGGUCAGGCCCUCCUCCUUCAGAAGGUUGAUGGCUUCGAGGAGACCCCGGAUAUUCUUCUUCUCCUUCUCAACAGGGCCAUAUGUCCACGUUCCCGGUGCCUCCACGAUGACGCGGCCAGUGAACUCCGUCAAGAGGACAUCGGGGCGGUUCUUCACAUAGAGCCACUGCUGAUGCCACCCUUUGUGGGAUGACGGGGUCUUCAUCGAUGUAUACUCCUUGGGCCGAUGGCCACAGAGGUGGAUGCCGGCACACCCCAUCAGCAUCGGAAUCGUCCGCGUCUGGUUUCCUCUCUUCUCGGUCCUCUGAUGAAGAGUGACAGCGAAGAAGUACUUCCACAGGGCGAAGUUGGGCUCGAUCCCCAGGUAUCCCUCCCAAAGCACGACGAACGCCGCGAUGUGCUGGAUUCCGUUGGGGUUGAGGUGCUCCAGCUCAAUGCUAUAGUAGUGCAGCAGCCCCCGGAAGAAGCGACUUGGGGGAACCGCGAACCCCCUCUCGUGGAAGUGCGCGAAGGAGACGAUGUACCCGUCCUCCGGCUGUAGCACGGCCUUGUUCCCGGGAUACCGCCACUCGUUCUCGGCGAUCCUAUCGCGAAGAAGGCCCUUCUUCACGAGACCGAUCACGCGCGCGGUGUUGAAGAUUGACCAAGACCUUGAAUCCAUCGCCGAGGAAGGGGAAGGCUCGACGGCGGUGGUGGAAAGGUGAAUGCUCUGGCUCGAAAGAGGAUGAAAAGUGAACAAGGAGGCGAGAAAGGCUGAAGACGAGUGCGGAGCGGAGCAAGCAAGGUAAGCUCUCUCGUUUUACAGGGGGCGUGCGAGAAACGAAAGGCGAACCGAACGCAUUUAUUGCGACGUCAGGUAUGCCCCAUCGCCUCCGCCUUUCUUCGGAAACCGUACGCAUGAUUUCUUUUUAACCGCAGGGAACGCUACGCCCCCUCGCCCCACGAGCCCGGUGUUUUUUGCCGCUUCGUCUCCUGGAGGUCAUGCGCACAACUUCCUCCACAAGCGGCCCAGGGCCCGCUUCAGGUAAAAAAGGGAUACAGAGCUGAAAACACUCUAACGGCCCAUUACGGUCCAGGGGUUCGAAGGCUGGCCCUCUAGAGGGUUCGACAUCCACCCCAGGACAUUUCUUGAGCAAGGGGUGAGAAGGGACGGGUCCGCUAGCGACCACUACCCUGGUGAACAAAAGCCAAGGGCGUCCCGACCUCACAUUUGAGUCUCGAUUGGCGUUUAAGUUCAUGGUUUUUCCCCGAAGAAAGGCAAAGUGCCCCCGGAUCCGGUUGAACAGACCUGGGAACUAUAUGAACUGGCCGUCCGAAAUCUGGAGUACGCCACCAGCUUGGCCCAAGCCGGACCCGCCCGAACAGGGACCGGGACUCCACUCGAACUGACCCGUUAGCAGCUCACCGAGCACCAUGGUUCGUCCGAUGAGGAUAACAUGGCACGGCUCACCCCCUCCGUCCCAACGAACGGACGCUGAGGGGUAACGACUAAAAGACGAUCCGACCUCUCGAUCGGUCCCCUGCAAUGCGCGGGGGCUCGAGGGCUGGAAUCACAACGAAACGACCAUGCGCAUGGUUACGACUCGGAAUUUUGAGGCAGGAAUGGUCAUUGAAACAAUAGGGAAUCUUCCCAAACCGUACCAUCCUCAGAACACUCUGGCUACCCAAAACUCCCCGGCCAGGCCAAACAAGCAAAACUUUUCUCCUGAUCAAAUCAAGGUACAUGUUAAACAAGACCCCUGACAAACACUCUGCCGAGAGCCAAUCACAGCCUCUGGAGGAGCACCUUGCUCCACCAAAGGCUCGGGGCCUACUGUCAGGGGGAAAUAUUAACAAUUUUCUUACGCUCCCUAAUUAAUGGACACAAGGGCCAAGGCCCACCCCUGACACCCGUAAUCUCCACCAACAACACAUCCCAGAGGCACUCCGCUCCGCCUCGCCCGACUACAGGGUCACAGGGUCGGACACGCCCGACCCCCCGAGGUCUCGCCUCAUCUCAGCUGAUGGAGUUCCGCCUCACCCGACCCCAGGCGUAAGGGGUUGGACGCGCCCAACCCCUCAAAGCAGGACUCCGCCUCGCCCGACCCCGAGCGCAAGGGGUUGGACACAUCGGAUCCCACUAGACAGAGCUCCGCCUCGCCCGAAGGUAUGAGUAGGUCAUCAGACGGAAGCGCGGGCUUUAUGAGUCCCCCCAGGCUCACCUAACCGAUGGGACGCGCACAAUUCUAGAUACAGUUCUGACACGUGGAGAGGUGCCCGCGUUCCUCGACAUGACCUGUCGGAAUGUUGGUCUGCACACUACUGCCACGACUGCACAGGGCUACAACUGCACCGUCCUACCCCACUGUGACAUCUAUCAUAGGGCACUUAUCGCCCAUGCCGUCUAACGGAGGAGGGCAAACCGCUUGGUUUUCCGCGCAGCCUAGCAACUACAGCACGUCAGCCACGCUGCCCCGUCAGGAUGCAUGGCUACAGUGGUUGACCGUCGUCCGCGACGUGCACAGCUACAAUGGCCAGUCGUCACCACCAACUUGCACAGCUACAGUGGUCGGCCGCCAUGCACGACCCGCGUGUCCGGCUACAGUGGCCGACUGCCGAGUCACCAAUGGGAUCCAACGGCAACCCCCAUCCCUCAGUAGCAGUACCGACAAGACGCAAAGACAAUAAGGGAAGACGGUGUCUCCAGUAGCCCUACUUGCUUCGCUUUUUACCUUUCUACCUUUUUACCUUCCUUACUCCUGGCUCAUUUGUAACCCCUGUGUCCUCCUUGCACUAUAAAAGGAGACCAGGGGGCCCGAGGGCAGGGGACCCCCGGAGACCGAACCCCGAAUUCACCCAAGUACGAACCAACCGGACCACCAGACGAGAAACACUCACAAAGAUCUGGGAACCAGCUUCCCUCUCUUGCCUGUUUGUAGCCCCUACUAUAGACUUGGUACGAGUAACACGAGCAGCCACCCGCACUGGACGUAGGGCUAUUCCUGCCCGAACCAGUAUAAACCUCGCGCCCUCUCGUACAACCAUCCAAGCCUUACGCGUAGAGAAACAAAUUUACUAAGCCGGUAGUCUUGACCCGUGAUUCGUGAGACCGACAAUUUGCACAUACAAAUGUUAAAGUACAAAUGUUAAAUCUAGUUACCAAGCAGAAUACGAAAUAGCGGGCUAUAGUGAGGCUAUAGCGGCGCUAACUGCUGCAACAACAGUGUUGUACUAAUUAGCAGGCUAUAGCGGAGCUAUAGCGGUUGAGCACAGCUCUACGCUAAAUAUCAUAGCCCUCAAUUUUGUACAUUGUAUAUACUAUAUAAAUCUAGUUAACAUUUAGUCUAAAUGUUAAAUCGAGUUACCUAAAAUCCUGAAAGCAAAAUGUAUAAAUAUAUAUCUUUUAGGGUAGUAUAAGCUUCGAUUCCUUUUGCUGCUCUGUUAAAUCUCAUCUUUCGUUGUAGCCCAACACUCUAGUAUUGAUUUUGCACCAAGCUUCUUUGAGCCGCUCUGCCCUCUGAUUUUGCUGCGUAGGGGAAUCUUUAUCAGGUUGGGCUACUUCCAGUCGUGCGAUGUAUACCUUUGUAUCUUCUAGAAGGUAGACAGAAAACCCGCGUUCUCUUAAGGCAACAACCAGAAGAUUCUGCAGCGCACGGGGCAUAUCAUUGUUGUAGAAACGACCUUUAGUAUCGAUCUCCAACCCCUUAUAGUACUGGUUUUGCAACCAGUACCGUUAUGUCGGACCUUUAGUACCAGAUCAAAUAACCGGUUCUAAAGGGACUCCUUUAGUACCGGUUGGUAACCAGUAUCAACUUGUUUUGCGGCCAAAAAAAUAAAGAAAAAAAUAGCCAGAAGGCUAGCACACACACACAUCCCACGAAAUAUGCGCGUGCGCGGUCCAUGGGAUUCGAACCCAUGAAAUCAAGCUGCGCGCAACCCUUCGUUACCAUCUCACCUUCAGUACCGGGUCAUAACACCACCCGGUACUAGUAUCGGAUGCUGUAAUGACUCGAUACUAAAAGGCCUCUAGGGACCCUCAAAUUUGGACCCGAUACUAAUGCUAACAUUAGUACCGGGUCAAAGUGCAGCCAGUACUAAAGCAUGGGACGAAAGGUCAUAUUUCUAGUAGUGUAUAGUUGUUGUGUAGGACUGACUUGGCUGUCCUCUCUCUUCUCCAUCCCAUUGGUCUUACGCCGCCGCUCGCACGCGAGCCGGCACCCAACCAGAGGAGUGAGAGCUAGGGGCGGGUUGGGAGGUGGGGGUAGCGACUGGUGGCUAGGGUGAUGGUUGAUGUUGGCGGGGUUAGGGUUUCAUGGUUUUCAAGCUACCUACGGCCGGCGAACCUAGAGGAGGAGGUCGACAUCAGCUGCAACCCGCGGUGGUGGUGGUUUGGCCGGCGCCCCAGGCGAGGCAGCGUGGGAGUGCUGCUGGCGGGUUGGUGUUGGCGCUCAUUAUUGACACAUUUUUAGUACUAUUUUGUUCAUGGAAUAACACUCAAACGUGCUGGUGCUGCUGCCGCCAUCGCCGCCCUAGCCAUAAUAUAAAGGCAAAAUUUGCUAGAGGACAUGCAAAAUGAUGCUAGUUUGCUGGAGGGCACCGUUGACCAUGUAAUAUGCUACAAGACACUCUAGUUGUUCUAGAGUGUAUCAAUUUGCUGAAAGACAUUGCUACGACUAAAAUAAUGUUUCUGGACUGAGUUGGAGAGAGAGAUGGAGUGAAAUGUCUGUUUUGCCCAUGACCCCACUGAUCAGAUCCUUCUUCUUCCACCCUCCUUUCUUCUUUCUUCAACCAUUACCCAGCUCUAGUGUGUUGCAGAUCUACGAGGGUGGCGGCCCGGGGCGAGGGGCAUCGCUUGCCCUCAGACGAGCGCCGCGAGCGACGGCGCGGGGGCAGCAACGGCGCGUCGGAACCUGACCGUUCGUUAGCUCCUCUCGCUGCUGGGGAAGGAGGGGGAGGGGCCAUGGACGGGGUUCCCUCGAAAACCUUAGCCUCGAGCUCAGGCGGCUACGCGCAGGCAGCACUAGGCUCUUCGCGGGGAGGGGGCGCGGCCAAUCAUUGGCACCCCACUGGUCCAAUGCUGAUGAAGAUGGUGCCAGCGUCGUGAAGAUGGUGCCAGCGUCGUGUGAGGACCUCUCAUCUCCUCGAGUUCCAUGGCCAGCACAGGUGAGCGUCCGCUACCACAAAACAGAGGUGUCGUGAGAGUCAAAAAAACUCAUGAAAAUAGCUAAAACCAUCAUGAAAAUAAUCCAUGACACGACACUCUAACGAAAAUCCUCUCACAAAUAUGGUGCCAUCAAAAUACCAUUUUCAUGAGAGUGAACUGUCAUGAUUUUAUUUCGUGAGAGUAUUUCCUAUCAAUGACCUCCACGAAAUACUUUGUGCCACCAGGUCUUCAAGAUCAUUUUCAUGAGAGCCGAACGUCACGAAAGGUCCGCCACAAAUGUUUUUCCUGGGAGCCUCUAACUCUCAUCAAAAGCAUGUGGGCCGCCGCGAAAAACAGCCUGACCAAAUGACAAUUUUCAUUUUCAUGUGCUCUUACCGCCAUGAAAAUGGUCAUUUUCAUGAGAGUUGAUGAAACAAAAAAAUAGUGCCAUUUUCAUGAGAGUUCAAGCAACCAGGAAAAGGCACUAAUAAACAUCCAGAUCCCAUCCAGCACACAUCCAUGCACAUAUAUAACCCACAUAUUGCUCCAGCAACAUCCAUGCAUAUACAAGAUCCAAAUGUCUUGGUAUGAACCUACAUGCAUGUGAUGAACCAGUAACCUGCAAAAAGAGCUCAUAGGAUCUUGUCCUCAUAUUGUAGCUGUGAAAUUCUUGCAAGUAGUGUUGCAAUCAGUUCACUUUGAACCAAAAGAGCUCAAAGGAUCAUGUCCUCAAAGUUCCUCUUAAAGCUUAUGGGUUUGCUGGUGGAACUGGAAGGGCUUGAUGCAGCAUGCCAUUCUGCAAUAGAGAAAAAUUUAGAAAGCUGUACUAGUUAAAAUUGGAUGCAGCAGAGACACAUGAAACUAGUAUUUAUACAAUUCUAUAUAUAUAAUAAUUUGUCCCCUAAAUUUUUAGGAUCCUCUCGACGGUGGUGAGUCUUCCAGUAAGGCAAUUGAAUGUCCAUCGUGAUAAAAUUCUCCUUUGGAUUUAUCAUCUUCUCAACCAGAAAUCCUAGGAGUUCAUCCUUAAGCCUUACCAGUUGUAAUUUGGAAAUAUGUGAAAGUUAAACGAACAAUUAAAAUCUAAGGAUCCUUAUCAUCAUUUCCAUACGUUUGCGAAUUAAAAUAAUGAAGGAUACAAUGUUAGGUGAAAAUUCAAGAAACAAAAUUUUGUAUAGAGAUAAUGGUCCGACAUUAUUACAAGUUAAAGUUGUUUUAAAUAUCCUUGUAAUCUUCCUUUGGUUUCCUCGACGAUUCCAAGACAGUAACCUUGCUUCUAUCAAUGAUAAUUAUAAGGAGAACCCAAUGAAAACUGUGUAUUCAUAUUAGAACUAACUAAGGUUAAUUCGGAUAGGAAAGGAAAUCAAAAAUAGAUGGUACCCACACUUACUUAAAGUUGUAGGGUAGUAGUAUGUAAUGCUUGUAAUUCUGUUGCUCCAAGAAUUUGUAUAUGUGGUUCAAUGUAGACUUUGGUUGAUCCUGUAUCUGCUGUUGGUUGAAUAAGUGUUUCUAACCAUUUCUAGCCGUUAGAACUGGGACUAAAGGGAGCUCUUAGUGCUGGUUGAUAUUACUAGUCGGGACUAAAGAGCCCCCGUUAGAGUUGGUUUUCGGACGUGGAACUAACCACUCCUUUAGUCUCAAGUCCAAAAAUGAUUGAGACAUUUGUUGCUGGAUGGAACACUAGUAGAGAAUUGGCUUUCGAUGCGCCCCCUUUUGUCCCGGUUUAAAGUUGGACUGGGACAAAAGAGGGUGCGCCACGGUAGGUAAAAAUGGAGGGGGGAGUUAGUCCCGGUUGGUAAUUGCAACCGGGACUAGAGGCCCCCCUUUAGUCCCGGUUGCAAUGGCUAGCUGGGGGGCGUCGGUGGCGGCACCUUUUUGUCCCGGUUGGAGUCUCCAACCGGGAUAAAAGGUCCACCCUUUUAUCCCGGUUGGAGGCUCCAACCGGGACAAAAAGUUUAGUCCCGGUUGGAGCUUCCAACCGGGAUAAAAGGGUGUCCCUUUUGUCCUAGUUGGAGCCUCCAACCGGGACUAAACUUUCAACCGGGACAAAAGGUGUGGUUGGAGUUUUUAACUGGGAUAAAAACUCAUCCCCCAUUAUAUACCAAGACAGAGGACUUUCUUCCUCCUCCAGCCCGAGCCAGUCCAGCACAUUCACAGAGAGUUGACCUUCACCUACUCUCCGGUGGUGCCGAAGCAAGGAGGUGCUGCCCGAAGUUUUUUCCCUCAUUUUCGUGGGAAUUUCACUCAGCUAACACAAGUGUUGUGAAGGUUUGCUACUUCAUCCUCGUUUAUGCUUUGAUUUAUGCUUUGGAGAUGGAAAGAUUAUUUGUUAGAAUGUGAUGAAGUAGAAAAUGGAGAGAAUAUUUUGAGCUAGAAUGUGAGGGAGAUUGAUGUGUCAUAUAUAGUAUGCAUUCUUGCAGUGGUUUAAGAAUGAUGCUACCUUGUCCAGACAAUUUAUCUUAUCAAAUUCAAUAUAGUUUUUCAAAUCCAUACUUGUUGAACUUGCAUACCGUGUUCAUCUCUACGAGGAUAUUCUCUGCCGAGCAGCAACGUAUGUCAAGAAGGAGGUUCGAUUCUACGAGGAAGAGUGGAUACGGACAUCGUGACCGUGUCCCCUUUUCCGUAGCAUCUAACCUCUUUCAUGAUGAAGUGCGGUGCCGCCCAGUUGAGAACAUGCUCGCGAGAUGAACACAGUAUGCAAGUUCAACAACUUCUGCAGUAGUAAGGAAAGAAUUUUUGUACAUAGAUGACUUCUGCUACUUGUUGAACUUAUCAAAUUCAAGAAGGUUUUUCAAAUCCAUACUUGUUGAACUUGCAUACCGUGGUCAUCUCGCAGAGGAUGUUCUCCGCCGAGCAGCAACGUAUGUCAAGAAGGAGGUUCGAUUCUACGAGGAAGAGUGGAUACAGACAUCGUGACCGUGUCCCCUUUUCCGUAGAAUCGAACCUCUUUCAUGACGAAGUGCGGUGCCGCCCAGUUGAGGACAUGCUCGCGAGAUGAUCACGGUCUUUAAGUUUAACAACUUAUGCAGUGUUAAGGUAAUAAUUUUUGUACAUAGAUGGCUUCUGCUACUGGAGAAAGUGGCGAUGGUGGGGGUGAUCGUGGUUCCUCUUUCGGCAAGGGGAAAAUCAUAGUUGGCCCUCAGCAUAAGCCAAAGAAAAAGAGCGCACUGGAAAAAGCAAUGCUUCGUUAUUUGCAGCAACGUCAUGAAGAAGUUGUUGCCGCGGGUCAGGAACCUCCUUUUGGUCGUCGUUAUGCUCCACCCUUAGUCCCGGGUGUUUCACAUCCACUUAGUACUACCGUUUCAGGCGGCACAAAUAAACCUAAGGAUGAGGCUAGGUCAGCGGAACUUUCGUCUUCACUGUCCAAGGAUGCUUAAAGUCCUCCUAGAUAAUAACCAGUGGAUGGCUUGUUGUAUUGUAUCAUGUUGUUUGGAUCUUUAAUUUAAAUAUGUGUAUUUGGAUCUUCAUGUUGUUGUAUUGUACCAUGUUGUUUGGAUCUUUAAUCAAUUUUCACACGUAAUCCAUUGUCAAGUGUAAUCCAUUUUCAUGCAUAAUAAGAUGCAGAUGGACCGGCAAUGGAUGUAUAAUGCAGACAGGCAGAGCAAGGUGUUUAUUGAUGGCUUGCAUUAUUGUCUCGAAGUGGCCAAAGCGAACAAGCCAGAGAAUGGGUUCGUAUGUUGUCCAUGCUUCCAAUGCAAUAACAAGAAGGAGUAUUCAUAGGAUUCCUGGGGGACUAUUCACAGCCACUUGUUUAAAUACGGUUUCAUACUUAACUAUUUGGUUUGGACCAAGCACGGUGAACGAGGGGUCGUAAUGGAAGAUGGCGAGAAGGAGGAGGAAGAUGACACCAUUCCAGACUGGGUUGUAGGCCAAGCUUUUGCAGGUACUACAAUGGGCGAGGCUCAUGAAGAUGAGUUUGCAGAAAAUGGCCCUAUUGAUGACUUUGGUCAGGUGAUACGAGAUGCAUACAGAGAUUGCGAAAUUGAGAAGGAAGCAGCAAAGUUGCAGCGCAUGAUAGAUGAUCACCAAAAAUUAUUGUACCCAGGUUGCCAGCUGGGCCAUAAAAAACUAGGUACGACACUAGAAUUUGUGCAAUGGAAGGCAAAAAAUGGUGUGUCCGAUAAGGCAUUUCAGGGGAUGUUGACCAUUGUCAAGAAGAUUCUUCCCGAGAAUAAUGAAUUACCGUCCACAACAUAUGAAGCUAAACAGAUUAUUUGCCCUCUCGGAUUGGAUGUUCAGAAGAUACACGCAUGCCCUAAUGACUGUAUCCUCUAUCGUGGUGAUGACUACGAGAAAUUGGAUGCUUGUCCCGUGUGCGAAGCCCUGCGGUAUAAGAUUAGGUGAGAUGAUCCUUGUGAUGUCGAGGGGCAGUCUCCCAAUAAGAGAGUUCCCGUGAAGGUGAUGUGGUAUUUCCCUAUAAUACCACGCUUGAAGCGCUUGUUCAGGAAAAAGGCGAAUGCUAAGUUGAUGUGAUGGCACAAAGAAGACCGUAAGGAAGAUGAGAUGCUGAGACACCCCGCAGAUGGGGCACAGUGGAGAUCAAUUGAUAGAGCAUUCUCGGACUUUGAAAGUGAAGCAAGGACAUAAGGUUUGGUUUAAGUACUGAUGGAUUCAAUCCAUUCGGUGAGUUGAGUAGUGGCCAUAGUACUUGGCCUAUGACCCUAUUUAUGUUGAACCUUCCUCCUUGGCUAUGCAUGAAGUGGAAGUUCAUUAUGAUGCCGGCGCUUAUCCAAAGUUCAAAACAACCCGACAACGACAUUGACGUGUACCUAAGACUGUUGGUUGAUGACCUUUUACAGCUCUGGAAGGAAGAAGGUGUACGUGUGUGGGAUGAGGAUAGACAAGAGAUCUUUAAUCUACGAGUAUUGUUGUUUGUAACCAUCAAUGAUUGGCCUGCACUGAGUAACCUUUCGGGACAGACAAAUAAGGGAUAUCGGGCAUGCACCCACUGUUUAGACGACACAGACAGCAUGUAUUUGAAGCAUUGUAAGAAGGUCGUCUACAUGGGUCAUCGUCGAUUUCUCCCUGCUCACCACCAGCUGAGAAAGAGCAGGAUGCAUUUCAAAGGGGCGCCAGACCAUCGUAAAAAACCUGCACACCAUAAUGGAAAGUGUGUCUUCAAGAUGAUGAAGGAUGUAAAUGUAGUCUUUGGAAAGGGUCUUGGUAGCCAACCUAUUCCAAACGACAAUAACGGACAUGCACCCAUGUGGAAGAAAAAGUCAAUAUUUUGGGAGCUACCUUAUUGGGAAAUCCUAGAGGUUCGCAAUGCAAUAGACGUGAUGCACCUGACGAAGAAUAUUUGCAUGAACGUGCUAGGCUUCAUGGGUUUUUAUGGGACCUCAAAAGACACAUUGGAAGCACGACAGGACCUGAAAGCCAUGGGGCAACGAGAUGACCUACAUCCGAAAAAGAGAGAUAAUGGAUAGCACUACUUACGUCCUGCCAGUUACACUCUGAGCAAGGAAGAGAAGGAUAGCAUGUUUGAAUGCUUGAAUAGUAUGAAGGUCCCGUCUAGGUACUCCUCGAAUAUAAAGGGAAUAAUAAAUAUGAAAAAAAAGAAGUUUAUAAAUCUCAAGGCCCAUGACUGUCACAUGUUGAUGACCCAGUUGCUUCCGGUUGCACUGAGGGGUGUUCUACUAGAAAAUAUCCAGUUGCCGCUCGUAAAGCUAUGUGCGUUUCUAAAUGCGAUUUCACAGAAGGCAAUCGAUCCAUCCAAGCUAUCAAAGCUACAGAACGAUGUGGUGCAAUGUCUUGUCAGUUUUGAGUUGUUAUUUCCACCAUCCUUCUUCAAUAUUAUGACGCACUUACUGGUUGACCUAGUAAAAGAGAUUGGUAUUCUCGGACUUGUAUACCUGCACAAUAUGUGGCCUUUCAAGUGUUCAUGGCAGUCCUAAAAAACUAUGCUCUUAAUCGUGCCCAUCCAGAAGGAAGCAUCGCCAAGGGAUAUGGAACAGAGGAGGUGAUCGAGUUUUGUGUUGAUUUUAUUGAUUCAAUUGACUCGAUUGGGGUUCCAACUUCACGCCAUGAGGGGAGGCUCCGAGGAAUGGGCACCCUUGGAAGGAAAUCAAGUUUGAGCAAUGAUACUGAUUUGUUCGACAAGGCACACUACACGGUUCUACAACAGUCAUCCUUUGUGUCUCCAUAUAUUGAGCAGCACAGGCAGAUGGUAGUUUCCAAAAACCCGACCAAAUCCGAUGCUUGGCUUACCCGUCUUCACAUGGAAACUUUUCCCUCCUGGUUGCGCCAACAACUUAUGGGUAACUCUGAGAUUCACCCACAGCUUGCCUGGUUAGCCAGGGGACCUGCUAGCACAAUUGUGAAAUUUCAAGGCUAUGAGAUAAAUGGUUAUACAUUUUACACGAGAGCCCAGGACCAGAAAAGCACGAAACCAGAAUAGUGGUGUCCGCAUACAUGCCAUGGACAGAAAUAAUAGCAAGGAGUCGUAUUAUGGUUUCAUAUAGGAGAUAUGGGAACUUGAAUACGGACCGUUGUACAUCCCUCUAUUUCUUUGUAAUUGGGUGAAGCAAACUGCCGUAACCAAAGAUCAGUACGGAAUGACAAUAGUAGAUCUGAGCAAGACUGGAUACAGUGAUGACCCAUUCGUACUUGCCAACAAUGUGCAACAGGUGUUCUAUGUGAAGGACAUGUGUAGCAAACCCAAGAGAAAUCCAGAAGAGACAUGGGAGCCAAAGUGCCACAUAGUUUUUCCAGGUAGAAGAAAAAUCGUGGGAGUCGAGGAUAAAACAAACCAAUCAGAUGAUUAUGAUUAGUUUGAUGGCAUGCCUCCAUUCGCCGUUGAAGUUGAUCCAAGCAUCCUGCUAUCCAAAGAAGAGGCUCCGUACUUACGCCGCGAUCAUGAUCAAGGAACUUUCGUGAAGAAGAAAUUCUACAACGUUGUAUUGUAAUGCGCUAAAUUUACAUGACCUUUGUGUAGUAAUUGAUACAAUUUUUAAUUUACCCUAUGUAUGAUUUGAUGUGUUCUUAAAUUUGUUAGGUGAAGAUUUAUUAGAUAAACAUGAACAAUGUUAACCACAUACAUACAUGGAUUUUUCUGCGCAUUGAAAUUAUUUAAUGGAAUAAUUUCUUGAUCACAGCGAUGUAGUAAAAUAAAUAUUUUAGAGCCUAAAUGAACUGGUAUAGAAUUAAUGACUAACUCACACUUAUUGUCAAUUUACUCGCUAAUUAAAUAUAUUUUUGCAUGUACAAAAUAUGUGAAGGUUUUUGUUUUUCAUCCUGAAUUGCAGUGAAAAGAUAAAUAAAAUCCAUUUCCAAAAAACAGGCGGGAGAAGAAAACUGGGAAAAGGACCUUUUGUCCCGGGUGCCAACAGAAACCGGGACAAAAAGCCCCCCCCCUUUUAUCCCGGUUGGUGGUGGCACCCGAGAUAAAAGGGUAGGCUCCAAGCCCCACUUGGCGGACGCACCCUUUUGUCCCGGGUCCCGUCACCAACCGGGAUAAAAGGGGGGGCCUUUUAUCCCGGUUGGUGAGGGGACCCAGGACAAAAGGCCCUUUAGUCCCGGGUGUCAUUACGAACCGGGAUAAAAGGGGGGUUAAAAGGCACUAUAGCCCCUUCUACCCCCCACGCCAGUUACAGUUAGCAAAAUUUUCACCAAGAUCCCGCGCGCACUCUGCUCCGUCGCUGCCCGUCCGCCUUCCUCGCCAGCCGUCAUCGUCGUCGUCCCCCAUUGCCCCGGCCGUCGUCGUCCCGCCGGCUGACCGUGCCCAGAUAGCCUCCUCCUCCAUCGCCCCGGCCCGCCUCGAUCCUCCUGCGUCGUGCCCGGCCCCUACCUCAUCGACGCCGGCCACCUCCAUCGCGGGGCCUCAUCGCCGCCUCCAUCCUCGUCGCCACCUCGACGCCCUGGGUCGCCGCCUCGUCGCCCCUCGUCGCUGCCUCGUCGCCGUCCUGCCUCCGCCGUCUCGCCGUCCCGCGCGCCUUCGCUCCGUCGUCGCCUCCGCCGUCCCACCGCCCCAGCCACCGCCAUCCCGCCACCCCGGCCACCUCGUCGCCCCGACCACCGUCGACCGCGCGUGAGGUCCGCCGCACCGGCACUGGCGCCGGGAGUACCGCCUUGCUGACGCAAGCCCACCGGCUUGCGUCAACAAGGGCCUUUUUUAAGUUAGAAAAUAAAUAGAAAGGAGUAGUAAUUAGGUAGAAAUUCAAUAGAUUUUUGUAUAUGUGUUACAAAAUCAAAUUAGUGUAAAUUAGUUGUAAUUAGGUUCGUCGCUCUGCCUAGGUUAGAAAUGAAUCGUGUUUCGUCGUGGUUCCGUCCCCGCCUCCGCCGUCCCGCCACCCUGACCGUCGCCGUCCCAACCUAGGCACCGUCUGUGGUUCCGUCCCCGCCUCCGCCGUUCCGCCUCCAUCGCAAAUUCAUGUUAUUGCUAGAAAUUCCAAUAAAUAUGAACAAAUUAGUAGAAAUUUGGUAGAAAUUAAUCAUUGCUGCGGCCACCUCGCUCCACAAAUUCAUGUUAUUGCUAGAAAUUCAUAAAAAUUCAUGUUAUCACUAGAAAUUCGUACAAAAUUCAUGUUAUUGCUAGAAAUUCGUAAAAAUUCAUGUUAUUGCUAGAAAUUCGUACAAAAUUCAUGUUAUUGCUAGAAAUUCGUACAAAUUCAUGUUAUUGCUAGAAAUUCGUCACAAAGUACUACUAAUUUGCAAAAAUUUGUAUAAAUAUUCCGGACUUUGUGGGAUUCAUGUUAUUUUCUGAUUUCAUGUAUAUACCCUUAUGUACAUAUAACUAAGGAGAUUUCUAUGACUUUCAUGUAUGUUUCAAUCAAUAGUUGAAAUGGCAGACGAUGAGACCGCAAGGUAUCUCAUGGAGCAGAUAAUCGCUGGUGAUGGUAGUGGCGACAACCUUCCACUAUCGUACACCGAUGAAGAGGGCACCCAGGCGGACAUGUUCCUCAACAUGUCCGCCGAUGGGAAUGAAGAGCAAAAGCCCCAGCAACACCUUGCCGGGGCGGAAGGUUCCGGCGAGGUAUAUAUAACGAUUCUUGUAUUGUUUCACACCACCGUUACUACUACGUACUAAUUAACGAAUCAUGAACCGUUAGCCCUCUGGAUCGACGCAAGGGCAGAAGACACGAGGUCGUACAAAGGUGAUGGAAGGGAGGCUUGUCAUCACGGAAGUGAUAGAAGAGGGCAGGCCGGUUGCUCCCGAGAAAGUAGCAAAGAAGUACGUGAGUCAGAUCGGGGCAAUCGUCCGGGACAACGUGCCUAUCAGCAUCAGAGAAUGGAAGGGCAGAAGCACUAAUCCGUACGCCCUCCUGGAGACAGAAAGAAUAUGCUGUGGGAAGAUGUCAAGAGACAUUUCACAUUCACCGAAGGAUAUAUUGAGAAGGAUGUGAAAGCGUGGACGCUUAAGAAGAUGGCUACACAAUUUCCAGACAUUUAAGAAGAUGCUAGAUACCCACUACAUUAAGAAGGGCCGAACUCCAGACUUCAACGCGUGGUCAAAGUUGAGGGACCACUAGGAUGCAUUUGUUGAAUAUAAGAGGAGUGAAUACGAUGUGAAAAAGAUCACGACCAACACAACAAAUGCUAGUCAGAAGGGCUACCAUCAUCAUCUGGGGCGAGAUGGUUAUGGCUCAGCAAUUCCCAAGUCGAGGAAGAUGGAACAAGAUCUGAUUGAACGGGGAAUCGUACCGGCAACUAUUGAAUGGCCCGAACGAUCAAAAAAUUGGUACUACGCUCAUGGAGGCUCCCUGUGCCAAGAGGAUGGGACGUUGAUUUUCAAUAACACAAUACGUUAGAAGGCCAAACAUCUUGUGAAGAACAUUGAAGAUUCUAAGGCUGGGAGGUUGAAGGUGGACCGAGAAAAUGAUGAGCUCACAUUGGCCCUUGGUAAUCCAGAGCACCCAGGAUGUUGCCGAGGGUUCGGGGUCGUUCCGUGGAAGUUUGUUUUCCGAGGCGACAGCGCCUCGUACAGAAGCCGGAAGCGAAGAAAGGAACAGAUCGAGGAGAGCUGGUGGCAGAUGCUAGAAUCCAAAGUGCAGGCACAAGAACAAAGAAUGAUGGAGGAAAUCAAUCGUCGAGUGGCCCACGCAGUUGUGGAGUUGGCCCAAUCUGGAGCAUUGCCGAAUCCUAACAACGCCAGCCCUUCUCAAUGCCUCUUGAGCAGUUAUGCUUCUACAGGGGUCCCCGAUGCGCACACGCCCAGGUUACCCGUGGAGGAGCAACGGUUCCCCGUGGAUGCCAUCACGCAACACACCACAUGUGAGCUGCAUGCACCGGUCGGCAACCUCACUAUUAAGGUAUACUUAUACAUAAUAUUUAUGCAAUCUUGUCAAUUGAUCCACGCCUCGAUAUCGGAGUUUAACUUGUUUACUUCUACUAUAUGUACAGGUAGCGUACGGGAGUGCGUUAGCAACCCUGGCGGGGCAGAGCAGUCAUGGCAUGAAGAUUCCACCUGGCUACGCUAGCGUCCGCGUAGAGCAAAUAGUUGAUAGCCAAUAUGAAGGUCUAGAGCUCGACCUCCCGGGAGGUGACAGGGAAAGAACACUGGCAGAUGCGCUUCAUGGGAUCAUUCUAUGGCGAAAACGCUACAUCAUUAUUCCCGGCACGGAGCCAUCUCCUCAGAGCUCAAGACCACUCCCCGUAGAUCCCCAGCAGCGACCUUCUCCUCAUAGCUCGAGACCGUCAUCUCCUGCACAACCUGCUCCAGGACCGUCCCUUCCAUCUAUAUCAAGGUCUCCAUCUCCACCACAUCCUGGUGGUGGGAGCGACGACGACAAUAACAACACCCCUUCCUGAUCACCAUCGCCGGCACCAAGAGCGGCCCCCAUGAAGGAACCUGCACCACCACUAAAAAAGUCACGAGCACCGCCUCCCAAGCAAAGACAGAGAAAGAAGAAAACAAAGGAGCCUGAAGUGACUCGUAAGGAACGCUGGGAGACAAUGUCUCAUGCGGAACAGUGGGCAGAAAUCCAACAAGAGGCCAGUGAGUGGUUCAAGAAACAAGCCGAAGAAAAAAAAGCAACGGAGAUGCAGCCACCGCCAGUAAAUCGAAGAGAUUUAAACUUUUUUAUCAGGAUGGAAGAAGGAGCCAAGAAAAGGAUACCACUCUUAUCAAACUAUGAACGGGCUUUAGUAAAGGCUGAUGAAAAGGAUAAAAGGAAAGGAAAGUCAUCUUCCAGCGGUGCUGUCCCCGACCUCAGCCAUUUAUCAAAAAAAGAUGCUCAACGGGUAAAAGCAAUGCCCUUGGAUCAACAAGCAGAAGUAUUGAAGUUCAUGCAAGAAACAGGUCUGGGACUUGAUGAAUGCCUAGGGCAAGUUGAGACGCCAACUGCACCGCCCCCUGAGCCGAGAUGGCCUUAUGAGCUAGGCAAACCUCUAGUAAAGCCUUCAUUGGUACGAAAGCUAUCAACAAAGAUGUACGCAUUCCAUCAAUGGUACAUGAUGGCAUCCGCUGACUCAAGGGAGAUGCUCGGCCUGAAGGUAAAACCGAUGGAUUUUCACGACAGAGGCGAGAAAGUGCUGUGGCUAGACUUCAAGGAUAUAUACGAAGUGUACCAUCAUGAUGCCAUAGACGUCUCUCUGAUCCGCGCUUGGGUUCUGUAAGUGUCCGUUUAUCUCUACAUGUAAAUUUUGGCGUGCGUCACCGUACUAACUUCGUCUUCCAUUUCAUGUAGGAUGCUAAUUCAGACAUGCCGCCGAGAGGCGUACCUACAUAUAGGCUUCAUGGAUCCAUCUGUAGUUAACCAACAGCAGAUACAAUUAGCAUCGGAGAAAACCUUGGUGGAAGUAUACAAUUUCCUAGACAAACAAACAUUCAAGGAUUUCAUACUAUUUCCAUACAACUUCAAGUAAGUGUGUGUAUACCGUCUACUUUCGAUGUCUUUUUCCUUAUCUCUACAUGUUAGUUAGCUCUAAUAUGCAUGAACAUUUUACGCACGCAGCUUCCACUGGAUCCUUAUUAUAAUUGAGCCUCAAAGAAGCCACGUCACUGUCUUCAAUUCGUUGAGGAAAGAUCCAGUGGAGCACCAAGAAAUGCAACACAUGCUAGGCUUGUAAUAAUUCUGGACCUUUAUCUCUAUGCAAAAGUUUGUUUCCUAAAUUCUAUCCCUGUUACACUAUAUCAUUCAUUAUUCUAAUCCACAGCGUAUGGAAACAAUUCAUAAGGACACAAAAAGGUCCAUUCAAAGAAAAACUUACAUGGAACACAGACUUCCCGGUACAUAUGAAGUCUGCACAUUUAUUACAUUGUAUAACACGAAUAUUUCAUAACUUAUUUUUUUCCGUAUUGAAGUGCUUAAGACAGGAACUCGGAAAUAAUCUAUGUGGCUACUACAUCUGUGAGCACAUGCACAGUUUUAUGGGACCCAAGGGACUAAAGAUGACGCCGCACAACUUUAAAGUACGUAAAAUAAAACUAUUACUAGUUAAUUAUUUUCUAGCUCCUUAUAUGUAUUUGUUCACGUAACAUUCACAAAUUUCCAAAUUAUAGAUGUUAAAUAUUCAACAAGGACUCUUGAAGGAAGAAAGAGUAGCGGCAAUAUGUGAAGGUCUCAUUGGAUUCCUAAUGGACAAGGUGGUAGAUCCAAAAGGAGAAUUUUAUUUUGAUGGACGACAAUUAGACACUCUGAUCAGCAACACCUCGAUGGGAAGAUUGUAGAUAGAUACUUUGAUUUAUUUGUAUAUAUAAUACGCGCUAAUUAUGAUCGAUUUGUACUAGUUGAAUUCUGUAUAUGAAUUGUGUAUAAGAAUUGUGUAUAUAUAUAGUAACUGUAUAAUUACAAAUCCCAUUCGUUUAAAUACUAGUUAAUUUCAUUCUAAAAAAAUCUCAACUACUUAAGGUUAACAAAAGGGCUGCGGUACUACGUACGUGAUGCAUGCAUGAAAAAUUCAGGCGCCAGGCAGGUGCCAUGCAGGGCAUCAUUUAGUCCCGUUUGGAAUCCAGCCGGGACUAAAGGGUAACCCUUUACUCCCGGUUGGGAAACCCAACCGGGACUAAAGGGGGACCGUUACUCCCGGUUAAAAGACCCGGGACUAAAACCCCCCCUUUUGUCCCGGUUGGCUUAUCCCGGAUAAAUUUUCGGGAGAUAUGCACCCUACCAACCGGGACUAAAGGCCAAUUCUCCACUAGUGGAAGGUCCUUUCUCUACCAUGAAUAUUGCCAGAAAGAAUUGAAAGAGACCGCUUGCUAAAAACAUGUCAUAGAUGCGGACCAAGCUACCAAGGAGGUAGACCAAACAUGAUACACACCAUGCGUACCUUGCUGUGCAGACUAUGCAUGGACAAGAUACCCGACCACAUGUUGGCUUUGGUCACAUCAAAAGAAUCAUGUAGGCCAUUAAUAAACUACUUGAAGCGUCAUUCCGUAUCUUAUAUCCAUCAUCUGCAUUACAUUACAUUAAAUAUUAUUAACUAUUUGAAUAAAAUGAACCAAUUUAAAAAUAAUGAAUUGUACAUUACUACAAAAAGCCCUAGCACUGCCAGUUCCAAAAACAUCAUUGUUGACGGCCGUUAAGUACCAAAUAUGACGGUCAAUAUCCUAAAGAAUAAAGGACAAUUGGCAUUUCUUACACACAUAUUUGGUUUCGAAUAAUGUAGUUCUACAUGUCCUUGGAGAUUAUUUGGGUGUGGGUGAAAUAAUACAAAAAGAAGGAGAAAACACACUCCCAUGGCAAAGAAACAUAACUCCGACCAAUGAGAGAUAGCCACAGGGGCAGCACAUGGAUCCAUGGGCCCACAAACUGCAUCAAACCAUCUUACAAGGCGGGUAGCACCCACAACUGUCAUUAGGACCCACCUGGAAGUCUAGCAAAGAAGAAGGUUGUGAGUGGGGCCACGAGGGGUUCGGUUGAAUCAUCUCUAGCUCCCUUCAUCCCCAGCUGGCGCGUGGCGGUGGUUCAUGGUGUCCCGACAUCGGUUAGAGGACAUUCCCCCAAAUAUUCCUCCUGUAAACCAGCUCUAUGAACCUAUAAAUAGAGGGGUGUGCUCUCCAUUCCAACACACACCACAAGUUGAAGCACUCUCUCCCUCUUUAGUUUCCAAGUUUACGGAGAUAGGCUGGAGUAGCUCUGCUAAAGGUUCCAAGUCCACUUGGAGUUAAGCGUAUGUCUCUUGUAUCAUUAUUUCCUAGAGAGACUUUAUGCUAUUCAAGUUAUUUAUCUUCUUCAUAUAGUGUUAUGCUUAGUUCUUAUAUGCAUGAGUUAGUCUAAUACCCUUGCUCUAUUGAUAUGCUCAGCUUAUGUGCUCGUAUGCUAGUCAUGUACCCUUGCUGUCAUAGUAUAGGGUUAUAUGCUGUCAUGUGUGCCUAUAGACCUUGCUACAGUAUAUACUUGUUGUGUAUACAUACCAUUUGUAUAUACAUUAUUACAAGUUAAGGUAGUUUUAAAUAUCCUUGUGUUGACAACCAAAGCUUGAUCUUUUGUUUCCAUUGCCAGCGGAUUCAUCGGCUCAGAGUAGGAUCAAGACAUCAAGUUGAUGGAGUUCUUUAUAUUUCAAGAGGAGUCAUGGAGUUCUUUAUAUUUCAAGAGGAGUUGAUGGUGCUUUCAAUAUUGCAACCAGACAUCAUUGGCUCUGAAGACACCGAAUCAUCGGAGUUCUAUGAUCAGUUUCGGAACAUGAAGCCUUCAUACUCCGAAACUGGGGGGCCUGUGUUGACACCGAAUUAUCGGACUUCUAUAAUUAGUUUCGGAACAUGAAGCCUUCAUACUUCGAAACUGGGGGGUAUGUGUUUACACCAAAAUUUAGAAAUGUGCUCUGAAAGGAAGGACCUGGGAGAUCUAUUGGCUGAAAUACAAAUCCAUCGAAACUAGCCUUAUGCUAAGAGAUCAGAAUAUUGUACAAAGUCUAGAAAGUUCUAUUUACAUCUAAGUAACUCGAUAACUAGCCUUACGCUAAGAGAUCAGAAUAUUGGACAAAGCCUACAAAGUUCUAAUAUAGGUAACGUAAUGACCAGGUGAGGAUAGUUACAAGCUCGCUUGAGAUCGAAGCCGAUGUAGCCCUGCGCGCAAGAAGAAACUCACCUAUUUCUACUCUACUCUUACUCCUAGGGUUUGAUGGCGUGGCGUCAAAAGAUUGUAUUGAUUGAUUGAUUAUUUGAUACAAAGCUCAUGGGCCUAUAUUUAUACCCUUGAGAAAGCUAAAAUCCUAAUCAGUUAUGACAUGAAUCGUGACAGAAAAUCUAACUAAAGAUAGAUCUCCAUGCUUUCCCUUAUUUGGUGGAGUCGAUUUCACUUCAUAUCGGAUCCCUCCCGAUCUUCUAUCGGCUUCUAGCAUCCGGUCAUCUGCGACUGGCCUUGGUCAACAUCAGGUGUCAACAGACUUAUUUCUUCUACAAGUUCAUCGGCUGUCAGAGCCUUGUCUUAGUCAGUUGACUCUAGUAAAAAAUCGAUGUCAAUACAUGCCCCCCAAUUUUUGAAUAAAAUAUUAUAUUUCAAAAUUCUCUUCUCUUGUCAACAGCUUUUGAAAGAAAAAGAGUCACUGCUGCAAUCAUAAUCUUUUUCCCCGGGUUUUGUGAUAGCACCCUCCUCAUUUUAAGGGAUUCACCAUGUGGAAAUUAUAAUAUAACUGCUUCACCCAUUUCGUUUUCUUCACCAAACCAACUAUUGUCAGCCGCUACAACCAAAAAUCAAUUAUUCCCUUCACAUGCCUAGCGACUGCAUCCAUCACUCAUCGUCACCAUUAGUCUCCAUGUGUCAAGGCUUCUUCAACCAGCAAUGGCGACAUUAUCUUCCAUUCCACAGGUACCAUGUAUCCUAGCCAUUCCUUUCCCCUUUCAACCUGAAAUCCAAUCUAGUCACUAUAUAUCAAACCUGUGUUCUUAAUCAAUACUUGCCCCCUUGUACUUAGAAACACCCUUUUGAUCCCCAUAUCCGAUACGCAAGCAGAAUACUUUCUAGGCCCCAUGGGUAGUGAAGACCCAAUAGAAUCUAUUAAUGCUGAAAUACUUGGACAAAGUCUAGAAAGUUCUAUUUACAUCUAAGUAACUCGAUAACUAGCCUUACGCUAAGAGAUUUAAAUAUUGGAUAAAGCCUAGAAAGUUCUUAUAUAGGUAACUGAAAAGUGUGUUGACGCAAAAAUUGGAUGGUUGACUCCUGCGUACUAACACACGGAACCAGGGAGAAUCUGCUUAGCUACUGUUCGGGUUAUAGCCCUCUCGAUCCGUAGCGUGCCAGUUAAUCUGACCUGCUGAUUGACAAGUAAAAAUGUCAAAUUAAGAGCAAAUCAGCUGGUGUUCCGAAUCGCUCCACGGGACGUAUCAGUAGACAGCCGAUACGGGCAAACGACAAUCAGCUAGAUCAGCCGAUUUGCUCUUGUAUUUGACGUUUUACUUGUCCUUCUCAAUCAGCAGGUCAGAUUGACUCGCACGACGCAGAUCGAGAGGGCUAUAACCUAAACAAGAGCUAAGCAGAUUCUCCCGGGUUUCAUGUCUUAGUACACAGAAGUCAACCGUCUGAUUUUAUCAUCAACACGCUUUUUGGCACGCUCAGUGGGACCCGAUUCAUAUCUUAAUGGUAAUUGGUGAUCAAGUUUCAAACAACGUAUCCACUGGUAGAAAACUGAGCAUUAGUCCCGGUUGGUAAGGGUCAUAUCUCUCGGAUAUCCAUCCGGGAUAAACCAACCGGGACAAAAGGGGGGGGUCUUUAGUCCCGGGUAUUUUAACCGGGAGUAAAGGACCCCCUUUAGUCCCGGUUGGUGUCACCAACCGGGACUAAAGGGCCUGCCACGCCAGGCGCGGGACAGGCCCUUUAGUCCCGGUUGGUGACACCAACCGGGACUAAAGGGGGUCCCUUUAGUCCCGGUUGGAUUUCCCAACCGGGACUAAAGGGGUCCCCUUUAGUCCCGGCUCAAUUCCAACCGGGACUAAAUUGCGCUUGCAUGGCACUGGUGACGCCUGAAUUUUUCAUGCAUGCAUCACGUAUACGUAUAGUAGUACCGCGGCCCUUUUAAUUUGUUAACCUUGUAGUUGAGAUUUUUUUAGAAUGAAUUAAAUCAACUAGUAUUUAAACGAAUGGGAUUUGUAAUUACACAACUACUAUAUAUAUACACAAUCCUUAUACACAAUUCAUAUACACAAUUCAACUAGCUUAAUUAGUACAAAUCGAUCAUAUAUACAAAUAAAUCAAAGUAUCUUCCUACGAUCUUCCCGUCGUGGUGUUGCUGAGAGGAGUGUCUAAUUGUCGUCCAUCGUAAUAAAAUUCUCCUCUUGGAUUUACCACCUCGUCCAUUAUGAAUCCAAUGAGACCUUCACAUAUUGCCGCUACUCUUUCUUCCUUCAAGAGUCCUUGUUGAAUAUUUAACAUCUAUAAUUUGGAAAUUUGUGAAUGUUACAUGAACAAAUACAUAUAAGGAGCUAGAAAAUAAUUAACUAGUAAUAUAUUUAUUUUACGUACUUUAAAGUUGUGCGGCGUCAUCUUCGGUCCCUUGGGUCCCAAAAAACUGUGCAUGUGCUCACAGAUGUAGUAGCCACAUAGGUUAUUCCCGGGUUCCUGUCUUAAGCACUUCAGUGCGGAAAAAAAAUAAGUUAUGAAAUAUUCGUGUUAUACAAUGUAAUAAAUGUGCAGACUUCAUACGUACCGGGAAGUCUGUGUUCCAUGUAAGAUCUUCUUUGAAUGGACCUUUGUGUGUCCUUAUGAAUUGUUUCCAUACGCUGCGGAUUAGAAUAAUGAAUGACAUAGUGUAACAGGGAUAAAAUUUAGGAAAUAAAUUUUUGCAUAGAGAUAAAGGUCCAGAAUUAUUACAAGCCUAGCAUGUCUUGCAAUUCUUGGUAGUCCACCGGAUCUUUCCGUAACGAAUCAAAGACAGUGACGUGGCUUCUUUCAGGCUCAAUUAUAAUAAGGAUCCAGUGGAAGCUGCGUGCGUAAAAUGUUCAUGCAUAUUAGAGCUAACUAACAUGUAGAGAUAAGGAAAAAGACAUCGAAAGUAGACGGUAUACACACACUUACUUGAAGUUGUAUGGAAGUAGUAUGAAAUCCUUGAAUGUUUGUUUGUGUAGGAAAUUGUAUAUUUCGGCAAAGGUUUUUUCCGGCGCUAAUUGUAUCUGUUGUUGGUUAACUACAGAUGGAUCCAUGAAGCCUACAUGUAGGUACGCCUCUCGGCGGCAUGUCUGAAUUAGCAUCCUACAUGAAAUGGAAGAUGAAGUUAGUACGGUGACGCACGCCAAAAUUUACAUGUAGAGAUAAUAAACGGACACUUACAGAAUCCAAGCGCUGAUCAGAGAGACGUCCAGGGCAUCAUGAUGGUACACUUCGUAUAUAUCCUUGAAGUCUAGCCACAGCACUUUCUCCCCUUCACCGUGAAAAUCUAUCGGUUUUACCUUCAUGCCGAUCAUCUCCCUCGAUUUGGCGGAUGCCGUCAUGUACCAUUGAUGGAAUUCGUACAUCUUUGUUGACAGCUUCCGUACCAUUGCCGGCUUCACUAGAGGCUUGCCUAGCUCAUAAGGCCAUCUCGGCUCAGGGGGCGGUGCAGUUGGCGUCUCGACUUGCCCUAUGCAUUCUUCAAGUCCCAGACCUGUUUCUUCCAUGAACUUCAAUAUAUUUUCUUGUUGAUCCAAGGGCAUUGCUUUUACCCGUUGAGCAUCUUUCUUUGAUAAAUGGCUGAGGUCGGGGACUGAACCGCUGGAGGAUGAUUUUCCUUUUCUUUUAUCCUUUUCAUCAGCCUUUACUAGAGCCCGUUCAUAGUUUGACAAGAGUGGUAUCCUUUUCUUGGCUCCUUCCUCCAUCCUGAUAAAAAAGUUUAAAUCCCGCCGACUUACUGGCGGUGGCUCCAUCUCCCUUGCCCUUUUUAAUUCGGCUUGUUUCUUGAACCACUCACUGGCCUCUCGUUGGAUUUCUGCCCACUGUUCCGCAUGAGACAUUGCCUCAAAGCGUUCCUUGCGAGCCACUUCAGGGUCGACCUUUGUUUUCUUCUUUCGAGGCUGUCUUUGCUUGGGAGGCGGUGCUCGUGACUUCUUGAGUGGUGCUGCAGGUUCCUUCGAGGGGGCCGCUCUUGGUGCCAGCGACGGUGAUCGGGGAGGGGUGUUGUUAUUGUCGUCGUCGCUCCCAGCACCAGGAUGUGGUGGAGAUGGAGACCUUGAUAUAGAUGGAAGCGACGGUCCUGGAGCAGGAGAUGCCGGUCUCGAGGUAUGAGGAGAAGGUCGCUGCUCGGGAUCUACGGGGAGCGGUCUUGAGGUCUGAGGAGAUGGCUCCGUGCGGGAAAUAAUGAUGUAGCGUUUCUUCCAUAGAAUGAUCCCAUGAAGCGCAUCUGCCAAUGUCUUUUCCCCGUCGCCUCCCGGGAAGUCGAGCUCUAGACCUUCAUACUGGGCAUCUACUAUUUGCUCGACGCAGACGCUGGCGUAGCCUGUUGGAAUGUCCAUGCCAUGACUGCUCUGCCCUGCCAGCGUUGGUAACGCACUCCCAUACGCUACCUGUACAUAUAGCAGAAGUAAACAAGUUGAACUCCGAUCUCGAGGCCUGGAUCAAUUGACAAGAUUGCAUAAAUAUUAUGUAUAAGUAUACCUUAAUAGUGAGGUUGCCGACCGGUGCAUGCAGCUCACAUGAGGUCCGUUGCGUGAUGGCAUCCACGGGGAACCGUUGCUCCUCCACGGGUAACCUGGGCGUCUGCGCAUCGGGGACCCCUGUAGAAGCACAACUGCUCCCGAGGCGUUGAGAAGGGCUGGCGGUGUGAGGAUUCGGCAGUGCUCCAGAUUGCGCCAACUCCGCAACUGCGUCGGCCACCCGCCGAUUGAUUUCAUCCAUCAUUCGUUGUUCUAGCAUCUGCCGCCAGCUCUCCUCCAUCUGUUCCUUUCUUCGCUUCCGGCUUCUGUAAGAGGCGCUGUCGCCUCGGAAAGCGAACUUCCACGGAACCACCCCGAACCCCCGGCAACGUCCUGGGUGCUCUGGAUUACCGAGGGCCAAUGUGAGCUCAUCAUUUUCUCGGUCCACCCUCAACCUCCCAGCCUUGGAAUCUUCAAUGUUCUUCAUGAGAUGUUCGGCCUUCUCACGUAUUCUGUCAUUGAAAAUCAGCGUCCCAUCCUCUUGGCUUAGGGAGCCUCCAUGAGCGUAGUACCAGUUCUUUGAUCGUUCGGGCCAUUCAAUAGUUGCAGGUAUGAUUCCCCGUUCGAUCAGAUCUUGUUCCAUCUUUCUCCACUUGGGAAUUGCUGAGCCAUACCCACCUCGCCCCAAAUGAUGGUGGUAGCCCUUCUGACUAGCAUUUGCAACGUUGGUCGUGAUCUUUUUCACACCUUCUUCACUCCUCUUGUAUUCAACAAAUGCAUCCCAGUGGUCCCUCAACUUGGGCCACGCGUUGAAGUCUGGAGUUUUGCCCUUCUUGAUGUAGUGGGUGUCCAGCAUCUUCUUGAAUGUCUGGAAUUGAGUAGCCAUCUUCUUAAGUGUCCACGCUUUGACAUCCUUCUCGCUAUAAUCUUCGGGGAAUGUGAAAUGCCUCUUCACGUCUUCCCACAGCAUAUUCUUUUCUGUCUCUGGAAGGGCGUACGGAUUAUCGCUUCUGCCCUUCCAUUCUCUGAUGCUGAUAGGCACGUUGUCCCGGACAAUUGCCCCGAUUUGACUAACGUACUUCUUUGCGACUUUCUCGGGAGCAACCGGCCUGCCCUCAUCUGUAACUUCGGUGAUGACAAGCCUCCCUUCCAUCACCUUUGUACGACCUCGGGUCUUCUGCCCUUGUGUCGAUCCGGAGGGCUAACAGUUUAAGAUUCGUUAAUUAGUACGUACUAGUAGCGGUGGCGUGAAACAAUACAAGAAUGGUUGUAUAUACCUCGCCGGAACCUUCCGCCACGGCAAGUUGUUGCUGCGGCUGUUGCUCUUCAUUCACAUCGGCAGACAUGUUGAGGAACAUGUCCGCCUGGGUGCCCUCUUCAUCCGUGUAUGAUAGUGGAACGUUGUCGCCACUAUCAUCACCAGCGAUUAUCUGCUCCAUGAUAUACCUUGCGGUCUCAUCGUCUGCCAUUUCAACUAUUGCUGCAAACAUACAUGGAAUCAUACAUGACAGUCAUAGAAAUCGUCUUAAUACAAAUUUGUAUAUAAUCACAGUUCGGAAUCAUACAUGUAUAUAAUGAAAUCAUAAAAUAACAUGAAUCGUACAAAGUCCGGAAUCUUUAUACAAAUUUCUAUGAAUUUAUACAAAUUUCUAUGAAUUUAUACAAAUUUCUAUGAAUUUCUAUGAAUUUCUAUGAAUUUCUAUGAAUUUCUAUGAAUUUCUAUGAAUUUAUACAAAUUUCUACGAAUUUCUAUGAAUUUCUAUGAAUUUCUAUGAAUUUAUACAAAUUUCUACGAAUUUCUAUGAAUUUCUACAAAUUUCUACGAUUUUCUAUGAAUUUCUACAAAUUUCUACGAAUUCCUACGAAUUUUGACGAAUUUCUACGAAUUUUGACGAAUUUCUACGAAUUUCUACGACGGCGAUAAGGGCGGCGAAGGCGGGACGGCGGCGGUCAGGGCGGCGGAGGCGGGACGGCGGCGGUCAGGGCGGCGGAGGCGGUUCACCGGAACCACGGGCGGUGCCUAAGCUACUACGUUGUGAUGGGCGGCAGGACGGCGGCGAUCACGGCGGCUACUCGGCGGCGAUCACGACGGCUACAAGGCGACUGUCACGGUAGCUACUCGGCGGGACGGCGGCGAUCACGACGGCGGGACGGUAGUUAACAACCUAACUACAAAUCUAACUUAACAAACUAACUAGAAAUCUAAAAAUCUAACUUAACAAAAUUAGAAAUCUAAAAAUCUAACUUAACAAAAUUACAAUUCCAUCUAAAAAAACAAAAUUAAAAAUUAAAAGAAAACGGCCAGCUCUCCCGGCGCACCGGCCGGCGCGGCAGACCUCUCGCGCGCGGGGCGGCGGCCGGGGCGGCGGGACGGCGGCGGCCGGGGCGGCCUGACGGCGGCGGCUGGGGCGGCGACGAGGACGAAGACGACGACGGCGGGAUGACGGCGGCCGAGGCGAAGACGACGACGGCGGCCGGCGAGGGGCGACGAGGAUGGAGCUGGCGACGAGGGGCGAUGCAGCCGGCGAGGGAGGCGGACGGGCGGCGACGGGCGGAGAGGGAGGCGGACGGGCGGCGACGGGCGAGGGAGGCGGACGGGCGACGACGACGGCGCAAUGCGGGACUUCGACGGCGCAAUGGGGGACGACGACGGCGGCGGCCGGCGAGGGAGGCGGACGGGCGGCGACGGGCGGAGAGCGCGGGACUUGCGAAAAUUUCGCUAAGUGUGGAACUGGCGGGGGGUAGAAGGGAGUACAGUGCUUUUAACCCCCCCCCCCUUUUAUCCCGGUUCGUAAUGGCACCCGGGACAAAAAGGGCCUUUUGUCCCGGGUCCUGUCACCAACCGGGACAAAAGGCCCCCCCUUUUAUCCCGGUUGGUGACGGGACCCGGGAUAAAAGGGUGCGCUCCCAGCCCCACCUGGCGGGGGCACCCUUUUAUCUCGGGUCCCGUUACCAACCGGGACAAAAGGCCCCCCCUUUUAUCCCGGUUGGUAACGGGACCCGGGACAAAAGGGUGCCCCCGCCAGGUGGGGCUGGGAGCGCACCCUUUUAUCCCGGGUCCCGUCACCAACCGGGAUAAAAGGGGGGGGCCUUUUAUCCCUGUUGCAAAUGGCAACCGGGAUAAAAGGGUACGUUCGGGCGGGAGACGAAACGUACCCUUUUAUCCCGGUUGCCGUUUGCAACCAGGAUAAAAGGGGGGCCUUUUAUCCCGGUUGCUGUUAGCACCCGGGACAAAAGGUCCUUUUUCCUAUUUUUCUUCUCCCGCCUGUUUUUUGGAAAUGGAUUUUAUUUAACCUUUUCACUGCAUUCCAGGAUGAAAAACAAAACCUUCUCAGAUUUUGUACAUGCAAAAAUAUAUUUAAUUAACGAGUAAAUUGACAAUAAGUAUGAAGUAAUCAUUAUUUCUAUACCAACUCAUAUAGCCUGUAAAAUAUUUAUUUUACUGCAUUGCUGUGAUCAAUAAAUUAUUCAAUUAAAUUUUUUGAAUGCGCAGAAAAAUCCAUGUUAGUAUGUGGUUAACAAUGUUCAUGUAUAUCUAAAAAAUCUUCACCUAACAAAUUUAAUUACAAAUUUUAUCAAUUAAUACACAAAGGUCAUGCACAUUUAACGCAUUACAAUACAACGUUGUAAAAUUUCUUCUUCACGAAAGUUCCUUGAUCAUGAUCGCGGCGUAAGUACGGAGCCUCUUCUUUGGACAGCAGGAUGCUUGGAUCAACUUCAACGUCGAAUGGAGGCAUGCCAUCAAACUGAUCAUAAUCAUCUGAUUGGUCUGUUUUAUCCUCGACUCCCACGAUUUUUCUUUUACCUAGAAGAACUAUGUGGCACUUUGGCUCCCAUGUCUCUUCUGGAUUCCUCUUGGGUUUGCUGCACAUGUCCUUCACAUAGAACACCUGAUGCACAUCAUUGGCAAGUACGAAUGGGUCAUCACUGUAUCCAGUCUUGCUCAGAUCUACUAUUGUCAUUCCGUACUGAUCUUUGGUGACGGCAGUUAGCUUCACCCAAUUGCAAAGAAAUAGAGGGAUGUACAGCGGUCCGUAUUCGAGUUCCCAUAUCUCCUGUAUGAAACCAUAAUACGACUCCUUGCUAUUAUUUCUGUCCAUGGCAUCUAUGCGGACACCACUAUUCUGGUUCGUGCUUUUCUGGUCCUGGGCUCUCGUGUAAAAUGUGUAACCAUUUAUCUCAUAGCCUUGGAAUUUGACGAUUGUGGUAGCAGGUCCCCUGGCUAACCAAGCAAGCUGUGGGUGAAUCUCAGAGUUACCCAUAAGUUGUUGGCGCAACCAGGAGGGAAAAGUUUCCAUGUGAUGACGGGUAAGCCAAGCAUCGGAUUUGGUCGGGUUUUUGGAAGCUACCAUCUGCCUGUGCUGCUCGAUAUACGGAGACACAAAGGAUGACUGUUGUAGAACAGUGUAGUGUGCCUUGUCGAACAAAUUAGUAUCAUUGCUCAAACUUGAUUUCCUUCCAAGGGUGCCCAUUCCUCGGAGCCUCCCCUCGUGGCGUGAAGUUGGAACCCCAAUCGAGUCAAUUGAAUCAAUAAAAUCAACACAAAACUCGAUCACCUCCUCUGUUCCAUAUCCCCUGGCGAUGCUUCCUUCUGGACGAGCACGAUUACGAACAUAGUUUUUUAGGACUGCCAUGAACCUCUCGAAAGGCCACAUAUUGUGCAGGUAUACAGGUCCGAGAAUACCAAUCUCUUUUACUAGGUGAACCAGUAAGUGCGUCAUAUUAUUGAAGAAGGAUGGUGGAAAUAACAACUCAAAACUGACAAGACAUUGCACCACAUCGUUCUGUAGCUUUGAUAGCUUGGAUGGAUCGAUUGCCUUCUGCGAAAUCGCAUUGAGAAACGCGCAUAGCUUUACGAGCGGCAACCGGACAUUUUCGGGUAGAACACCCCUCAGUGCAACCGGAAGCAACUGGGUCAUCAACAUGUGGCAGUCAUGAGCCUUGAGAUUUGUAAACUUCUUUUGUUUCAUAUUUAUUAUUCCCUUUAUAUUCGAGGAGUACCCAGACGGGACCUUCAUACUAUUCAAGCAUUCAAACAUACUAUCCUUCUCCUCCUUGCUGAGAGUGUAACUGGCAGGACGUAAGUAGUGCUGUCCAUUAUCUCUCUUUUCCGGAUGUAGGUCAUCUCGUUGCCCCAUGGCUUUCAGGUCCUGUCUUGCUUCCAAUGUAUCUUUUGAGGUUCCAUAAACACCCAUGAAGCCUAGCACGUUCACGCAAAGAUUCUUCGUCAGGUGCAUCACGUCUAUUGCGUUGCGAACCUCUAGGAUUUCCCAAUAAGGUAGCUCCCAAAAUAUUGACUUUUUCUUCCACAUGGGUGCAUGUCCGUUAUCAUCGUUCGGAAUAGGUUGGCUACCAAGUCCCUUUCCAAAGACUACAUGUACAUCCUUCAUCAUCUCGAACACACGCUUUCCAUUACGGUGUGCAGGUUUUUUACGAUGGUCUGGCGUCCCUUUGAAAUGCAUCCCGCUCUUUCUCAGCUGGUGGUGAGCAGGGAGAAAUCGACGAUGACCCAUAUAGACGACCUUCUUACAGUGCUUCAAGUACAUGCUAUCUGUGUCAUCUAAACAGUGGGUGCAUGCCCGAUAUCCCUUAUUUGUCUAUCCUGAAAGGUUACUCAAUGCAGGCCAAUCGUUGAUGGUUACGAACAACAGUGCUCGUAGAUUAAAGAUCUCUUGUCUAUCCUCAUCCCACACACGUACACCUUCUUCCUUCCAGAGCUGUAAAAGGUCAUCAACCAACGGCCUUAGGUACACGUCAAUGUCGUUGCCGGGUUGUUUUAGGCCUUGGAUAAGCGCCGGCAUCAUAAUGAACUUCCGCUUCAUGCACAGCCAAGGAGGAAGGUUGAACAUACAAAGGGUCACAGGCCAAGUACUAUGACCACUACUCAACUCACCGAAUGGAUUGAAUCCAUCAGUGCUUAAACCAAACCUUAUGUUCCUUGCUUCACUUUCAAAGUCUGGGAAUGUUCUAUCAAUUGAUCUCCACUGUGCCCCAUCUGCGGGGUGUCUCAGCAUCUCAUCUUCCUUACGGUCUUCUUUGUGCCAUCGCAUCAACUUAGCAUUCGCCUUGUUCCUGAACAAGCGCUUCAAGCGUGGUAUUAUAGGGAAAUACCACAUCACCUUCACGGGAACUCUCUUCUUGGGAGACUGCCCCUCGACAUCACCAGGAUCAUCUCGCCUGAUCUUAUACCGCAGGGCUUCGCAGACGGGACAAGCAUCCAAUUCCUCGUAUUCAUCACCACGAUAGAGGAUACAGUCAUUAGGGCAUGCGUGUAUCUUCUGAACAUCCAAUCCGAGAGGGCAAAUAAUCUGUUUAGCUUCAUAUGUUGUGGACGGUAAUUCAUUAUUCUCGGGGAGAAUCUUCUUGACAAUUCUCAACAUCCCCUGAAAUGCCUUAUCGGACACACCAUUUUUUGCCUUCCAUUGCACAAAUUCUAGUGUCGUACCUAGUUUUUUAUGGCCCUGCUGGCAACCUGGGUACAACAAUUUUUGGUGAUCAUCUAUCAUGCGCUGCAACUUUGCUGCUUCCUUCUCAGUUUCGCAAUCUCUGUAUGCAUCUCGUAUCACCUGACCAAGGUCAUCAGUAGGGUCAUUUUCUGCAAACUCAUCUUCAUCAGCCUCGCCCAUUGUAGUACCUGCAAAAGCUUGGCCUGCAACCCAGUCCGGAAUGGUGUCAUCUUCCUCCUCCUCCUCGCCAUCUUCCAUUACAACCCCUAGUUCACCGUGCUUGGUCCAAACCAAAUAGUUAGGCAUGAAACCGUAUUUAAACAAGUGGCUGUGAAUAGUCCCCCAGGAAUUCUUUGAAUACUCCUUCCUGUUAUUGCAUUGGAAGCAUGGACAACAUACGAACCCAUUCUCUGGCUUGUUCGCUUUUGCCACUUCGAGAAAAUAAUGCAAGCCAUCAAUAAACACCUUGCUCCGCCUGUCUGCAUUAUACAUCCAAUGCCGGUCCAUCUGCAUCGUAUUACGCACGAAAAUGGAUUACACUUGACAAUGGAUUACGCGUGAAAAUCGAUUAAAGAUCCAAACAACAUGGUACAAUACAACAACAUGAAGAUCCAAAUACACAUAUUUAAAUUAAAGUCCCAAACACUGCAUAAGUUGUUCAACUUGAAGACCGUGAUCAUCUCGUGAGGAUGUCCUCAACUGGGCGGCACCGCACUUCGUCAUUAAAGAGGUUAGAUGCUACGGAAAAGGGGACACGGUCACAAUGUCCGUAUCCACUCUUUCUCGUAGAAUCGAACCUCCUUCUUGACAUACGUUGCUGCUCGGCGGAGAACAUCCUCGGCGAGAUGAACACGGUAUGCAAGUUCAACAAGUAGCAGAAGUCAUCUAUGUACAAAAAUUCUUUCCUUACCACUACAGAAGUUGUUGAACUUGAAGACCGUGUUCAUUUCGCGAGGAUGUCCUCAGCUAGGCGGCACCGCACUUCGUCAUGAAAGAGGUUAGAUGCUACGGAAAAGGGGACACGGUCACGAUGUCCGUAUCCACUCUUUCUCGUAGAAUCGAACCUCCUUCUUGACAUACGUUGCUGCUCGGCGGAGAACAUUCUCGCCGAAAUGAACACGGUAUGCAAGUUCAACAAGUAUAUGGAUUUAAAAAACCAUAUUGAAUUUGAUAAGAUAAACCGUCUAGACAAGGUAGCAUCAUUUUUAAACCACUGAAAUAAUGCAUACUAUAUAUGACACAUCAAUCUCCCUCACAUUCUAGCUCAAAAUACCUCUCCAUUUUUCUACUUCAUCAUCACAUUGUAGCAAAUAAUCUUUCCAUCUCCAAAGCAUAAAUCAAAGCAUAACACGAGGAUGAAGUAGCAAACCUUCGCAGCACUUGUUGGCUGAGUCAAAUUCCCACGAAAAUGAGGGAAAAAAGUUCGGGCAGCACCUCCCUUGCUUGGGCACCACCGGAGAGUAGGUGAAGCUCAGCUCUCUAUCAAUGUGCUGGACUGCUCGGGCUGGAGGAAGAAGAAAGUCUCUGUCUCGGGGUAUAGUGGGGGAUGAGUUUUAAUCCCGGUUAAAAACUCCAACCGAGACAAAAGGAAACACCUUUUGUCCCGGUUGGAAAGUUAGUCCCGGUUGGAGGAUCCAACCGGGAUAAAAGGGACACCCUUUUAUCCCGGUUGGAGGCACCAACCGGGACUAACCCUUUUAUCCCGGUUGGUGCCUCCAACCGGGAUAAAAGGGUGUCCCUUUUAUCCCGGUUGGAUCCUCCAACCGGGAUAAAAGGGUCCCGCCACCGACGGCCCCCGCUAGCCGUUGCAACCGGGACUAAAGGGGGGCCUUUAGUCCCGGUUGCAAUUACCAACCGGGACUAAUGCUCCCCUCCAAAUUCCCGCACCCCGGCGCACCCCCUUUUGUCCCGGGCCACUUUUAAACCGGGAUAAAAGGGGGUUGAUCGAAAGUCAGUUCUCUACUAGUGAUCGGUGACUCCGCUCGAGGAGAAUUGUUUAUAUCAAGCAUAGAAAUGACAACGUUGGAAGUGGAGGAUAUAUUUUGCUCUGUUGAUUUAAUUGCCGCGAGAGUGGCGGACAAGUUCUAAUGAUUGAAGAUCAGAAGCGUCUCGUGGAGAAUUUUUCAGAAGCUAUAUUUGGAAUUAUUAUAUUAUCUCAGGAGCAGAUUAAAUAUAACGCCACCACUGAAAGCCGAUGAGAUGUAUCUAUCGGCUACAUGCUAUUCAGAUGAAUUUGAUGACAGAUUAAUUACGGAGGAGACCGACCGAUACAACAUUAUGGUUUCUUACUGCUGAUCUGUUAUGAAAGAGGAUGUGAGAAGCUGAUAAUCAAGCAACAAUAAAAUGAUAUACACGCAGGGCAUUAAAUAUUGAGUUAAUGAUUGGGAGUACUACCAUUAUCUUAUGAAAAGUCCAUCGGCUAACCAAACAGCGUCAGCCGAUGGAAGCAAAUAGUGUCAGCCGAUAGAAUGAUGUUAUAUAAGUAUAUAUAUCGGCCUCCGAGCCAAUGGGAAGUAGGAACUAUCAGCCGAUGCACACAUCCAUGGACAUAGCCGAUAAGACAUUGUAUCGGCUGCUUGGCAAAUAAAAAUAGCAUCGGCUGACCGCUUGUUAAAAUAUUAUCGGCCGAUUGCUUGGCAAAAUAGUAUUGGCUGACUGCUUGGCAAAUAAAAAAAUAAUAGGUUGACCAAAAAAGGAUAGCAUUGCCUGAUUGCUUGGCAAAUAAAAAAAAUUACGUCGGCUGAUUGGUUCCAGCAAAAUAGUAUCGGCUGCUUGUUGAUCAGAAAAAGCCGAUACUGUUACAGCUCCCGCAACUGUGCUUUGCUGUCAUCGGCUGGGUUGUUCGUGCUCCAUCUGCAAAUAUUUGUCCCGGCUAGAAAGUAUCGUACGUGCAUUGGGAUUCGGCAGUACAAAUCACGUACACGCGUAUGGUCUGCUCAGAAGCUGUCUGUUCGACGAAGUUCCAGGCCAAUGGUGGAGACUUGAUGACCAUGGUGACCUGCAUUAAUCAACAUGAAGUAUGUAUCGGCUGUUCGGUGAUUGGUAGCAAAUCAGCUUUCUCAUAGCCGGUGACAUAUGGGGCAAGAAAUAUCAGGCUUAAAAAAGGACAGUACGAUCAAUGUCGAAAGUUGUAGCCGACGGUUCUAUUAUUGUGCAGUCGAUGGAACAUAGAAGAUGCAUCUGAAUGAGCAAAAGGAAGGGAGCCGAUAGAAGGGAAUUUAAGUUGCAUGAGAUCCAAUUAAAUUAAGAUGACGAGAGGUGUUGACAUCGAAUCAUCGGACUUCUACGAAGUCUUCAUACUCCGAAACUAGGGAGUCUGUGUUAACACCAAAAUUUAGAAAUAUGCUGAUGCAAAAAAAUAAUGAAAUCUCCUAAAUAAGGCUCAAGAAAGAAAAAGCAAGAAAAGAAAAUCAAUCGCACGCGGCAAGAAUUGAAUAAAAUAUUCUAGAGGUAGAGUUGGUUAGGAUAAGCUUAAUUAGGGAUAGAGUUGGAUUAGUUAGAGAUAGUAUUUUGAUUAGAAAAGAUUGUGUACAUGACUUGUACGUGGUGCGUCAGAGGCCAUCCGCCCUAUAAAUAUAAGGGGUCGUGGCCAUUGUAAUUAUCAUCACACGAUCAAUAUACAACAUAUUUAUCUUUUACCUUUUCGGCUUCACGCCAUUGUAUUAGGAGUAGGAGUAAUGUAGCUUCCUGACGAGUUCCUUCUAGCAAGCUGUGCUGCAUUGACCUUGAUCUCUGGCGAGCUGCAAAGUUCCGUCACCAGGUGUUCUAGGCUUUAACCACCGGGCGCAUCGCUUGUGGUUUCGUCUAGUUUCAUCUACAAGGUAUCGAAUAUCAUGGAUCUUUAACUUACGCAUCGCUUCUGUCUUGAUCUACGGUAUUCACCAGUUAUCCUGCCUUGGUUAAGUCUGCAUCGGCUGAUAUUUAUCUGUUCUAUCAUCUUGCCGUUCAGUUUGCUUUAAUUAGCUUUAGAUCGGUUCAUUAUAGAUGAUAGAUCGCUUAAUAGCCUGUUGCAUCUUAAUCUUGGUUACCCCUUCAAGUGCUGUUGGGAUUAAGUUUCGUUAUGAUUGGAUUCAUCGGCUGGUGGGGUUGGUGGGGUUCAGAUUAACAUCGUGCUAAAUAUUUCUAGACUGCAACUACUGGACGCAUCGCUGUGGUUUCAUCUAGAGAUAUUGGUAGAGAGUUUAGUUUAGAUCUCAUCGGUUCGUGGCUCUAGCUAUGGUGGAGCGGCAGCUGAAUAGCAUCCUGUUUUCUAUCGGUCGCCUGGCCGAUAGUUAUUGCAAAAUAUAUUAAAUCGCCUGGAUGGCCGAUGGAUCACUCACGCUCGUCAAGGAUCAUAUCGGCCUGAUCGGCCAGUUGCCUCGGACUUCAAAGGAUUAUUUUCACCUUGUCAGUUGAAUGGUCAAACUGGCUGGCACGCCCGCGCACACCAUGCGCGCCGAUUUGGAUUUUGCACUGGAGUUAAGUAGAUCUUCCAGGUCCUCAUGUGGUGACGAAGGAUCCACCACCAUCAGGAUUUUGCGUCAACACAUUUUGGCACGCCCAGUGGGACACGGUUAUAAGGUUCAUAUUUUUAUUCAUAUAAAAAAGCAUCUUCGGCAUCAUCGGCCAAAUGAGUGUUCAUCGGCUUGUUAGAAUUAAUUCAAUAUAAUAUUUCAGCAAAAGCAGCCGAUGUAGCGAUUGGAGAUAAGGCCAAGUCAAGUCUGCGUGUAUACGCAUGUUCCGGUGGGAUCAUCUUCAUAAAUGCCAAUGACGAUUAGAGAUGAAGCUUCCUGCAAAAUGAUUGGCUACUCUAUCCGGGAAGAAUUGCUUUUUUAUGAGGCAUAUAUAGAGACCCAUGUUGCAAUUAGGGGGCGUAUUCGUGCAUUGGCUGAAAUAAAAAAAUGCAUCGGCAUAUUGAAAAUUGCAUCGGCCGAUUGACAGUCGUAUCAGCUGAUUGGAAAAAUAAAAAGGGAUCAGGGAUCCGCCGAUUGAAAAUUGCAUCAGCUGAUGGAAAAUGAGAGCAACAGUUACAAUAUUUUUUUUAAAAGAAAGCAAGUAUCGGCAAGCAGUAGCCGAUGGAUUUGUAUUUCAGCCAAUGGGGUUUUUGUUUCAGCUGAUAGUACUACUGGCUGAUGGCAAGUCCAAUGGAGUUAAAAUUGCAUUGACUGAUUGAAAUAAAAAUUAAGUAUCGGCUAAUUUAUGGCCAAGUAGCAUCUGCUGAUUUGUUGCAAAGUAGUUUCGGCUGAUUUAUGGCAAAAUAGAAUCGGCCGAUUUAUGGCAAAGAAGCCAAUAGACAAAAGCAUCGGCUGGUAGAGAAGCCGAUUGAGCAAGCAUCUGUUGAUGAGCUAUGUAUGGGAAAAAGUAUUGGCUGCUUAAACAAUUGACAAAAGCCAAUUGGUCAGACUGAGAAGCCAACUGGGAAAGCAUCGAUCGAUGGAUUGCGUAUGGGAGAGAGUAUCGGUUGAAGUCUUUAGUAUUGACUGCUAGAUAUUUGAGCAAGCGUCGGCCGAUUGACUGCUUGGUAAAAAAAACAUCGGGCUGAUUGCUUGGUUAAUAAAAAAAUUGCAUCGUUCAAGCAAAGAUUGCAUGGGCUGAUUGGUUCAAGCAGAAUAGUAUCGGUUGCUUAUAGAAUAUAUCGGAUAUUAAUUUCGAAGCAUGAAAAUAUUCAUACUCCGAAACUGGGGGGCCUGUGUUGACAACAAAAGCUUGCUGGUUACUGCAUCAAGUUUUGGUGUCAACAUACUUGAUCUUUUGUUUCCAUUGCCAGCGGAUUCAUCGGCUCAGAGUGGGAUCAAGACAUCAAGCUGAUGGAGUUCUUUAUAUUUCAAGAGGAGUCAUGGAGUUCUUUAUAUUUCAAGAGUAGUCGAUGGUGCUUUGAAUAUUGCAACCAGACGUCAUUGGCUCUAAAGAUACCGAAUCAUCGGACUUCUAUGAUCAGUUUCGGAACAUGAAGCCUUCAUACUACGAAACUGGGGGCCUGUGUUGACACCGAAUCAUCGGACUUCUAUAAUUAGUUUUGGAACAUGAAGCCUUCAUACUUCGAAACUGGGGGGCCUAUGUUAACACCAAAAUUUAGAAAUGUGCUCUGAAAGGAAGGUAUCGGCCGAUGAUGCAAAAAAAUAAUGAAAUCUCCUAAAUAAGGCUGAAGAAAGAAAAGCAAGAAAAGGAAAUCAACGCACACGGCAAGAAUUGAAUAAAAUAUUCUGGAGAUAGAGUUGGUUAGGAUAAGCUUGAUUAGAGAUAGAGUUGGAUUAUUUAGAGAUAGUAUUUUGAUUAGAAAAAAUUGUGUACAUGACUUGCCUUGUACGUGGUGCGUCAGAGGCCAUCCGCCCUAUAAAUAUAAGGGGUCGUGGCCAUUGUAAUUAUCAUCACACGAUCAAUAUACAACAUAUUUAUCUUUUACCUUUUCGGCUUCACGCCAUUGCAUUAGGAGUAGGAGUAAUGUAGCUUCUCGACGAGUUCCUUCUAGCAAGCUGGGCUGCAUCGACUUCGAUCUUCGGUGAGCUGCAAGUUCCGUCACCAGGUGUUCUAGGCUUUAACCACUGGGCGCAUCGCUGUGGUUUCGUCUAGUUUCUUCUACCAGUUACCGAGUAUCUUGGAUCUUUGACUUAUGGCACAUCGCUUCUGUCUCGAUCUACGGUAUUCACCAGUUAUCCCGCCUUGAUUAAGCUUGCAUCGGCUGAUAUGUAUCUGUUCUUUCAUCUUGCCGUUCAAUUUGCUUUAGUUAGCUUUAGAUCGGUUCAUCAUAGACAAUAGAUCAUUUAAUAGCAUGUUGCAUCUUGAUCUUAGCUAUCCUUCGAGUGUUGUUGGGAGUAAGUUCCGUUGUGAUUGGAUCCAUCAGCUAGCAGGGUUUAGAUUAACAUCCUGCUAAAUAUUUCUAGACUGCAACUACCGGGCACAUUGUUGUGGUUUCACCUAGAGAUAUUGGUGGUGACGUUAGUUUAGAUCUCAUCGGCUUGUGGCUCUAGCUAUGGCGGGGCAACAACUCAACAACAUCCUGUUUUCAAUCGACCGUCUAACUGAUAGCUAUUGUAAAUUAUAUUAAAUCGGCUGGAUGACGAUGAAUCACUCACAUUCAUCAAGGUACUGGAAUCGGCUUCACAGCCGAUAUAUUUGUCAUGAUUUAUUUUGUUGCACCAUUAUCGCUACUGUGCUAGGAUUAUAUCGGCCUAAUCGGCCAGUUUCCUCGGACUUCACAACGACUAUCAUCUCCUUGUCAGUUGAAUGGUCAAACUGACUGGCAUGCCCGCGCACACCACACGUGCCGAUUUGGAUUCUGCACUGGAAUUAAGCAGAUCUCCCAGGUUCUCAUGUGCUGAUGCAGGGUCCACCACCGCCAGGAUUUUGUGUCAACACCUUGUAAUCUUCCUUUGAUUUCCUCAAUGAUUCGAAGACAAUAACCUUGCUUGUAUAAAUGAUAAUUAUAAGGAGAACCUAGUGGAAACUGUGUAUUCAUAUUAGAACUACCUAUGGUUAAUUAGGUUAGGAAAGGAAAUCGAAAAUAGACCGUACCCACACUUACUUAAAGUUGUUGGGCAGUAGUAUGUAAUGCUUGUAAUUCUGUUACUCCAAGAAUUUGUAUAUGUGGUCCAAUGUAGACUUUGGUUGAUCCCAUAUCUGUUGUUGGUUAAAUAAGUGUUUCUGGCCAUUUCUAGCCGUUAGAACCGGAACUAAAGGGGGCUCUUUAGUACGGGUUGAUAUUACUAACCGGGACUGAAGAGCCCCCAUUACAGUUGGUUUUUGGACGCGGAACUAACAACUCCUUUAGUCCCGAGUCCAAAAACGACUGAGAUAGAAGAUCCUUUCUCUACCGUGAAUAUUGCCAGAAAGAAUUGAAAGAGACCGCUUGCUAAAAAUAUGUCAUAGAUGUAGACCAAGCUACCAAGGAGGUAGACCAAACAUGAUACACACCAUGCGUACCUUGCUGUGCAGACUAUGCAUAGACAAGACACCCGACCACAUGUUGGCCUCGGUCACAUCAAAAGAAUCAUGUAGGCCACCAAUAAACUACUUGAAGCGUCAUUCCGUAUCGUAUAUGCAUUGCCGGUUCAUCUGCAUUACAUUACAUAAAGUAGUAUUAACUAUUUGAAUAAAAUGAACCAAUUUAAAAGUAAUGUGUUGUACUCUACUAUAGAAAGCCCUAUCACUGUCGGAUCCAGAAACAUCAUUGUUGAUGGUCGUUAAGUACCAAGACGGUCAAUAUUCUCAAGAAUAAUGGAGAAUUGGCAUUUCUUACACACAUAUUUGGUUUUGAACAAUGUAGUCCCACAUGUCCUUGGAGAUUAUUUGGGUGUGGGUGAAAUAAUACAAAAAGAAGGAGAAAACACACUCCCAUGGUGAAGAAACAAAACUCCGACCAAUGAGAGAUAGCCACAGGGGCAGCACACGGAUCCAUGGGCCCACAAACCGCAUCAAACUGUCUUACCAAGGCGGGUAGCACCCACAACCAUGAUUAGGACCCACCUGGAUGUCUACCAAGAAGAAGGUUGUGAGUGGGGCCAGGAGGGGUUCGGCUGAAUCAUCUCUAGCUCCCCUCAUCCCCAGCUGGUGCAUGGCGGUGGUUAAUGGUGUCCCUACAUCGGUUAGAGGAGAUUCCCCCAAAUAUUCCUCCUGUAAACCACCUGUAUGGACCUAUACAUAGAGGGGUGUGCUCUCCAAUCCAACACACACCACAAGUUUAAUCACUCUCUCCCUCUUUAAUUUCCAUGUUUAUGGAGUUAGCCUAGAGUAGCUCUGCUCAAGGUUCCAAGUCCACUUGGAGUUAAGCAUAUGUCUCUUGUAUCGUUAUUUCCCAGAUUGACUUUAUGCUUAGUUCUUAUAUGCAUGAGUUAGUCUAAUAGCCUUGCUCUAUUGAUAUGCUCGGCUUAUAUGCUCGUAUGCUAGUCAUAUACCCUUGCUGCCGUAGUAUAGGCUUAUAUGCUCUCAUGUGUGCCUUUAGACCUUGCUACAAUAUAUACUUGUUGUGUAUACAUACCAUGUAUAGGCUAGUCGAUCUAUACCAUGGCAUUGGUUCAAUAGCCAUGUUUUUGGUGGCUCCAACCCUAGUCAGAAUAGCUCGGGACAGCUAGAGUGUUGUUAAAAAUGCAAGAGUGAUGGUUGGGUUGUUUAGCAUCGUUGGAUAUGGGUUUUCCCCACGGGUUUCUAAGAGUAGGCGGCAGCUAGUGACAGCCCUGUCCGUCCUUCGUAAUCCCCCCACAUUCAAGUACGCCAUAGAAGUUCAUAAAUUAGCAGUAACUACACCGGCAGACCGGUAGGGUAUUGUCUCCCUAUAGUACCUUGGUGCAUAGAACUAGGUCAUAUACACUGUGUGUCUAUGUUUACGCUGAUAUGAUCUGUGCAGUAUAUAGCAUGUAUAUAUGAACCUAGAGCUAACUCCUAGUCCAUUCUCCGUAGCUUAGUUAUCUUGAGAUGAUUCUUCUGUGUGUGUAACACUACCCAUCUUAUCAUUAUCCUUAAUCCUGUCUUGUGUAAUAUAUCUACUCAUCCUAUGAUAUACUCAUAUGCAUAGUAAACUAUUUUGACCUACCCGCCUUCCUUUGGGAAAUACGAUACCCUGGAAUAAUCCUAGGUGAAAUGCUACAACGGUAUAUCCAUGUGCUUACGGAAUUAUUCCUGACCAUUAAAUAUACCAACAAUCAUCACUAUCUAUUUUGGGCAUCGUUAGUGAAGGGUCGGCAGUGAUGGGCAUCCCCUUCACCAAUGGAGCUGGAACUGGCGGUGAUGGCCAUUAAAAAAAAUGGGACCCCACCCAGCGUACCCCGCAACCCGGCCGGCUGCGCCUCCCAUCAUCCCCGCCGGUCGCCCUUCCUCUUUGCCGGCCGAGCAUGGUUCCGGCCCUCGUCCCUACCGCCUCGCCUCCAUCGCGACCCCCUGCCGAUGCCCUCAUGCCUGGCCCCCCUCGUCUGGCCGGCCACCCUCCCGAUGCAUCCACCGGGGCCCUCGCACCACCAACCACCCUAGCCUAGAGAGAGAGAGGAGGAGGGAGGUGAGGCCACGCACCUCGUCCUACAACGCCGCUGUUGCUCCUCGGCCCACCGCGCCUCACCCCACACCACAGCCGCACCUCGCCAUCUUACCGGCCGCGACGCCCCAUCUCACCGGCCACCGUUCCUCACCCCCACAUCGGUCAUCGCUGCUCCUUGCCCUACUGCUGCUCUUUGCAGCCGCGAAUGAGGGGCGAGUGGAGGGGGAGGGGCGGGGCAGGAGGAGGGCAAGAUCCGGGAGGAAGGGAGAGAUUUUGGGAGGUGGAGAUGGAAGGAUAUGGCGGAAGGUAGAGAUCUAGAGGGAGAGAGCGGGGGGGAGAGGGGGGCAUGUGGGGAGAGAGCGCAUGUGGGGUGGGGCCGGGCUGGUGGGAUGGAAGGUAGAGGGGCCGGAGGGCGCAGUGCAUUCAACUGGAUUAAGUAAAUAUUUCGGAUUCGAGACCCCAGCUUUAUUAUCACCGCUGGUCCGUAGUACCAUUCGGUGCCGGCUCAUAAUUUAAUUUGAACCGGUGGUGAUGUUUUAUUAUCACUGCUGGUUUCAAUUUUCACCAUCGGAUCAUAUAAAAAUCCGGCGGUUAAAAAUCCGCUGGUUUCGAUGAAAACCGACAGUGAUAGGACGACUGUGAUAGUCUCUUCUCUAGUAGUAGUAUAUUAGUACCGGCUGCCGGAUGGUGUUGCCGACGAGUACUUCUCCAGGGGCGAUUCAGUACUGAUGUUAGCAAAGCUUGUUCUCUAUGAAUUUGGGGAUGGAAAGCUAGUUCUCUAGUUGUGAUUUGUUACAUAUAUCUCUAUGAUAGUCUAGAAAUUGCAUGUCCUUCGUUGACAUAGUUGAAGCUGCUUCAAGAAUUUACUUCGUGCAGUCGUGCAGCAUAUUGGAUUAUCACCUAGACAGGAUACAUAGGUGAAGCAUUGCAUGUGAUUGUGGCUGAUAAUUAUGCAGGACGCUGUUGCAAUCAACCAUCAAGAAGACUGGAGCGAUGGGGUUGCCUCAUCAACAAUUUUUAUAUAUGGCUGCAGUAUUAUUAAGCCCACGUCAAUAAUUUUUUCUCCGCAGCAUAUAUAUGGUUACUCAGUUCGCUGGAGUAUCGCUGUGGAAAAACAUACGUACUGCGCCUCGGAACUAACUGGCAUUCAGGCCAUCAACGACCAGAUAUUUGGGACAACCAACAAAUAGUAGGUGGUUCCUAAGUUGUAGUCGUAUGUACUAAUGCGCCUCGAUGGGGUUUUCUUCAGAUAUUUUAUUGCCGUUCAAUGAACAAGCAGAUACAUAACCUGUGCAGAAAAUUCCAUCUCCACGCAUGCCACUGCACCAACAAGAUCCUCAGUCGACGAUGAUGGCUCAGCCUGUUCCUUCUGCCACCAAAUCCUCAAUCUUCCCUCCAGCAACGGAGAAUGCACCUUUAGUACCUUCAGUAUCAGAUGUUGCAAUCGGUACCGUGAAACCGAGACUAAAAUCCUUACUUUGCAGGGGGCAAAACAAUCUUGCAAAUAUAUAUUUUGAAUUCCAACAAAAUUUAAGAAAUGUUAAAGAUGACUAGCUGAGAGUCAACAGACAAGAUAUGAUAUUAGGAAUGUGGGAGGAUGAAUGCAUUUGUACAGGGGUCAUACUAUUUCCAGACUCUUCUAUAUUUCCAUAUGACUACCUACUUCAAUGUCACGCGAGCCAUUCAAAAAGAUACAUGGUACACUUGUAUGUCUAAUCCAUUAUUGAUUAUUUCCUCUUGUCAUCUCUUACAAGUAUUUCUCCAUACUAUAGAAACGUGCAACACAUUUUUAGGAUAUGGACACGCAUGAUUAAUAUGCUUGGACUAGUAUACAGGUCAUCUUUGGAUGAGUACAUAUGAAUGCCAGGGAGGGACUGAUGGAUAUAAGGAAAAGGGACCAUGCAUAAAUAAUGACAUAUGUAACAUGGCAAUCUUCAUUGCCAUGCAACUCCUAUCAACAAUCAUGGAAUACAUACUACUGCUCCAGAAGGGUGGUGUGCAAAUUUAUUUUACCUCGCGGUGAAAAUCUCCAGAGCAGGCCUGAAGUUAAAAUAAGAGGCAGUCACUAUCGAUCAUGACAGUCUCGAAACUGUACAGCACUAUGCUAGUCCUAGUCCUCAUGUCGUUCGUGCUGUCGUGUAGCAUGAUGGAUUAUUAACUGGGCAGGACACGGAGAUGGCUAGCGAUGACAGAGGAUGACGUACAUGAUAUUCACCUCUGAAAUGAAGCGUAGGCUAAUGAAGCACAAUUGCAUGUGAGUGUGGCAGAUAUUUAUACAGGACAGUGAUUGCAAUAAUCGACCAUCGAGAUCGAAGACAGGGGCGAUGGGGUUGCCUCAUCAAUAAUUCGCGCAACCAGACAAGCUGCAGACUCAAUAUGGUACGAAGCUAUUUGGUCAGCCCACAUGCUCUGAUAUAACAUUGGCAUCUGCUGAUCUACAGUAUAUAUGACCAGAAAUAUUGUGCCACCUCAAUAAUUUUCCGAAGUAUCGUUGGGGAAGCACCUACAUACUAUGCCUCGGAACUAACUGACAUGUUGGCCUAGGCGGUCCAGGCCGAUUGGACAGGCUCUUCCUUAUGGCUCCUCACGUCCCCUUCGUUUCCGAGUAAUCUCAGGUGUUCUGAAGUUUUCUUUUCACUUGCAUGUGGACCUUAUAUAUCAAUAGCUUCGGGAUAAGAAUGCCUCUUGAUAACCUUCCAAAUCGUCGCUUGAUUCACUUUGAUUCCAAAAUCAUCUUGCCAUAUCUUUUGAGACUUAGGCCCUAAGGCAUCAUGGAGGAUUGCUCGCCAAGAAUGAGCACCAUUGGGCUCCUGAGGACCCUAGGCCGAUCAGCCUGGGCUCUAUAGGUUGAUUGGCCCAGGCCCUCUCUGGGCCCAUUGGCCUUCAUCUUUCUCUGAGUCGACGCUUAUUGAGGGCUUUGUCCAAUUAUAGUCCAUUAUAGUCUAAUUUCCAAAAAAAUAGAAUAUCCUCCAAAAUACAAUACAUUUGUGAAAACAGCCCAAUUAUUAGGUAUGAUCAAUAGUCUAGGUAUUAAAUUAAUGUUAUUAUUUAAGAUAAAUAGGGAUAAAGGGUGUCAUUAAUAACGAGCACCAACCAGCGUACCAGCUGUUAACACUAACCGAUGCUAAUAUGUACCCUUUAGUACCGGCUAUUUCACCCGGUACUAAACGAGACAAGAGCACCCUAACAGAGGUUAAUACCAUCCAUUUCAUGAGUAAAAUACUAUGAUUCAAAAAUAAUUCAAAUCCCUUAAGACAAUACCUAUCAAAUGAGUAGAUUGUAAAUAGAGUAAAACAAUGUCCUAAUGAAACGGAACACUUCUGGUUCGUGUAGAGCACAAUAUAGAAAACAGUAGGGUAGCUGUACGAUUGACACGUGGUCCAUUAAUUAUUGAGCCAUCACUAUGGACAUGUCUUCAUGAGUAGUGUACUAGUCAUGACACAUGGUAUGUAGUAGGUGGAGGUAUUGAGUUAGCCAUGCCAUGAGCACUUAGUUACAACAAACACUUUGCCAUUAUCGAGCAUCCCAAAUCACUACAAAAUCCAUAGUUUACCAUAUACUACAAAAUCUGAGUUAAAAUAAGAGCAUACACGGAAGAGUCCGAAUGCACCGGUUUAGGACCAGGCACAUUGAAUUACUAGAAAAAGUUAUCGGACAAGGUUUUGGGUAACCGCAUGAAAAAUGUUGGAUUUUACUGAACACUUAGUUACAAUUACCAUGCCGUGAGCACUUAGUCACCACAAACAUUUAACCACUUUAGAUCAUCCUGAAUCCCUAUAAAUUCUGUACCUUACACCGUACCAUGAAAACGACAAGAACAGAGACAGAUGCAGUGAAAAUCUCCAGAGCAGGCCUGAAAUUAAAAUAAGAGGAGGCAGUCUCUAUCGAUCAGGACACGGAGAUUGCUAGCCAUGACAGAGGAAGACAUGAUAUGAUAUUCACCUCUGAAAUGCAGCGUAGACUAAUGAAGCACAAUUGCAUGUGAGUGUGGCAGAUAAUGGACCAUCGAGACCAUCGAAUGGUAUGAAGCAUGAUUAUCACCUAGACAUGAUAUCCUAGACAGGACGGUGAAUUGUAAAAAGAGUAAUCUUGAUCAAAGAAUGUCCUAAUGAAACGGAACAUUUUUGGUACGUGUAGAGCACAAUAUAGAAAACAGUAGAGUAGUUGUACGAUUGAAACUGCAUCCAUCCACGUGGUCCAUGAAUUGUUGAGCCAACACUGUGGACAUGUCUUCAUGAACACCAUCUAGUGAGGACAGGAUGCAGAAAAAUAUAAAAACAUGUCAUAGGGAGGCAGACCAAUCUUGCAAGGAGGUAAACGAAACGUGAUACACGAUCUGCCUACCUUGUCGUGGAUACCCCAAGAGAAGAUGUCAUAGAGGUGCAGACCAAGCUAGCAAGGAGGUAGAUGAAACGUGAUACACGGCCUGCCUACCUUGCCGUGGAUAUUAGCCCUGAUAUCAUUCUAUUGUUCAAGGAAUAACACUCAAUGCUGCUGCUGCUGCUGACCUGGCUCCAUAAAGUUGUAUUCCUCUAGCCGCUUGCACUAACUUUAUCUGAAGUAUUAUUCUCUCUGCCCUGAUAUCUGAAGUAUUAUUCUCUCUGCUGACUUUGCUGAAGAACCUACAUAAUAUGUCUUGGAACUAACUGACAUUGAUUCACAGACAAACUCUACAAGGUGCUGUUGUUGCCAUAUUUUAGAGCAUCCCAAAGGACUAUAAAUAAUAUAGUUUACCAUAUACCGUAUACCAUUAUAUGUUAGCUAAAAUAAGAGCAUAACAUGUCGCAGGAGUCCAAAAGCACCGGUUGAGGACCAGGUACAUUGAAUUACUAGAAAAAGACAGGGGGCAAUGUUUAGGUAGCCACAUGAAAAACAUUUGAAUUUACUGUUCCAUGAACACUUAGUUACCAUGCCGGGAGCACCUAGUUAACACUAAAAUUUAGCCACUUUAGAUCAUCCCGAAACACCCUCAAUAGCGACAAAUUUUGAUUUAAAUGCCGUCACCAAUGAUCCUCAAUAGCGACGUGUUUAGGUUUAAAUCCCGUCACUAAUAACCCUUGGUAGUGACGUGUUUUGGUUUAAAUCUCAUCCCACUGAUCCUCAAUAGUGACGUGUUUUUAGCAACACACGCUAUGAAUGACUUGUCAUUGGUGACAUGUUAAAUGCGUUAUCUCAAUGGCAAAUCAUUGGUGACGUGUUUUAAAAAAACAUGUCACUGUGAGAGUUAUUGGUGAAGGGUAAUUAAAAUGCAUCACUAAUUUUGUAGCAUUAGUUAUGAUAUAAUUUAGUAACGCAAAAAUCUACCAUCAGUAAUGAGGUUUAGAGCCGUCGCUAAUGUGGGUUUCUUACGAGUGAUGCAAGCUCUACAAGGUGCUGUUGUUGCCAUUUUAAAGCAUCCCAAGUGACUACAAGUUAAUAGCAUAGUUUACCAUAUACCAUAAAAAUAUUAGUUACAAUAAGCACAUCCGCAUGUGGAAGAGUCCGAAUGCACCAGUUGAGGACUAAACACAUUGAAUUACUAGAACCAAAUGUAAGACAAAGAAAGGGGUCAAGGUUUGGGUAACCGCAUUAAAAACAUUGGAUUUUACUGUACCAUGAACACUUAGUUACCAUUACCAUACCUUGAGCAUCUAGUUACCACAAACAAUAAUUUAGCCACUUUAGAGGUUCCAGAAUCACUAUAAAUAAUAUACCAACACCGUACCAUGAAAACAUCAAGAAGAGAGACGGGUACAUGGACCACCAUCAAGUGAGUAGUGACAGCACGCACAAGAAUACCCGGAACCUGUUAGCUUGUCUGUAGUGAUCUGUUUUCUUCCCCAUAAAAUCCAUGAGUAUUGCCACAAAUAAUGAAAGAGGCUGACCAAGCUAACAAGGAGGUAGAGAAAACGUGAUACACGUAGGUUUCAUUCAAGACAUCCAUGUAAGAUUCAUUCAAAACAUUCAUGGAAAUUUCUUGUAAGUUUUCAUGUAAAUUUCAUUCAAGACAUUUGUUAGAGGUGUUGUAUAUAUAUACCUUAACGUACAUAUAUCUAUGAUUUCAUGGUUGUUAGUGAUGGCAGAUGAGGAGCAUGCAAGGUAUUUAAUGGAGCAGAUUAUUGCUAGUGGUAGUGGCUCCAACCUGCCCGUAACGUACACCAACGAAGAGAGCAGCCAGGCGGACAUGUUCCUCAACAUAUCCGGUGAUGGCAAUGAAGAGCCCGAGCAAAACCUUGCCGUGACGGAAGGUUCCAGUGAGGUAUAUAUCAUUUCCAUUGUUUUACCCCAUCUAUAAUUUCAUAUUCAUUAUUACUAUGUACUAAUUAAUGGAUCUUGAACCAUUAGCCCUCUAGAUCAACGAACCGAAAUAAGCCCCGAGGUCUUACAAAGAUAAUGCAGGGAAGGCAUCACAUCACGGAAGUCACAGAAGAGGGCACAUCAGUUGCUCCCGAACAUGUGGCAAGAAAGUACGUGAGUCAAACCGGGCAAUGUGCCCAUCAGCAUUAGGGAAUGAAAGGGCAAUAGAAAUGAUCUAUACACGCCCCCGGAUACACAAAAGGAUAUGCUGUGGGCAAAUAUCAAGAAACACUUCACAUUUCCCAAAGGAUAUGUUGAAAAAGAUGUGAAAGCGUGGAUGCUGAAGAAGAUGGUCACCGAAUUCCAGACAUUCAAGAAGAUGUUGGAUGUCAACUUCAUCAAGAAGGGUCGAACUCCGGGUUUCGAUGAGUGGCCAAAGUUAAGGGACCACUGGGAGUCAUUUGUCAAAUACAAGACGAGUGAAGGUGGUGCGAGUAAGGUUCGCAUCAAUGUUGCCAAUGCUAGCAAGGAGUACCAUCAUCAUCUAGGGCGACGUGGUUACAGCACUGCAAUUCCCAGAUGGCGCAAGAUGGAACAAGACCUGAUCGAUCGGGGUAUCGUACCAGCAACUCCUGACUGGCCUGAUCGAUUGAAAAAUUGGUAUUAUGCUCAUGAAGGCAAUCUGAGCCAACAGGAUGCGACAUUGGUCUUCAAUAAAACAAUACGUCAGAAGGCCGGAAGGCUUAUUAGGAACAUUGAAAAUGCUAAAUCUGGGAGGUUCAAGGUGGAUAGAGAGAAUGAUGAGCUCACAUUGGCCCUUGGGACUAUCAUCUCUAGCAUUUCCAGCUCCAGGACUGUCGUCACCACCGGGACCGUCGCUUCUUGCUCGAUCACAGUCUCCAUCUCCAGCACAUCCUGGUGGUGCGAACGAUGACGACAACAACACCCCUCCCUGCCCACCAUCGCCGGGACUAAGACCCGCAUCGAGUAAGGAACCUGCAGCACCACUGAAGAAGUCGCGACCACCGCCUUCCAAGCCAAGUCAGCAAAAGAAGAAAGCAGAGAAGCCUAAGCCCACUGAGAAGCCAACAACCGAUAUGACCGAUGCGGAAAGAUGGAAGGCACUCAAAGAAGAAUGCAGGGAGUGGUUCUGUAAAAAGAACCAAAGAAAGAAAAGGAAAGCAGAUGGAGCCACCGCCAGUAGAUCCAAGAAAAUUAUAAUUUUUUAUUAAGAUGUCAAAAGGAGCCAAGAAGAUGAUUCCACAACUAUCAAACUACGACCGGGCGUUAGUCAAGGCUGAUGAGAGUUAAAAAAGGAAAGGAAAGUCAUCUUCAAGUGGUACUGUCCCCCACCUCGAGGAUCUACCAGAAAAAGACGCUAAAAAGAUAGUAGCAAUGCUCUUGGAUCAACAAACACAUAUAUCAUGAGAUUCAUGCAAGAAACAGGUAUGUGCCUUGCUGAAUGUCUAGGGCAAGUUGAUAUGCUAGCUCUAGAGCCAUUUGUACCGAAAUGGACCUUUGAGCUAGGCAAGCCUCUAGUAAGGCCUGAGCUGGUACAGAAGCUAUCCACAUAGCUAUAUGAAUACCAUGAAUGGUACAUGAAGCAGUCUGCCAAUGAGAGGAAAAUGUUCGGUCUCAGGGAAAAACUGAUAUUUUUUUUCGGCGAAGGCGAGAAAGUCUUGUGAUGGAAUUCAAGGAUAUAUAUGAAGUGUACCAUCAGGAUGCCCUUGAUGUCUCUCUCAUCAGCGCCUAGGUUAUGUAAGUGUAUGUUUAUCUAUACGUAAUUUUUGUCUCAUAUCAUUAUUUCUUUUGCGUGCGUCACCCUACUAACUUCGUCUUCCAUUUUAUGUAGGAUGCUAAUUCAGAUGUGCCGCAUAGAAGCGCACUUCCAUGUUGGCUUCAUGGAUCCAUCCCUAGUUAACCAAAAGCAGAUACGGAAGUAGCUAGAGAAAAUGUUGGAGGUGGUAUACAACUUCCUGGACAAACAAAACUAUAGAAUAGGGGCAAUAUGUGAAGGUCUUGUAGGAUUCCUAGUGGACAAGGUGAUAAAUCCAUAAGGAGAAUAUCAUUACAACGGACGAGCAUUAGACACACUGAGCAACACCUAGACGGGAGGAUCCUAGGAAUGACCUAGACAGAUUUUGGUAUAAAUAGUAAUUGUGUAAAUACUAGUUUGAUUUGUAUAGGAAUAUACUAAGAAUUGUAUAUAUAGUAAUUGUACAAAUACUAGUUUGAUUUGUAUAAAUACUAGAUUGAUUUUAUUAUAAAAAAGUUUUAAGUCGUACGUGCAUGCGCCUACAAAGGCGCGUAUGCCCUUUAAUCCCGGUUGGAAAAACAAACCGGUACUAAAGGGGCUCGUGCCGCACCUGGCAUGACCGCCCCUUUAGUCCCGGUUGAACGACCCAGGACCAAAGAUCUGCCCCGUCUCAUAAAUUUUAUCCUGGAUGCUUUUUAGAGAGAUUUGAGGCCUAUCAACCAAGACUAAUAUCGAGUUUUCUACCAGUGGAACUAACUAACGUUCACAUGCUUCUGACAUUCACCUGCCAUUUGGUGUAGACAAGGGCACCCUAACAUAUGGUUAAUAUUAUUCAUGAAAGAAAAUCCUUUGAUUCAAAAAUACUUCAAACCUAAUAAUACAAUACUUCUCACAUCUGAAAAAUAUGAGAUGGCCCGACAGUAUUCUAACCGACGCAAUAAUAUUUUGAGGGCAGCACUACUACAGCGACCCUCAUUCGUGCCGGUGCUGGAACCCCUAUCACGACCCUGAUACAAAUGAGGGUACAUUAUUGUUGCCAGUGCUAGAAUAGCCACGAAUAACUUGCUAAACAUGCUGUUACACUCACUACUAGAAAAAUAACCUCUCGUCCUGAGGCUUAGUACCGGUCACUUUUUUGCCCAGUACUAAUGUUAGUAUUAGUACCGGAUCCAAAUUUGGGAUCCCCCAGAGACCCUUUAGUACCAGGUGGAGUCUCCACCCGAUACUAAAGGCUUUGUUACCGGGUGAAGGAUCCUCCCGGUACUAAUGGGGGAUUUUUAGUACCGGGUGGGAACCCCACCCGAAACUAAAAUCUCCCAUGCGGACCCCUCCCCCCCCCACGCGUUGCCUCUGUCCUCCCUCCUCCUCCUCUGAGUAGUUAUCCCUUCCUCAUCCCUCCUCCUCCUCCCACACGUGGGGUGAGGUGAGGUGGCAGUAGCAACGACAGGUGGUGUGGCGGGUCACGGCGGGCCGGAUGCGGAGCCGCAACGGUGGUCGGCGGGAUGGGGUGGGGCAGAGCGGCAUGGCAGGGCGGAGCGGUGGGACGGGGCCGAGGUGGAGGUGCCGGGCGGAGGUGGAGUGGCAGGACAGAGGCGGAGGCGGAGCGGCGGGUCGGCGAGCGGGUGGAGGGUGGCGACGAUGGGGCGGGCAGAGGCAGAGGGGUGGGUGGAGGGGCGGCGUGGUCCACCGGCGGGGGGGGGGGGGGGAGAGGGAGGCGUGGGGGGUGCGGUUGGUGAUUUCAAUUUUCUUUUAAUUUUUUAACACCCUUCAGUACCAGUUAUUUUAACCGGGUCUAAAGGGAUCCCCUCUUGUACCGAAUUGCUAGUACAGGAUGCACAACCGGUACUAGAGGGAGGUUCCCAACCGGUACUAGAGCCACUUUCCCCGGUAGUGACUUUUUCACCGAUUAGAAUAUGUUAUUAUUCUAAUCAGCUUUUGUUGAUCUCCUGUAUAAUUUAGUACCUAAUUCUACUAGCAAUUGUUAACGCCGACACGUAUUGGGUAUAGUCCUAACAGUGUCUAACUAGGGCACUACAUUUGUUAACCUAUAACUACUGGUAUCGAUUAGCCCUGGUUAGAAUACUGUCAAGGCAGCCAGAAAAAAUUGUUUGCCAAUUCUGCUAUCCAUCAGAACCAUGACUAGUACCGUAUUGUAAUAAACGAAUUACACAAAUAACUGAUGCACACAAAGGAAUAUGCACUCGCAUGUGCUAGACGUUCGUAGCAACAACAAAUUACUCUCAUCAUCAAUUAAACAUAAUAGAUUAAACAUUAACUGAACAUAGUUCAACACGUACAUCAACAAGACAAAGCAGUUUAAACAUCAACUGAACAGAACUGAAAACAUACAUCAACUGAUGAUAAACUUCGACAUGAACACAACACAUAAACAUCAACUUCAAUAGAACUUAAUAGAGCAUAUUAAACAACAACAUCGACAAAACAUAUAAACCCAGCUCAGUAGCUCAAGCAUCAACUAAAACUGCUGAAUUAAAAUAACAUAACAUAGUGUAGUUCAUCAUGAUGAUAACUAACAGAACCGAAAAGCCUAACUGGGUAAAAGAGCAAUUCAUUCAUAAUGCUUCAGCACUUACAUCACCGGAGUAUGCAACUGGCGGCGUCGCUUACGUCACUAUCACCGCGCUUGGCGAGUAAAGGAGGAGGAGGUGGCAUAGUAAUCGAAGAGGAGGCCGCUGUCGGCGGGUUUAGACUACGUGGAGGUGUGGGUAGGGUUAAGGUGGCUCUGUGGACGAGUAUAUAUAAGAGGUCUGGGCUUGUUAGAAUAAGAUAACAUUCUAACUGGCCAAAUUCGGAUCCGGUUAGAAUAAAUUGUUCUAACCAGCCUUAAUUCGAGGUGGUAAGGAUAAGUUAACAUUCUAAUCAGCUCUAUUUGGAGCCCGAUUGAAUGUUCUUGUUAUUCAAAAAAAGAUCAAGUUCAUCAAUUUUUUUCUAGAAAAACAUCAAGAUAAUUUAAACACGAUAUAUAACAAGAUUAAUACAUUUAAAAAUUGUUUUCUCCAAUAAUUAACGAUAUUUAACAAAUUCAAAAAAAAUCCAAAUUAACAGAACAUAAUAACCAAUUGUUCGAAAAAAUCAAAAUAGUCCACACAGUAUCAUAUUACAAAUUCAGAAAAAUAUCAAAAUAAUCCCUGAUCCACUCGAUACCGUCGUAGAACUUUGAAAUACUGAGCUUCUUGAUUCAUCUGAGGUCCACGUACUCGUCUCAGUAACACUAGUGGUGGCCAUGCAUCUUGUAGAUGUCUUCUAAUGAAUUAAGCUUGACAUACAAGGUCGUGCCUUCCACUCCUUGAGGAUUGCUUAUGACGUUUCUGCAAAUAACGAAGCAUUGCUUUCUCCAACAUGAUUAUUUUCUUCGGCUUAUCCCAAGGGACAACUAUGGUUUUCCCCUUGCCGGAAGAGGAACGAUGAUCGCCCCCACCAUCGCCACUUCCUCCAGUAGCAGAAGCCAUCUAUGUACAAAAAUUCAUACCUUAGCACUACAGAACUUGUUGAACUUGAAGACUGUGAUCAUUAGGCGAGCAUGUUCUCAACUAGGUGGCACCGCACUUCGUCAUGGAAGAGCUUCGAUUUUACAAAAAAGGGGACAUGAUCUUCCAUGAUGUCCGUAUCCGCUCUUUCUCGUAGAAUCAGAGCUCCUCCUUGAUAUACGAUGCUGCUCGGCGGAGAACAUGCUCACCGAGAUGAACACGGUAUGCAAGUUCAACAAGUAUGGAUUUGAAAAACCAUAUUGAAUUUGACAAGACAAACUAUCUAGAUAAGCGUAGCAUCAUUCUUAAACCACUGCAAGGAUACGUACUAUAUAUGACACAUCAAUCUCCCUCACAUUCUAGCUCAAAAUACCUCUCCAUUUUCUACUUCACAUUCUAGCAAAUAAACUAUCUAUCUCCAUUCUACACAUCAAGUUGUUUUAACUAAUACAAAUCGUAUAUAACAAGCAAAAUAUCCAUCACAUUCUAGCUCAAAAACAUGUAUAAAUACAAAUCCUCUUCAUUCUCCCUUUUUCUAACAAACAAACUCAUUUUUCUCCCUCUCCAAAGCAUAAAUUAAAGCGUAACAUGAGGAUGAGGUAGCAAACCUUCACAACACAUUGGAUGAGUGAAAUUCCCACGAAAAUGAGGGAAAAAAAUUCGGGCAGCACCUCCCUUGCUUCGGCACCUCUAGAGAGUAGGUGAAGCUCAGUUCUCUAUUUUUGUGGUGGACUAGCUUGGGCUGGAGGAGGAAGAAAGGCCUCUGUCUUGGUAUAUAAUGGGGGAUGAGUUUUUAUCCCAGUUAAAAGCUCCAACUGAGACAAAACGGCCAAUCUUUUGUCCCGGUUGGAGCCUCCAACCGGGACAAAAGGGGCACGCCAUCGACGCACGGGAGCUAGCCGUUACAACCGGGACUAAAGGGGGGCCUUUAGUCCCGGUUGCAAAUACCAACUGGGAUUAAAUCUCCCCUCCAUUUUUGCCUACCGUGGUGCGCCCCCUUUUAUCCCGGGUCAACUUUAAACCGGGACAAAAGGGGGCGUCGAAGAUCAGUUCUCUACUAGUGACCCCUCCCCACCUAUCUCUCUCCCUCCAUGCUCCUCGAUCUGUGCCUCCCCUCCCCUCCCCUUCCACUCGCCCCUCACCGACGGUAAGGAGCAGCGGCGGGGCGAGGUGAGGUGGCAGCAGCAAUGGCAGGUGGUGGGUCGCAGCGGAGCGGCUACGGUAGGCAGCCGGACGGGGCAGAGCGGCGGGGCGGGGUGGAGGCGGAGGUGGCGGGUAGAGGCGGAGCGGCGAGGCGGAGGCGGAGGUGGAGGCGGAGUGGUGGGACGGCAGGGCCGGGCGACUAGUAUAGGUGGGCGGGCGGAGGGCGGCGACGGCGGAGCGGGCGGAGGCAGAGGGGCAGCGGGGGCCGCCGGCGGGGGGUGUGAUCGGGGAUUUCAAUUUUUUUUAAAUUUUUUAACACCUUUUAGUCCAACUGGUUCUAAAGGGACCCCUCUAGUAUCAAAAUUGCUAGUACCGGUUGCACAACCGGUACCAGAAGUGGUUCCUAACUGGUACUAGAGCCACUUUCCCUGGUAGAGACUUUUUUACCAGUUAGAAUAUGUUAUUAUUUUAAUCAGCUUUCGCUGAUCGCCAGUAUGAUUUAGUACCUAAUUUUACUGGCGAUUGUUACCGCUGACACGGAUUGGGUAUAGUCCUAACAGUGUAUAACUACGGCACUACAUUUGUUAACCUAUAACUACUUGUAUCGAUUAGCCCUGGUUAGAAUACUGUCAAGGCAGCCAGAAUUUUUUUUUUUUGCCAAUUCUGCUAUCCAUGAGAUCCAUGACUAGUACCGCAAUGUAAUGAAUGAACUGCACAAAUAACUGAUGCACACAAAAGAAUAUGCACUUGCACGCUAGACGUUCGUAACAACAAAUUACUCUCAUCACCAAUUGAACAUAAUAGAUUAAACAUUAACUGAACAGAAUUCAACACGUACAUCAACACGACAAAGCAGUUUAAACAUCAACUGAACUGAACUGAACACAUACAUCAACUGAUGAUAAUUAUCGACAUCAACAGAACACAUGAACAUCAACAUCAAUAGAACUUAAUAGAGCAUAUUAAACAACAACAUCGACAAAACAUAUAAACCCAGCUUAGUAGCUCAGGCAUCAACUAAAAUUGCUGAAUUAAAACAACACAACGUAGUGUAGUUCAUAAUGCUUCGGCGCUUACACCACUGGCGGGUCGCUUACGUCGGCAUCACCGCGCUGGCUGAACCUCCGACACCCCCACCACGGCAAACGGAGGUGAUGGCGGAAGGUGAGGCAACGACAGUAGCUGGUGAGCUCCCGCUCCAAUGUCUCGCGAGUAAAGGAGGAGGAGGUGGCAUGGGAAUCGAAGAGGACACUAGUAGAGAAACGACUUUCCAUCCACCCCCUUUUGUCCCGGUUUAAAGUUGGCCCGGGACAAAAGGUUCACCAACCGGGAUUAAAACUCGGUCACUGGUGGGGGGCUCACCAACCGGGACCUUUUAUCCCGGUUGCAAAGGCUAGUGGGAAAAAAUUACUCUGAGAGGCCUUUUAUCCCGGUUUGAAACACCAACCGGGAUAAAAGACCCCCCCUUUUAUCCCGGUUGGUAACACCAACCGAGAUAAAAGGGUCAAGAGCCUUUUAUCCCGGUUGGAAACACCAACCGGGAUAAAAGGGGGUCUUUUAUCCCGGUUGGUGUUUCCAACCGGGAUAAAAGGGUCCCCCACGAGUUAAUACAAAAGGAUAGUAUCCCCUACAUAGUCAGAUGUGGUGUGUAGGUGGGAUGGUAAGGAAGCUACGCGCGAGGCUGGAGGUUGUGGGUUCGAAUCCCACGAACCGCGCACGCGCAUAUUUCGCGUGAAAAAUCGCGUGACUUGCGACUUGCGCGUGUGGGGGGGCCUCCUGGGAGCUCGGGAAUUUUUUUUUUUUGCAGCGCCGGCCGUGGGUGAACCCUUUUAUCCCGGUUGGUAUUACCAACCGGGAUAAAAGGGGGUCUUUUGUCCCGGUUGAGUGACCCGGGAUAAAAGACCCCCCCUUUUGUCCCGGUUGGUUUAUCCCGGAUGCAUUUUCGAGAUCUUUGCACCCUACCAACCGGGAUAAUAGGUGAGUUCUCCACCAGUGGGAGGCCGCCGCUGGCGGGUUUAGACUACGUGGAUGUGUGGGUAGGGUUAAGGUGACGGUGUGGACUAGUAUAUAUAAGAUGUCUGGGCUUGUUAGAAUAAGAUAACAUUCUAACCGGCCAAAUUCGGACCCGGUUAGAUUAAAUUGAUAUUCUAACCGGUCCUAUUUCUAGGUGGUAAGAAUAAGUUAACAUUGUAAUUGGCUUUAUUUGGAACCCGAUUGAAUCUUCUUGUUAUUCAAAAAAACAUCAAGUUCAUCAAUUUUAAUCCAGGAAAACAUCAAGAUAAUUUAAGCACGAUAUAUAACAAGAUUAAUACAUUUAAAAAUUGUUUGAUUCACAAAUUAACGAUAUUUAACAAAUUCAAAAAAUCCAAAUUAACAGAACACAAUAACCAAUUGUUCGAAAAAAUCAAAAUAAUCCACACACAUUAAUAUAUUACAAAUUCAGAAAUAUAUCAAAAUAAUCCCCGAUCCACUCGAUACCGUCAUAGGACUUUUAAAUACUGAGCUUCUUGAUUCGUCUGAGGUCCACCUACUCGUCUCAGUAACACUAGUGAUGGCCAUGCAUCUUGUAGAUGUCUUCUAACGAAUCAAGCUUGACGUACAAGGUCAUGCCUUCCGCUCCUUGAGGAUAACCAUCUUUGGUGAUCUUGAAAUGGCAGACGGUGGAUGUGCCAAAGGUACGUGACGAUCCUUCUAAAUGUAUGCCACCACAACUUCCGUCUGAUCGCCAUGGGUGACACCAAGAAGAGCUACCAUGCGGCAAGGGACGAACAAUUUAUCAAUUAGUGCCGCUGUCCAUCGCCAUCAUCUAAUCCAGCCAUAUCUUGUUGUAUAUUUAAGUAUAGAAAUUAAGAUUUAAAAAUAAACAGAAUAAAUUGAGAUCGAUUAUGUAUGUAUAUCAGAACAUUAGCUUUUGGAAAAAGGGCUUCGAUGGAAGAGAGGCACGGGGCAUAGAGACAACAACGAGUGACAAUAUGUCAGAAGAAUACCCGAUCACAAUUAUUGGCACACACAGCCGAUAUUUACAGUAGUCAAUACCCCUGGUAAAUAACCACACCAUCAAGAGUAAAUAGUGACAAUAUGCAGUAUAUACACGACAUAGCCUUGGCUGCCGUGGAAGCACCAGAAGGGAGACAAAUAACAGGGACCACUACAUCAAGUAGAUAGUGACAAUAUGCAAAAGAAUACCCGCGCCUGUUAGCAUGUGUGAACUGACCACACCACGAAACGUGAUACACGGCAAGCGUACCAAGGCCUUGCUGUGCAGACUAUGCAUGGACAACACAUGGUACCUGACCGCUUUUGGCCUCAGACACAUCAAAAACUGCAUCGUUCCACGUUGUACAUCCAUUGCUAGUUUAUCUAUAUUACAUAAUAUAUUAUUAGCUAUUUGAAUAGAAUGAACCAAUUAAAAAAUUACGUUGUAUUUUAGUACCGGCUGCAGGAUGGUGUUACCAACCAGUACUAAUUGGCCUGUAGGAGUGAUGGUUAUUAGACUUGGUACUGUUGUUAGCAUCAUUAACCUAAUUGUGCGCCGUAUGAAUUUGGGGAUGCAAAGCUAGCUCUCUAUGAAUGUGAGGGAUGGAAAGCUAGUUCUCUAGUAGUAAUUAUAUAUAUGACAGUCAGGAAAUCGAACACUAUGCUGCUACGAGUCACCAUCAUUUCCUUCAUUGACAAUCUGACAUAGGUGAAGCUGCUUCAAUAAUUUCCUUCGCGCAGUCGUGGAGCUUAUUGGAUUAUCACCAGGACGGGACACGGAAAUGGCCAGCAAUGAAGCUGAUUGCCGUCUGAGGAAGACUACAUACUUACCUAUGAAAUGAAGCGAUUGCAUAGACUAAUGAAGCAUUGCAUAUUUGCAUGUGAGUGUGGCAGAUAAUUCUGCAGGACAUGAUUGCAAUCCACGCACCAUCGAGAAGACUGGGGCGAUGGGGUUGCCUCAUCAAUAAUCACGUGGAUGCAUGCAUGCAUGUUCCCUCAACCGGACAAGGGUCUGAUAUAUGGCUAUAGUAUUACUGAGCCCACAUCAAUAAUUUCCGCUGGUGUAUCGUGUGGGAAGAAUCAACAUACUACACCUCUGAGUUCUUGGAACUAACUGACGUUCACAUGCAACCUCCACAAGGUGCUGUAUGCUUUUGACAUUCACCUGCCAGUUCGUGUAGAGGACACCCUAACGUAUGGUUAAUAUUAUCCAUUUCAUGAGUAAAAUACUGUGAUUCAAAAAUACUUCAAAUCCCUUGAGACAAUACUUCUCACUUGACUAACCACUAACCAACCCCGAAACCCUAACUCAACUCCGAACCCUAACCCCUAACGGCAUAACCACUCCGUUUUGCCGGCGAGAUGGAGGAACUGGCUGGAAGGUAGAGAGGGCAGCGGUCCAGGGUUGAAAACGACGGGCGAGCGCAGUAACAUGUGGAGGAGGAAGUGCCACGUAUUCGUUCACCGCUAUUGGGCAGCGACACACGACACGCCCAAUAAGAUCUUCGCACGGUAGAAGGACGUCAUGUAUUCAAUAAUGUUAUUGGUCCCCCAUGUGCAGAAGGGCGCGCGCGUAUGGAAUAACAAGUAGGGACACUGCAACUAAUCUACUCUGCUCGUCCAGUCCCUAGCCUAUAAAUAGAUGCCAUGCUAGCUCUUGUUGUGCUCACAAUUAAUCCGAUUACACACGAGCUUCUCUCCCUGGCCAAGACACAACCAUAGUAUGAUGAAGAACAUGGCACUAGCCGGCAAUGGUAUGAAGAAGUUAAUCCUCGCUGUUCUCUUACUGUGUCUAGUUAUAGGGCAGAUACAAGUGGAAGCUAAGAGCUGCUGCCCAUCCACCACUGCAAGAAAUGUCUACAAUACCUGCCGUUUCACGGGUACAUCCCGUCCAACGUGUGCAAAACUGUCAGGCUGCAAAAUUAUCAGCGGGAACAAAUGCAAGCCCCCUAACGACCACCUCACCCUUGACCCGGACACUGGUAAAUAAUAAAUUUAUCUCACUUGAUUUCUUCGUGAUUUGAGUCGUUAAUGUAUUUUCCAUCUGAUGAAACGUAUUGGUUUUGCAUUGAAGAGGAAGUUAAUGUGCUUAACUUCUGCAAGUUGGGGUGUGCGUCGUCUGUGUGCAACAACAUCAACGCUGGUAAGCAACUUUUGCUCAGACAGAGAAAACAAUAAUCAUUAAUUAGCGGCAGCUAGAAUCCUAUAAUCUAAUAUAUAUAUAUAUAUAUAAUUUUAUCAGCUCUGGGAAAUGAAGAGGCGAACGAUGCCGUUGAGAGUUGCGACCAAGCCUGCUCUAGCUUCUGCAGCGUGCAUGUUGGCAGCGCCACCGUGGUUGCUUAAGCAAAUGCAUCCAACUAGAUCGUCCUUGUGCUGAAUAAUUGGAUAUCGUAUCCACUUAAAGCUGCCUUGUGUAGUACGUCUUUGUGUCUCUCUUUAUAUUCCAAUAAGGUCGGUGAUCUUGAUGCCACACACUCAGAUGUGUGUUCAUCUCCAGAUACUACUCCAUGCUACCUGCCCUUUGUGUUUUGUUCAAUAACUGGGUAUCAUAUCCCAGCCAGUAUGCCGUCUGUUUUGUGUUUGUUUCCUUCUAGUUCCAAAGGGGUCAUCAUGAUGUUACCUUCUUUCAAUAUGGUGCUUUGCAUGACUACUGUUGUAUGGUACCAUCUUGUGGCCAAUAAGUACAUCUUAUCCUAUGACCUUUGCUAUGACCCUUUGCAAAUAAGUAGAAGAUUGUUAUAAGCGUCAAUACUCCGUAUAAAUUGAUCGCUGCUGUGAGUUCCCUUUCAGCUUAUCGUAGGCAUACAUUAUUGCUAGCACGGUAAAGCCAACCAACACGAAUGAUGAAGUAAACGUAGCGGUACUUCUGUAUACCAACACCCUUACUUAAAUGUACCGGUGUCAUUCCCUACUGGCACAUAUAUUCUUAUAUGCUAGCCAGCUUGUAAAAUUAACCAAUUAAAAUAAUUAUUUCAAGAUAGAAAUAACUUAUCGGUUUCUGGAAGCAUGUGUAAUGUGAAUUCAAGGACUCGACGGAAGUUGAAUCACUUCAUCUAUAUUGCUUUCAGUAUUUUGGGUAACUAAAUUUAACAUUUGCACAUACAAAUGUUAAAGUACAAAUGUUAAAUCUAGUUACCCAAGCAGAAUAUGAAGAUAGUUUAUAGUAUAUAUAUACUAUAUAAAUCUAGUUAACAUUUAGUCUAAAUGUUAAAUCUAGUUACCUAAAAUCCUGAAAGCAAAAUGUAUAAAUAUAUAUCUUUUAAGGCAGUAUAAGCUUCGAUUCCUAUUGCUGCUCUGUUAAAUCUCAUCUUUCGUUGUGGCCCAACACUCUAGUAUGCAUGUUGCACCAAGCUUCUUUGAGCCGCUCUGCCCUCUGAUUUUGCUGCGUAGGGGAAUCUUUAUCAGGUUGGGCUACUUCCAGUUGUGCGAUGUAAAGAUUCGUAUUUUCUAGAAGGUAGACAAAAAACUCGCGUUCUCUUAAGGCAACAACCGGAAGAUUCUGCAGCGCACAGGGCAUACCAUUAUUGUAGAAACGACCUUUAGUACCGAUCUCCAACCCCCUUUAAAACUGGUUUUGCAACCGGUACCGUUAUGUCGGUCCUUUAGUACCAGAUCAAAUAAGUACCGGUUGGUAACCAGUAUCAACUUGUUUUGCGGCCAAAAAAAUAAAGAAAAAAACAGUCAGAAGGCUCGCGCACACGCGCAUCACAUGAAAUAUGCGUGUGCGGGGUCCAUGGGAUUCGAACCCAUGAAAUCAAGCUGCGCGCGACCCUUCGUUACCAUCUCACCUACAUAGCGCAUAUGCUUUCCUGAAGUAACCCGUGGAGGAGGCUUUAGUACCGGGUCAUAACACCACCCGGUACUAAAAAUGACUCUUCAGUACCGGGUCAUAACACCACCCGAUACUAGUAUCGGAUGGUGUAAUGACCCGAUACUAAAAGGCCUCUAGGGACCCUCAAAUUUGAACCCGGUACUAAUGCUAAUAUUAGUAGCGGGUCAAAGUGCAGCCAGAACUAAAGCAUGGGAUGAAAGGUCAUAUUUCUAGUAGUGUAUAGUUGUUGUGAAGGACUGACUUGGCUGUCCUCUCUCUUCUCCAUCCCCUUGGUCUUACGCCGCCGCUCGCACGCGAGCCGGUGCCCAACCAGAGGAGUGAGAGCUAGGGGCAGGUUGGGAGGUGGGGAUAGUGACUGGUGGCCAGGGUGAUGGUUGAUCCUGGUGGGGUUAGGGUUUUAGGGUUUUCGAGCUUCCUAUGGUCGGCGAACCUAGAGGAGGAGCUCAACAUCAGCUGCAACCCGCGAUGGUGGUGGUUUGGCCGGCGCCCGAGGCGAGGCAGCGCGGGAGUGCUGCCGGUGGGUUGGUGUUGGCACUCAUUAUUGACAACUAUUUUGUUCAUAAAAUAACACUCAAACUUGCUGCUGCUGCUGCUGCUGCCAUCGCCACCCUAGCCAUAAUAUAAAGGCAAAAUUUGCUAAAGGACAUGCAAAAUGAUGCUAGUUUGCUGGCGGGCAUCGUUGACCUUGUAAUAUGCUACAAGACACUCUAGUUGUGUAUCAAUUUGCUGAAAGACAUUGCUAUGACUAAAAUAAUGUUUCUGGACUGAGUUGGAGAGAGAGAUGGAGUGAAAUGUCUGUUUUGCCCAUGACCCCACUGGUCAGAUCCUUCUUCUUCCACCCUCCUUUGUUCUUUCUUCAACCAUUACCCAGCUCCAGCGUGUUGCAGAUCUACGAGGGUGGCGGCCUGGGGCGAGGGGCAUCGCUCGCCCUUGGAGGAGCGCUGCGAGCGACGGCGCGGGGGCGGCAACAGCGCGUCAGAACCUGACUGUUCGUUAGCUCCUCUCGCUGCUGGGGAAGGAGGGGGAUGGGCCAUGGACGGGGUUCCCUUGAAAACCUCAGCGUCGAGCUCGGGCGGCUACGCGCAGGCAGCACUAGGCUGCUUCACGGGGAGGGGGCGCGGCCAAUCAUUGGCACCCCACUGGUCCAAUGCUGAUGAAGAUGGUGCCAGCGUCGUGUGAGGACAUCUCAUCUCCUCGAGUUCCAUGGCCAGCACAGGUGAGCUGCCGCUACCACAAAACAGAGGUUUCGUGAGAGUCAAAAAACCUUAUGAAAAUAGCUAAAACCAUCAUGAAAAUAAUCCGUGACAUGACACUCUCACGAAAAUCCUCUCACAAAUAUGGUGCCAUGAAAAUACCAUUUUCAUGAGAGUGAACUGUCAUGAUUUUAUUUCGUGAGAGUAUUUCCUAUCAAUGACCUCCACGAAAUACUUUGUGCCACCAGGUCUUCAAGAUCAUUUUCAUGAGAGCUGAACAUCAGGAAAAGUCCGCCACAAAUGUUUUUCUUGGAGCCCCUAACUCUCAUGAAAAUCAUGCGGGCCGCCACGAAAAACAGCAUGACCAAAUGACAAAUUUCAUUUUCAUGUGUUCAUACCGCCAUGAAAAUGGUCAUUUUCAUGAGAGUUGAUGAAACAAAAAAUAGUGCCAUUUUCAUGAGAGUUCAAGCAACCAGGAAAAGACACUAAUAAACAUCCAGAUCCCAUCCAGCACACAUCCAUGCACAUAUAUAACCCACAUAUUGCUCCAGCACACAUCCAUGCAUAUACAAGAUCCAAAUGUUAAUAUAGUAGACAUCCAUGCCUGAACUAGUCUGCCACACAAGUCAUUGAUGCUACAAAUCCUACAAUCGCAGCAUGUGCAUACAAGUCACAGAAUGAGACAAUGUACCCAAAACUAAAAGGUUAGCAUCAACUGUGCUUCAACCAAAGUUGUCAUCCCAACUCUCCUCUUCAUCCAUGCCAUUCUUGUCGUGGCCGUCACUGUCAGUCCCCAUGGCAUUGCCAAUGCUGUGCAUGUCUUGGUAGGAACCUACAUGUGAUGAACUAGUAACCUGCAAAAAGAGCUCAAAGGAUCUUGUUCUCAUAUUGUAGCUGUGAAAUUCUUACAAGUAGUGUUGCAAUCAGUUCACUUUGAACCAAAAGAGCUCAAAGGAUCUUGUCCUAAAAGUUCCUCAUAAAGCUUAUGGGUUUGCUGGUGGAACUGGAAGGGCUUGAUGCAGCAGAUGCCAUUCUGCAAUAGAGAAAAAUUUAGAGAGCAGUACUAGUUAAAAUUGGAUGCAGAAGAUACACAUGAAACUAGUAUUUAUACAAGUCUAUACAAUUAAAAUCUAAGGAGACUUAUCAUCGUUUUCAUGUGUUGUGAAUUAAAAUAAUGAAGGAUACACUGUUAGGUGAAAAUUCAAGAAACAAAAUUUUGCAUAGAGAUAAAGGUCCAACAUUAUUACAAGUUAAGGUAGUUUUAAAUAUCCUUGUAAUCUUCCUUUGGUUUCCUCAACGAUUCGAAGACAAUAACCUUGCUUCUAUCAAUGAUAAUUAUAAGGAGAAUCCAGUGGAAACUGUGUAUUCGUAUUAGAACUACCUAAGGUUAAUUAGGUUAGGAAAGGAAAUUGAAAAUAGAUGGUACCCACACUUACUUAAAGUUGUCGGGCAAUAGUAUGUAAUGCUUGUAAUUCCGUUGCUCCAAGAAUUUGUAUAUGUGGUCCAAUGUAGACUUUGGUUGAUCCCGUAUCUGCUGUUGGUUAAAUAAGUGUUUCUAGCCAUUUCUAGCCAUUAGAACCGGGACUAAAGGGGGCUCUUUAGUACGGGUUGAUAUUACUAACCGGGAUUAAAGAGCCCCCAUUAGAGUUGGUUUUUGGAUGCGGAACUAACAACUCCUUUAGUCCUGAGUACGAAAACAACUGACAUAUUUGUUGCUGGAUGGAAGGUCCUUUCUCUACCGUGAAUAUUGCCAGAAAGAAUUGAAAGAGACUGCUUGCUAAAAAUAUGUCAUAGAUGUAGACCAAGCUACCAAGGAGGUAGACCAAACAUGAUACACACCAUGCGUACCUUGCUGUGCAGACUAUGCAUUGACAAGAUACCCGACCACAUGUUGGCCUCGGUCACAUCAAAAGAAUCAUGUAGGCCACCAAUAAACUACUUGAAGCGGCAUUCCGUAUCGUAUAUGCAUUGCCGGUUCAUCUGCAUUACAUUACAUAAAGCACUAUUAACUAUUUGAAUAAAAUGAACCAAUUUAAAAGUAAUGUGUUGUACUCUACUAUAGAAAGCCCUAUCACUGCCGGAUCCAAAAACAUCAUUGUUAAUGGUGGUUAAGUACCAAAUAUGACGGUCAAUAUUCUCAAGAAUAAUGGAGAAUUAGCAUUUCUUAGACACAUAUUUGGUUUUGAACAAUGUAGUUCCACAUGUCUUUGGAGAUUAUUUGGGUGUGGGUGAAAUAAUACAAAAAUAAGGAGAAAACACACUCCCAUGGCGAAGAAACACAACUCCAACCAAUGAGAGAUAGCCACAGGGGCAGCACACGGAUCCAUGGGCCCACUAACCGCAUCAAACCAUCUUACCAAGGCAGGUAGCACCCACAACCGUCAUUAGGACCCACCUGGAAGUCUACCAAGAAGAAGGUUGCGAGUGGGGCCAGGAGGGGUUCGGUUGAAUCAUCUCUAGCUAGCUCCCCUCAUCCCCAGCUGGUGGGUGGUGGUGGUUGAUGGUGUCCCUACAUCAGUUAGAGGAGAUUCCCCCAAAUAUUCCUCCUGUAAACCACCUCUAUGGACCUAUACAUAGAGGGGUGUGCUCUCCAUUCCAACACACACCACAAGUUGAAUCACUCUCUCCCUCUUUAGUUUCCAAGUUUAUGGAGUUAGGCUAGAGUAGCUCUGCUCAAGGUUCCAAGUCCACUUGGAGUUAAGCAUAUGUCUCUUGUAUCGUUAUUUCCUAAAUUGACUUUAUGCUUAGUUCUUAUAUGCAUGAGUUAGUCUAAUACCCUUGCUAUAUUGAUAUGCUCGGCUUAUAUGCUCGUAUGCUAGUCAUAUACCCUUGCUGUCGUAGUAUAGGCUUAUAUGCUCUCAUGUGUGCCUGUAGACCUUGCUAUAGUAUAUACUUGUUGUGCAUACAUACCAUGUAUAGGCUAGUCGAUCUAUACCAUGGCAUUGGUUCAAUAGCCAUGUUUUUGGUGGCUCCAACCCUAGUCACAAUAGCUCGGGACAGCUGGAGUGUUGUUAAAAAUGCAAGAGUGGUGCUUGGGUUGUUUAGCAUCGUUGGAUAUGGGUUUGCCCCACGGGUUUCUAACGGUAGGCGGCAGCUAGUGACAUCCCUGUCCGUCCUUCGUAAUCCCCCCACAUUCAGGUACGCCAUAAAUGUUCGUAAAUUAGCAGUAACUACGCCGGUACACCUGUAGGGUAUUGUCUCCCUGUAGUACCUUGGUGCAUAGAACUAAGUCCUAUACACUGUGUGUGUAUGUUUACGCUGAUAUGAUCUGUGCAGUAUAUAGGAUGUAUAUAUGAACCUAGAGCUAACUCCUAGUCCGUUCUCCAUAGCUUAGUUAUCUUGAGAUGAUUCUUCUGUAUGUGUAACACUACCCAUCUUAUCAUUAUCCUUGAUCCUGUCUUGUGUAAUAUAUCUACUCAUCCUAUGAUAUACUCAUAUGCAUAGUAAACUAUUUUGACCUACCCGCCUUCCUUUGGGAAAUAUGAUACCUUGGAAUAAUCCUAGGUGAAAUCCUACAACGGUAUAUCCAUGUAAAUGCGGAUUUAUUCAUGACCAUUAAAUAUACCAACAAUCAUCACUGUGAGUUUUGGGCGUCGUUAGUGAAGGGUUGGUAGUGAUGGGCAUCCCCUUCACCAAUGGACCUGGAACCGGCGGUGAUGGCUAUUAUAAAAAAGGGGACACCACCCAGCGUACCCCACGACCCGGCCGGCCGCACCUCCCAUCAUCCCCGCCAGCCGCCCUUCCUUUUCGCCGGCCGAGCAUGGUCCCGGCCUUUGUCCCUACCACCUCGCCUCCACCGCGACCCCCCGCCGAUGCCCUCGUGCCUGGCCCCCCUCAUCUUGCCGGCCACCCUCCCGAUGCGUCCACUGGGGCCCUCGCACCACCAACCGCCCUUGCUUAGAGAGGGAGAGAGAGGAGGGAGGUGAGGCCACGCACCUCGUCCUACACCGCCGCUGUUUCUCCUCGGCCCACCGCGCCUCACCCCACACCACAGCCGCGCCUUGCCAUCUUACCGGCUGUGACGCCUCAUCUCACCGGCCACCGUUCCUCACCCCCACUUCGGUCGUCGCCGCUCCUUGCCCUACCGCUGCUCUUUGCCGCUGCGAAUGAGCGCCGAGUGGAGGAGGAGGGAUGGGGCAGGAGGAGGGCAAGAUCCGGGAGGAAGGGAGAGAUCUCGGGAGGUGGAGAUGGAAGGAUAUGGCGGAAGGGAGAGAUCCAGAGGGAGAGAGCAGGGGAGAGAGGGGGGCGUGUGGGGAGAGAGCGCGUGUGGGGUGGGGCCGGGCUGGUGGGAUGGAAGGGAGAGGGGCUAGACGGGCGCAGUGCAUUCAACUGGAUGAAGUAAAUAUUUUGGAUUCGAGACCCCAGCUUUAUUAUCACCGCUGGUCCGUAGUACCAUCCGGUGCCUGCUCGUAAUUUAAUUUGAAUCUGCGGUGAUGUUUUAUUAUCACCAUCGGAUCAUAUAAAAAUCCGGCGGUUAAAAAUCCGCUGGUUUCGAUGAAAACCGACGGUGAUAGGAUGACUGUGAUAGUCUCUUCUCUAGUAGUGGUAUAUUAGUACCGGCUGCCGGAUGGUGUUGCCGACCAGUACUUCUCCGGGGGCGAUUCAGUACUGCUGUUAGCAAAGCUUGUUCUCUAUGAAUUUGGGGAUGGAAAGCUAGUUCUCUAGUUGUGAUUUGUUACAUAUAUAUCUAUGAUAGUCUAGAAAUUGCAUGUCCUUCGUUGACAUAGUUGAAGCUGCUUCAAGAAUUUACUUCGUGCAGUCGUGCAGCAUAUUGGAUUAUCACCUAGACAGGAUACAUAGGUGAAGCAUUGGAUGUGAUUGUGGCCGAUAAUUAUGCAGGACGCUGUUGCAAUCAACCACCAAGAAGUCUGGAGUGAUGGGGUUGCCUCAUCAAUAAUUUUUAUAUAUGGCUGCAGUAUUAUUAAGCCCACGUCAAUAAUUUUUUGUCCGCACCAUAUAUCGAUGGGGUUGCCUCAUCAAUAAUUCGCGCAACCAGACAAGCUGCAGACUCAAUAUGGUACGAAGCUAGUUGCUCAGCCCACAUGCUCUGAUAUAACAUUGACAUCUGCUGAUCUACAGUAUAUAUGACCAGAAAUAUUGUGCCCACCUCAAUAACUUUCUGAAGUAUCGUGGGGAAGAACCUACGCGUACUAUGCCUCGGAACUAACUGACAUAUCGGCCCAGGCGGUCUAGGCCGAUUGGACUGGCUCUUCCUUGUGGCUUCUCACAUCCCCUUCGUCCCCAAGUAAUUUCAGGUGUUCUGUAGUUUUCUUUUCACUUGCAUCUGAGCCUCCUAUAUCAAUAGCUUCGGGAUAAGAAUGCCUCUUGAUAACCUUCCAAAUCCUCGCUUGAUUCACAUUGAUUCCGAAAUCAUCUUGCCAUAUCUUCAGAGACUUAGGUCCUAAGGCAUCAUGGAGGAUUGCUCGCCAAGAAUGAGCACCAUUGGGCUCCUGAGGACCCUAGGCCGAUCAGCCCGGGCUCUAUAGGUCGAUUGGCCCAGGCCCUCUCUGGGCCUGUUGGCCUUCAUCUUUCUUUGAGUCGACGCUUAUUCAGGGCUUUGUCCAAUUAUAGUCCAUUAUAGUCUAAUUUCCUAAAAAACAGAAUGUCCUCCAAAAUACAAUGCAUAUGUGAAAACAACCCAAUUAUUAGGUAUGAUCAAUAGUUUAGGUAUUAAAUUAAUAUUAUUAUUUAAGAUAAACAGGGGUAAAGGGUGUCAUUAAUAACAAGCGCCAACAAGCGUCCUAGCUGUUCAAUAAAUUUUUUCUAGUACCGAUUGGUAACACUAACCGGUGCUAAUAUGUACCCUUUAUUACCGGUUAUUUUACCAGGUACUAAAGGAGACAAGAGCAUCCUAACAUAAGGUUAAUAUCAUCCAUUUCAUGAGUAAAAUACUAUGAUUCAAAAAUAAUUCAAAUCCCUUAAGACAAUACCUAUCAAAUGAGUAAAUUGUAAAUAGAGUAAUCUUGAUCAAACAAUGUCCUAAUGAAACGGAACACUUCUGGUUCGUGUAGAGCACAAUAUAGAAAACAGUAGGGUAGCUGUAUGAUUGACACGUGGUCCAUUAAUUAUUGAGCCAACACUAUGGACAUGUCUUCAUGAGUAGUGUACUAGUCAUAAUACAUGGUAUGCAGUAGGUGGAGGUAUUGACUUAGCCAUGCUAUGAGCACUUAGUUACAACAAACACUUUGCCAUUAUCGAGCAUCCCAAAUCACUACAAAAUCCAUAGUUUACCAUAUACUACAAAAUCUGAGUUAAAAUAAGAGCAUACACGGAAGAGUCCGAAUGCACGGCACAUUGAAUUACUAGACAAAAUUUAUGGGACAAGGUUUUGGGUAACCGCAUGAAAAAUAUUGGAUUUUACUGAACACUUAGUUACAAUUACCAUGCCCGUGAGCACUUAGUCACCACAAACAUUUAACCACUUUAGAUCAUCCUGAAUCCCUAUAAAUUCUAUACCUUACACCGUACCAUGAAAACGACAAGAACAGAGACAGAUGCGGUGAAAAUCUCCAGAGCAAGCCUGAAAUUAAAAUAAGAGGAGGCAGUCACUAUCGACAGGACACGGAGAUUGCUAGCCAUGACAGAGGAAGACAUGAUAUGAUAUUCACCUCUGAAAUGCAGCGUAGACUAAAUGAAGCACAAUUGCAAGUGAGUGUGGCAGAUAAUGGACCAUCGAGACCAUCGAAUGGUAUGAAGCAUGAUUAUCACCUAGACAUGAUAUCCUAGACAGGACGGUGAAUUGUAAAAAGAGUAAUCUUGAUCAAAGAAUGUCCUAAUGAAACGGAACAUUUUUGGUACGUGUAGAGCAAAAUAUAGAAAACAGUAGAGUAGUUGUACGAUUGAAACUGCAUCCAUCGACGUGGUGCAUGAAUUGUUGAGCCAACACUGUGGACAUGUCUUCAUGAACACCAUCUAGUGAGGACAGCAUGCAGAAAAAUAUAAAAACAUGUCAUAGGGAGGCAGACCAAUCUUGCGAGGUAGACGAAACGUGAUACACGAUCUGCCUACCUUGUCGUGUGGAUACCCCAAGUGAAGAUGUCAUAGAGGUGCAGACCAAGCUAGCAAGGAGGUAGAUGAAACGUGAUACACGGCCUGCCUACCUUGCCGUGGAUAUUAGUCCUGAUAUCAUUCUAUUGUUCAAGGAAUAACACUCAAUGCUGCUGCUGCUGCUGACCUGGCUCCAUAAAGUUAUAUUCCUCUAGCCGCUUGCACUAACUUUAUCUGAAGUAUUAUUCUCUCUGCACUGUAUAUAUGGUUACGGAGUUUGCUGGAGUAUCCGGGGGGAAGAACCUACAUAAUAUGUCUUGGAACUAACUGACAUUGAUUCACAGACAAGGUGCUGUUGUUGACAUGGUACAGUAAAUAAUAUAGUUUACCAUAUACCGUAUACCAUUAUAUGUUAGCUAAAAUAAGAGCAUAACAUGUCGCAGGAGUCCAAAAGCACCGGUUGAGGACCAGGUACAUUAAAUUACUAGAAAACAAAAGGGGACAAGGUUUAGGUAGCCACAUGAAAAACAUUUGAAUUUACUGUACCAUGAACACUUAGUUACCAUGCCGGGAGCACCUAGUUAACACUAACAUUUAGCCACUUUAGAUCAUCCCGAAACACCAAUGACCCUCAAUAGCGACAAAUUUUGGUUUAAAUGCCGUCACCAAUGAUCCUCAAUAGUGACGUGUUUAGGUUUAAAUCCCAUCACUAAUAACCCUUGGUAGUGACGUGUUUUGGUUUAAAUCUCAUCACCACUGAUCCUCACUAGUGACGUGUUUUUAGCAACACACGUUAUGAAUGACUUGUCAUUGGUGACAUGUUAAACGCGUUAUCUCAAUGGCAAAUCAAUGGUGACGUGUUUAAAAAAACAUGUCACUGUGAGAGUUAUUGGUGAAGGGUAAUUAAAAUGCAUCACUAAUUUUGUAGCAUUAGUUAUGAUAUAAUUUUGUAACGCAAAAAUCUACCAUAGUAAUGAGGUUUAGAGCCAUCACUAAUGUGGGUUUCUUAUCGUAGUGAUGCAAGCUCUACAAGGUGCUGUUGUUGCCAUUUUAAAGCAUCCCAAAUGACUACAAGAGUCCGGUUGAGGACUAAACAAAUUGAAUUACUAGAACCAAAUGUAUGUCCAGAACAAAGAAAGGGGUCAAGGUUUGGGUAACCGCAUUAAAAACAUUGAAUUUUACUGUACCAUGAACACUUAGUUACCAUUACCAUGCCUUGAGCACCUAGUUACCACAAACAUUAAUUUAGCCACUUUAGAGGUUCCACAAUCACUAUAAAUAAUAUACCAACACCGUACCAUGAAAACAUCAAGAAGAGAGACGGGUACAUGGACCACCAUCAAGUGAGUAGUGACAGCACGCACAAGAAUACCCGGAACCUUUUAGCUUGUCUGUAGUGAUCUGUUUUCUUCGCCACAAAUAAUGAAAGAGGCUGACCAAGCUAGCAACGAGGUAGAGCAAACGUGAUACACGUAGGUUUCAUUCAAGACAUCCAUGUAAGAUUCAUUCAAAACAUUCAUGGAAAUUUCUUGUAAGUUUUCAUGUAAAUUUCAUUCAAGACAUUUGUUAGAGGUGUUGUAUAUACACUUAACGUACAUAUAUCUAUGAUUUCAUGGUUGUUAGUGAUGGCAGAUGAGGAGCAUGCAAGGUGUUUAAUGGAGCAGAUUAUUGCUAGUGGUAGUGGCUCCAACCUGCCCGUAACGUACACCGACGAAGAGGGCAGCCAGGCGGACAUGUUCCUCAACAUGUCCGGUGAUGGCAAUGAAGAGCCCGAGCAAAACCUUGCCGUGACGGAAGGUUCCAUCGAGGUAUAUAUCAUUUCCAUUAUUUUACCCCAUCUAUAAUUUCAUAUUCAUUAUUACUAUGUGCUAAUUAAUGAAUCUUGAACCGUUAGUCCUCUAGAUCAACGAACCGAAAUAAGCCCCGAGGUCUUACAAAGAUAAUGCAGGGAAGGCUUCACAUCAUGGAAGUCACAGAAGAGGGCACAUCGGUUGCUCCCGAACAUGUGGCAAGAAAGUACGUGAGUCAAACCGGGGCAAUCGUAAGGGACAACAUGCCCAUCAGCAUCAGGGAAUGAAAGAGCAAUAGAAAUGAUCUAUACGCACCCCCGGAUACACAAAAGGAUAUGUUGUGGGCAAAUAUCAAGAAACACUUCACAUUUCCCAAAGGAUAUGUUGAAAAAUAUGUGAAAGCGUGGAUGUUGAAGAAGAUGGCCACCCAAUUCCAGACAUUCAAGAAGAUGUUGGAUGCCAACUUCAUCAAGAAGGGUCGAACUCCGGGUUUCAAUGAGUGGCCAAAGUUAAGGGACCACUGGGAGUCGUUUGUCGAAUACAAGACGAGCGAAGGUGGUGCGAGUAAGGUUCACAUCAAUGUUGCCAAUGCUAGCAAGGAGUACCAUCAUCAUCUAGGGCGACGUGGUUACAGCUCUGCAAUUCCCAGAUGGCGCAAGAUGGAACAAGACCUGAUCGAUCGGGGUAUCGUACCAGCAACUCUUGACUGGAUCGAUUGAAAAAUUGGUAUUAUGCUCAUGAAGGCAAUCUGAGCCAAGAGGAUCCGACAUUGGUCUUCAAUAAAACAAUACGUCAGAAGGUCGGAAGGCUUAUUAGGAACAUUGAAGAUGCUAAAGCUGGGAGGUUCAAGGUGGAUAGAGAGAAUGAUGAACUCACAUUGGCCCUCGGGACUGUCAUCUCUAGCACUUCCAGCUCCAGGACUAUCGUCACCACCGGGACCGUCGCUUCCUGCUCGAUCACAGUCUCCAUCUCCAGCACAUCCUGGUGGUGCGAGCGACGACGACAACAACACCCCUCCCUGCCCACCAUUGCCGGGACUAAGACCCGCAUUGAGUAAGGAACCUGCAACACCACUGAAGAAGUCGCGACCACCACCUUCAAGGCAAGUCAGCAAAAGAAGAAAGCAGAGAAGCCUAAACCCACUGAGAAGCCAGCGACUGAUAUGACCGAUGCGGAAAGAUGGAAGGCACUCAAAGAAGAAUGCAGGGAGUGGUUCAGCGAAGGCGAAGGUGAGAAAGUCGUAUGAAUCGAAUUCAAGGAUAUAUAUGAAGUGAACCAUCAGGAUGCCCUUGAUGUCUCUCUCAUCAGCGCCUAGGUUCUGUAAGUGUAUGUUUAUCUAUAAGUAAAUUUUGGCUCAUAUCAUUAUUUUUUUUGCGUGCGUCACCCUACUAACUUCGUCUUCCAUUUUAUGUAGGAUGCUAAUUCAGACGUGCCGCAUAGAAGCGUACUUCCAUGUUGGAUUCAUGGAUCCAUCCCUAGUUAACCAAAAGCCGAUACGGAAGUAGCUAGAGAAAACGUUGGAGGUGGUGUACAACCUCCUGGACAAACUAAACUACAGAAUAGGGGCAAUAUGUGAGGGUCUUGUAGGAUUCCUAGUGGACGAGGUGAUAAAUCCAUAAGGAGAAUAUCAUUCCAACGGACGAGCAUUAGACACACUGAGCAACACCUAGAUGGGAGGAUCCUAGGAAUGACCUCGACAGAUUUUGGUAUAAAUAGUAAUUGUGUAAAUACUAGUUUGAUUUGUAUAGGAAUAUACUAAGAAUUGUAUAUAUAGUAAUUGUACAAAUACUAGUUUGAUUUGUAUGAAUACUAGAUUGAUUUUAUUAUAAAAAAGUUUUAAGUCGUACGUGCAUGCGCCUACAAAGGCGCGGAUGCCUUUUAAUCCCAGUCGGAAAAACAAACUGGUACUAAAGGGGCUCGUGCCGCACCUGGCAUGACCACCCCUUUAGUCCCGGUUGAACGACCCAGGACUAAAGAUCUCCGCGUCUCAAAAAUUUUAUCUCGGAUGCUUUUUAGAGAGAUUUGAGGCCUAUCAACCAAGACUAAUAUCGAGUUUUCUACCAGUGAAACUAACUAACGUUCACAUGGUUUUGACAUUCACCUGCCAUUUGGUGUAGACAAGGGCACCCUAACAUAUGGUUAAUAUUAUUCUUGAAAGAAAAUCCUUUGAUUCAAAAUACUUCAAACCUAAUAAUACAAUACUUCUCACAUCUGAAAAAUAUGAGACGGCCCGACAGUAUUCUAAUCGACGCAAUAAUAUUUUGAGGGCAGCACUACUACAGCGACCCUCAUUCGUGCCGGUGCUGGGACUCCUAUCACGACCCUGAUACAAAUGAGGGUACAUUAUUGGUGCCAGUGCUAGAACAGCCACGAAUAACUUGCUAAACGUGCUGUUACACUCACUACAGGGACCAAGAAGGUAGAUAAAUUACACGACAUAGCCUUGGUUGCCGUGGAAGCGCCAAGAAGGGAGACAAAUUACAGGGACCACACCAUCAAGUAGAUAGUGACAAUAUGCAAAAGAAUACCCGCGCCUGUUAGCAUGUGAACUGACCACACCACGAAACGUGAUACACGGCAAGCGUACCAAGGCCUUGCUGUGCAGACUAUGCAUGGACAACACAUGGUACCUGACCGCUUUUGGCCUCAGACACAUCGAAAAACUGCAUCGUUCCACGUUGUACAUCCAUUGCUAGUUUAUCUAUAUUACAUAAUAUAUUAUUAGCUAUUUGAAUAGAAUGAACCAAUUAAAAAAUUGCGUUGUAUUUUUAGUACCGGCUGCAGGAUGGUGUUACCAACCAGUACUAAUUGGCCUGUAGGAGUGAUGGUUAUUAGACUUGGUACUGUUGUUAGCAUCAUUAACCUAAUUGUGCGCCGUAUGAAUUUGGGGAUGCAAAGCUAGCUCUCUAUGAAUGUGAGGGAUGGAAAGCUAGUUCUCUAGUAGUAAUUAUAUAUAUGACAGUCAAGAAAUCGAACACUAUGCUGCUACGAGUCACCAUCAUUUCCUUCAUUGACAAUCUGACAUAGGUGAAGCUGCUUCAAUAAUUUCCUUCGCGCAGUCGUGGAGCUUAUUGGAUUAUCACCAGGACGGGACACGGAAAUGGCCAGCAAUGAAGCUGAUUGCCGUCUGAGGAAGACUACAUACUUACCUAUGAAAUGAAGCGAUUGCAUAGACUAAUGAAGCAUUGCAUAUUUGCAUGUGAGUGUGGCAGAUAAUUCUGCAGGACAUGAUUGCAAUCCACGCACCAUCGAGAAGACUGGGGCGAUGGGGUUGCCUCAUCAAUAAUCACGUGGAUGCAUGCAUGCAUGUUCCCGCAACCGGACAAGGGUCUGAUAUAUGGCUAUAGUAUUACUGAGCCCACAUCAAUAAUUUCCACUGGUGUAUCGUGUGGGAAGAAUCAACAUACUACACCUCGAGUUCUUGGAACUAACUGACGUUCACAUGCAACCUCCACAAGGUGCUGUAUGCUUUUGACAUUCACCUGCCAGUUCGUGUAGAGAAGGACACCCUAACGUAUAGUUAAUAUUAUCCAUUUCAUGAGUAAAAUACUGUGAUUCAAAAAUACUUCAAAUCCCUUGAGACAAUACUUCUCACUUGACUAACCACUAACCAACCCCGAAACCCUAACUCAACUCCGAACCCUAACCCCUAACGGCAUAACCACUCCGUUUUGCCGGCGAGAUGGAGGAACUGGCUGGAAGGUAGAGAGGGCAGCGGUCCAGGGUUGAAAACGACGGGCGAGCGCAGUAACAUGUGGAGGAGGAAGUGCCACGUAUUCGUUCACCGCUAUUGGGCAGCGACACACGACACGCCCAAUAAGAUCUUCGCACGGUAGAAGGACGUCAUGUAUUCAAUAAUGUUAUUGGUCCCCCAUGUGCAGAAGGGCGCGCGCGUAUGGAAUAACAAGUAGGGACACUGCAACUAAUCUACUCUGCUCGUCCAGUCCCUAGCCUAUAAAUAGAUGCCAUGCUAGCUCUUGUUGUGCUCACAAUUAAUCCGAUUACACACGAGCUUCUCUCCCUGGCCAAGACACAACCAUAGUAUGAUGAAGAACAUGGCACUAGCCGGCAAUGGUAUGAAGAAGUUAAUCCUCGCUGUUCUCUUACUGUGUCUAGUUAUAGGGCAGAUACAAGUGGAAGCUAAGAGCUGCUGCCCAUCCACCACUGCAAGAAAUGUCUACAAUACCUGCCGUUUCACGGGUACAUCCCGUCCAACGUGUGCAAAACUGUCAGGCUGCAAAAUUAUCAGCGGGAACAAAUGCAAGCCCCCUAACGACCACCUCACCCUUGACCCGGACACUGGUAAAUAAUAAAUUUAUCUCACUUGAUUUCUUCGUGAUUUGAGUCGUUAAUGUAUUUUCCAUCUGAUGAAACGUAUUGGUUUUGCAUUGAAGAGGAAGUUAAUGUGCUUAACUUCUGCAAGUUGGGGUGUGCGUCGUCUGUGUGCAACAACAUCAACGCUGGUAAGCAACUUUUGCUCAGACAGAGAAAACAAUAAUCAUUAAUUAGCGGCAGCUAGAAUCCUAUAAUCUAAUAUAUAUAUAUAUAUAUAAUUUUAUCAGCUCUGGGAAAUGAAGAGGCGAACGAUGCCGUUGAGAGUUGCGACCAAGCCUGCUCUAGCUUCUGCAGCGUGCAUGUUGGCAGCGCCACCGUGGUUGCUUAAGCAAAUGCAUCCAACUAGAUCGUCCUUGUGCUGAAUAAUUGGAUAUCGUAUCCACUUAAAGCUGCCUUGUGUAGUACGUCUUUGUGUCUCUCUUUAUAUUCCAAUAAGGUCGGUGAUCUUGAUGCCACACACUCAGAUGUGUGUUCAUCUCCAGAUACUACUCCAUGCUACCUGCCCUUUGUGUUUUGUUCAAUAACUGGGUAUCAUAUCCCAGCCAGUAUGCCGUCUGUUUUGUGUUUGUUUCCUUCUAGUUCCAAAGGGGUCAUCAUGAUGUUACCUUCUUUCAAUAUGGUGCUUUGCAUGACUACUGUUGUAUGGUACCAUCUUGUGGCCAAUAAGUACAUCUUAUCCUAUGACCUUUGCUAUGACCCUUUGCAAAUAAGUAGAAGAUUGUUAUAAGCGUCAAUACUCCGUAUAAAUUGAUCGCUGCUGUGAGUUCCCUUUCAGCUUAUCGUAGGCAUACAUUAUUGCUAGCACGGUAAAGCCAACCAACACGAAUGAUGAAGUAAACGUAGCGGUACUUCUGUAUACCAACACCCUUACUUAAAUGUACCGGUGUCAUUCCCUACUGGCACAUAUAUUCUUAUAUGCUAGCCAGCUUGUAAAAUUAACCAAUUAAAAUAAUUAUUUCAAGAUAGAAAUAACUUAUCGGUUUCUGGAAGCAUGUGUAAUGUGAAUUCAAGGACUCGACGGAAGUUGAAUCACUUCAUCUAUAUUGCUUUCAGUAUUUUGGGUAACUAAAUUUAACAUUUGCACAUACAAAUGUUAAAGUACAAAUGUUAAAUCUAGUUACCCAAGCAGAAUAUGAAGAUAGUUUAUAGUAUAUAUAUACUAUAUAAAUCUAGUUAACAUUUAGUCUAAAUGUUAAAUCUAGUUACCUAAAAUCCUGAAAGCAAAAUGUAUAAAUAUAUAUCUUUUAAGGCAGUAUAAGCUUCGAUUCCUAUUGCUGCUCUGUUAAAUCUCAUCUUUCGUUGUGGCCCAACACUCUAGUAUGCAUGUUGCACCAAGCUUCUUUGAGCCGCUCUGCCCUCUGAUUUUGCUGCGUAGGGGAAUCUUUAUCAGGUUGGGCUACUUCCAGUUGUGCGAUGUAAAGAUUCGUAUUUUCUAGAAGGUAGACAAAAAACUCGCGUUCUCUUAAGGCAACAACCGGAAGAUUCUGCAGCGCACAGGGCAUACCAUUAUUGUAGAAACGACCUUUAGUACCGAUCUCCAACCCCCUUUAAAACUGGUUUUGCAACCGGUACCGUUAUGUCGGUCCUUUAGUACCAGAUCAAAUAAGUACCGGUUGGUAACCAGUAUCAACUUGUUUUGCGGCCAAAAAAAUAAAGAAAAAAACAGUCAGAAGGCUCGCACACACGCGCAUCACAUGAAAUAUGCGUGUGCGGGGUCCAUGGGAUUCGAACCCAUGAAAUCAAGCUGCACGCGACCCUUCGUUACCAUCUCACCUACAUAGCGCAUAUGCUUUCCUGAAGUAACCCGUGGAGGAGGCUUUAGUACCGGGUCAUAACACCACCCGGUACUAAAAAUGACUCUUCAGUACCGGGUCAUAACACCACCUGAUACUAGUAUCGGAUGGUGUAAUGACCCGAUACUAAAAGGCCUCUAGGGACCCUCAAAUUUGAACCCGGUACUAAUGCUAAUAUUAGUAGCGGGUCAAAGUGCAGCCAGAACUAAAGCAUGGGAUGAAAGGUCAUAUUUCUAGUAGUGUAUAGUUGUUGUGAAGGACUGACUUGGCUGUCCUCUCUCUUCUCCAUCCCCUUGGUCUUACGCCGCCGCUCGCACGCGAGCCGGUGCCCAACCAGAGGAGUGAGAGCUAGGGGCAGGUUGGGAGGUGGGGAUAGUGACUGGUGGCCAGGGUGAUGGUUGAUCCUGGUGGGGUUAGGGUUUCAGGGUUUUCGAGCUUCCUAUGGUCGGCGAACCUAGAGGAGAAGCUCAACAUCAGCUGCAACCCGCGAUGGUGGUGGUUUGGCCGGCGCCCGAGGCGAGGCAGCGCGGGAGUGCUGCCGGUGGGUUGGUGUUGGCACUCAUUAUUGACAACUAUUUUGUUCAUAAAAUAACACUCAAACUUGCUGCUGCUGCUGCUGCCAUCGCCACCCUAGCCAUAAUAUAAAGGCAAAAUUUGCUAAAGGACAUGCAAAAUGAUGCUAGUUUGCUGGCGGGCAUCGUUGACCUUGUAAUAUGCUACAAGACACUCUAGUUGUGUAUCAAUUUGCUGAAAGACAUUGCUAUGACUAAAAUAAUGUUUCUGGACUGAGUUGGAGAGAGAGAUGGAGUGAAAUGUCUGUUUUGCCCAUGACCCCACUGGUCAGAUCCUUCUUCUUCCACCCUCCUUUGUUCUUUCUUCAACCAUUACCCAGCUCCAGCGUGUUGCAGAUCUACGAGGGUGGCGGCCUGGGGCGAGGGGCAUCGCUCGCCCUUGGAGGAGCGCUGCGAGCGACGGCGCGGGGGCGGCAACAGCGCGUCAGAACCUGACUGUUCGUUAGCUCCUCUCGCUGCUGGGGAAGAAGGAGGGGGAUGGGCCAUGGACGGGGUUCCCUUGAAAACCUCAGCGUCGAGCUCGGGCGGCUACGCGCAGGCAGCACUAGGCUGCUUCACGGGGAGGGGGCGCGGCCAAUCAUUGGCACCCCACUGGUCCAAUGCUGAUGAAGAUGGUGCCAGCGUCGUGUGAGGACAUCUCAUCUCCUCGAGUUCCAUGGCCAGCACAGGUGAGCUGCCGCUACCACAAAACAGAGGUUUCGUGAGAGUCAAAAAACCUUAUGAAAAUAGCUAAAACCAUCAUGAAAAUAAUCCGUGACAUGACACUCUCACGAAAAUCCUCUCACAAAUAUGGUGCCAUGAAAAUACCAUUUUCAUGAGAGUGAACUGUCAUGAUUUUAUAAGCGUCAAUACUCGGUAUAAAUUGACUACUGCUGUGAGUUCCCUUUCAGCUUAUCGUAGGCAUACAUUAUUGCUAGCACGGUAAAGAGAACCAACACGAAUGAUGAAGUAAACGUAGCGGAACUUUUGUAUACCAACACCCUUACGUACCGGUGUCAUUCCCCACUGCCACAUAUAUUCUUAUAUGCUAACCAGCUUUGAAAAUUAAGCGAUUAAAAUAAUUAUUUCAAGAUAGAAAUAACUUAUCGGCUUCUCGAAGCUUGUGUAAUGUGAAUUCAAGGACUCGAUGGAAGUUGAAUCGCUUCAUCUAGAUUGCUUUCAGGAUUUUGGGUAACUAAAUUUAACAUUUGCACACACAAAUGUUAAUGUACAAAUGUUAAAUCUAGUUACCCAAGCAGAAUAUGAAGAUACUCUAUAGUAUAUAUGUACUAUAUAAAUCUAGUAAACAUUUAGUCUAAAUGUUAAAUCUAGUUACCUAAAAUCCUAAAAGCAAAAUGUAUAAAUAUAUAUCUUUUAAGGCAGUAUAAGCUUCAAUUCUCUGUUAAAUCUCAUCUUUCGUUGUGGCCCAACACUCUAGUAUGCAUGUUGCACCAAGCUUCUUUGAGCCGCUCUGCCCUCUGAUUUUGCUGCGUAGGGGAAUCUUUAUCAGGUUGGGCUACUUCCAGUUGUGCGAUGUAAAGCUUCGUAUCUUUUAGAAGGUAGACAAAAUACCCGCGUUCUGGAAGAUUCUGCAACGUGCACGUUGGCGCUGCCACCGUGGUUGCUUAAGCAAAUGCAUCCAACUGAAUCGUCCUUAAGCUGAAUAAUUGGAUAUGGUAUCCACUGCUUAAAGCUGCCAUGUUUAGUACGUCUUUGUUUUUCUCUCUUUAUAUUCCAAUAAGGUCGGUGAUCUUGAUGCCACACACUCAGAUGUGUGUUUAUCUCCAGAUACUACUCCAUGCUACCUACCCUUUGUGUUUUGUUCAAUAACUGGGUAUCAUAUCCUAGCCAGUGUGCCAUCUGUUUUGUGUUUGUUUCCUUCUAGUUCCAAAGGGGUCAUCAUGAUGUUACCUUCUUUUGAGGUGUCUAUGAUGACUUCGUUAAUAUCAAUAUUAACCAAUUCAAUCUGUCUUAACUAUUUGUAAGGGGUAUGAUGUAUGCAUGAUUAUAACAAUGAUUGCGCAUACAAUCGCCGCCAAAGAAACGGUCAAUACCAUUAAGACAUAUUACAGACAAUUCUCAUAAUCUAUAAUGAAUAUACAUAUUCACUACUGCAGAAGACUGUCAUUUGUAUCGGCUCAUACGUGCCAGGGCAAAGGUCACCCUUGCAUUAAGUACAUUUGCACGGUAAAGACAACCAACACGAAUAAUGAAGUAAACAUGCCGGUGCUUUUGUACACCAACACGCUUACUUAAAUGUACUGGUGUCAUUCCUCACCGGUAGCCGGCUUGAAAAUUAACCAAUUAGAACAAUUAUUUAUUGUAUCGGUGUGAUUUUUGACCUAUUGGAAUAUGAAUUUGACCGUUACUGCAUUCGUCAAGACUCAAGAGAGAAAUAACUGAUCGGCUUCUUAGAGCGUGUGCAAUGUGAAAUCAAGGACUGGAUGGAAGUUGAAGCGCUAGCACUAGUAGAGAAACGACUUUCCAUCCACCCCCUUUUGUCCCGGUUUAAAGUUGGCUCGGGAUAAAAGGUUCACCAACCGGGACUAAAACUCAGUCACUGGUGGGAGGCUCACCAACCGGAACCUUUUAUCCCGGUUGCAAAGGCUAAUGGGAAAAAAAGACUCUGAGAGGCCUUUUAUCCCGGUUUGAAACACCAACCGGGAUAAAAGACCCCCCUUUUAUCCCGGUUGGUAACACCAACCGAGAUAAAAGGGUCAAGAGCCUUUUAUCCCGGUUGGAAACACCAACCGGGAUAAAAGACCCCCUUUUAUCCCGGUUGGUGUUUCAAACCGGGAUAAAAGGGCCCCCACGAGGUGACUGGAAGGUGACUGGAAGGGGAUUAAAUCGUGGGGGACCCUUUUAUCCCGGUUGGAAACACCAACCGGGAUAAAAGGGGGUCUUUUAUCCCGGUUGGUGUUUCCAACCGGGAUAAAAGGGUCCCCCACGAGUUAAUACAAAAGGAUAGUAUCCCCUACAUAGUCAGAUGUGGUGUGUAGGUGGGAUGGUAAGGAAGCUACGCGCGAGCUCCGGAAUUUUUUUUUUUUUUUUUUGCAGCGUCGGCGCUCUCUACCCUUUUAUCCCGGUUGGUAUUACCAACCGGGAUAAAAGGGGGUCUUUUGUCCCGGUUGAGUGACCCGGGAUAAAAGACCCCCCCUUUUUUCCCCGGUUAGUUUAUCCCGGAUGCAUUUUCGGGAUAAAAGCACCCUACCAACCGGGAUUAAAGCUCACUUCUCUACCAGUGUAGCUUCAUCUUCCGCUGCAAGUUAAUUGCUUGGAUAAGAAGUUGUAGCCGCUGCAAGUUAUAAAUAGUCCCGCUGAUGCUGUGCUCCGAAGUCUAUACUAUAUAUGCGGAAACUAGAUUGCUUUCAGGAUUUUGGGUAACUAAAUUUAACAUUUGUACAUAAAAAUGUUAGUUUACGAAUGUUAAAUCUAGUUACCCAAGCAGAACAAGAAGAUAGUAUAUAGUAUAUACUAUAUAAAUCAAGUUAACAAUUAGUCUAAAUGUUAUAUCUACUUACCCAAAAUAUUGAAAGCAAAGAAAGAAUAAGUAUAUAUCUUUUGUUGGAAAAUUGGUCCACGGAGAGGCCCAUUUAGGCCUCGUUCGUUUCACCGGGAUGGGAUUCCAGUCAGGAUUACUUCCAAGUUCGGUUUGAGUGAUUCCACCCGUGUCACUCAAUCCGGCUAGGAUUCAUUCUAUGGGUGAGGAGGUAUGGUUUCAAUCCAGGCCAUCUAAUGUAGAAGGAUUCCAAUCCAGGCCGGUUUUCGUUCCAGGCCAGACUAAAACGAACAACACUUUCAAUGCAAGUCUGGUUUCAAACCGGGCCAUUUCAAACCACCCGGAAUGGACCUCGUUCCAGGCCAAUCCGGUGAAAACAAAUGAGGCCUUAAUGGAAUCCCAAAGCAAGAGUUCAGUGGCAUUCUAUAGUCCCAUGCUGCUAGUUUGAGUUGGUCGAAGCCAACUUAAAUAGGAGAGCUCUCUCACUUCUCUAAAUACGUAACUGAAGGAGAGAAGGGGGCUUGGGUUACACAACGCACGCACGCACGCAUAUUUGCGUUCUUUUCGCGUAACCAACCGCGUGACUUGAAACUUGCGACGUAGCGUGCUGCUAAGUCAAGUUGAUAUAACCUUUUUGCCGUUUGCAUGUAAUCUUUUGACAACGGUCAUUGGAGGUGAUAAGCACGCAGUCAAUACCUUAAUCUUGAGUUAAUAGGGUGGUUACUACUGCCAAUUAGUGGGGCAAUUUUGUAGGGGAAACGGUUAGCAGAGGGCUACCGUCUUCUCUAUAAGAAGUUCUGGAGACGUCCAGGAACACACAUGUACAUGUGAGAGACCCACAAAUUCCUUCCCUUCUCCCUUUUCCAUGUGGUGAAGUGUGCUGUGGUACUGAGCUGCUUGAUCUCGCCGCUCUUCUCCUUGGCAUGCACCGAGGAGGAGGGUGAGCGGUAUCUCCGAGCUAUUGCCGUCAGGAAGCCUGCACGAGGGACAACAAAAAGUUUUUGGGUAGCGCAACUGCCAGCACAACUCUCCCUCCGCCUCUUCUUCACGGUUGAUGGCCACCACAAGCAUAAACCUCGCCUUCGCAUCCACGCAAAAGGGUCGCUGGGGUGCCUUCUUGCAUCGCUUCUCAGCCUCCUUGACUUGCGGCCAGCCAAGAACUGCGCCACCACCUCGGGUGCACGCCACCACUCCAGGGCUGCUACCCCAUGCCUGCGGCCGCCGCCGGCCACCACGCGUGUGCAACCGCGUCGCACCGCUUCCUUGCUUUGUGCCACCACUGCUGCUGUACCACCAGCUCCACCACCUUGGGCUGGUCGCCAGAGUGACUGAUAACUUAUUAUCUGUAACUACUAUUAACUCAGGGAUACAUGCGUCUUUUGCUUCUCCUACUAAUAUGUCCUAAAAUAUCUAGGAUGCCUUAUAUUUCUGGACAGAGGAAGUAUUUGAAUAAAAUGAACCAAUUUAAAAAAAUGUGUUGUACACUACUACAGAAAGACCUAUCAGUGUCAAACCCAAAAAUGUUGUCACCGCCAGUUUUGGGCAUCAUUGGUGAAAGGUUGGCGGUGAUGGGCUUUCCCUUCAACAACGGCACUGGAGCCGACGGUGAUUGACAUUAGAAAACAAAAAAGGGGACCCUACCUAGCCACCCCUGCAACCCGGCCGGCCGUGCCUCCCCUCAUCCCCACCACCUCGCCUCCCCAUGACCCCCCGCCGGCGCCCUUGCGCCUAGCCCCCUCAACUGCCCAGCCGGCCACCCUCAUCACGAGAGAGAGGUGCAUGUUGUAUAAUUGCGUGAAUUUUUUAAUGUUUAAUUUCAUGUAAGUUCCGUGUAAUAAAUUGUACAAGUUUUAUUGUAUAUAUGAAUUCCAUAUAUAUAUAUAUAUAUUUAUAAUUUAAUGUAUGGUUUCAUGUGUAUAUUUCAAUCAUGUGUAUAUUUAGUAGAUUGCCGAUUUUCUUUUUCUACUAGACAAGGGUUGAUGUAUAAUUACGUGUAUAUGUUUAUUGUACGGGCAAUUAGGACAAGUUUUGUAUAAAUUUCUUUUAUUUGAUGGUUGUUGUAUGGUUUCAUGUAUAUACAUUUAUUGUACUACUUUAGACAAUUUUUAAUUUAAUGUUUCUAUGAUUAGAUGUGUGUAUAACUAAUUGUAUUAUUAGUUAAGAUGGGAGCUAAAGAGGAUGAAAGGUAUAUAAUGGAGCAGAUUAUUGCUAGCUCAAACGUUGCAAGAACCUACACCGAGGGUGAGGGUAGCUAGGUGGACAUGUACCUCAACAUGUCCAGUGAUGGCAAUGACGAUGAGGAGCACGAGCAUGACAUCUAUGAUAAUGCGGAACAAGACAUUGCAGAAUUGGAAGGUUCUAAUGAGGUGUGCUUCAUGUUGACAAUCUAGUUGGCUUUUUUUCGUUGGUCACACCUUAGUUACCAUAGAACUUCGUCUCGGGAGAAGAUUGGUGGUGGUAUGGUGAUUGGAAUUUUAUUUCCACGAAAUCUGAUUUCCAUCGAAUCAUAUCCCUUGUAUUUAUCUUCUUUUUAUUUGUGAGAGCAUCUUCUUUAUGCUUGCAAAACAAUUCAAGUGCACAUACUACCCCUAGGGUGACGAUUGGGAGUAGAAAUAAUUGCCAACAAAACAACACCACAUCCUAAGAUUCUUAACUUGUGGCAUAAUUAGUCUAGUAAAAAGAAAGAUAAAAACCUAAUGGGUGUAUGUGAGUGCAAUGUGUAUAUGCAUAUGAGUGGAAGGCAUAUAAGCAAAGACAAUAUUUACACAUAGUUCUAAACACCAUGUUUACAGCUAGGUUGCUGAAUUUCUCCAUAGCCAUAGAGAUUAAUUAACCAAGGUCAAAACACGAUGUCUAUCCCAAGAUCAGUAAUUAUUUAUAGCACAAGAAAAAGAAAGCGCAUUGCAAAGUUUAUAAACCAACCAAUACAGCAUGAAAACAAGAUGAAUAGCUAGCAAGGUUUAUUAAACUGAAUGAUGACGGUCUGUAAGCAAGUUUAAACACCAUCUUUACACAAGAUUGCAAAUGGAAAAUGCCCAUAUGAAGCACUAACAUGGAUAUGAAAUCAUUCAUCAUAAAGCGUAAAGAACAACCAAGCCAACCAUAUGCAAAGCAUGAAUGGAAUGCAAUGAAGGUGCAAGAGAACAUUUUUGGAUGAACACAUUAUGAUGAUGGCAAAAUGCAAUGCAUGCAGAAAAAAUAAAUAUGAACAUGAAUAUGAUGAUCAGGGGCGGACCCACUAUUGUGGCCUGGGUAUUCCUCGGCAUACCCAAUAUUUUUGGGAAAAUGUUUAGUAGUUUUUAAUGGCAUAUACAUGUAUAAUAUAGUUUAGGUGUUAAAAUUGAUAUUCACAGCUAUUUUGGGCUCCAAUUCGCGUCCAAACCAACCUGGCCCACAGACCGCACCCGGCCGCCCGGCCCAUCGGCCCAUCUUGUCACUGAUCCUCCCACCACCACACUCAGCCCGUCAGUUAGUCAGGUCCCGAGCUCCUGCCUGACCUAGUCCGCUACCACCGCCAGGCGCCAGGCACAGCUGUACACGCCGCCCCCGUCCACCCACGUCCGCCGCACGGCCGCGUCGCGCCCCCCCCCGGCGCCCGCUGCUGCCAGAACCCAUUAGGCCUCCACCGGCAAGUCCACCCACAGUCCCGCGCGACGCGGCAGCCUCUUGGCUCUCGGCGCUCGCGGCGCGCCAAUGCCUGCGCAGCCCCAGCAGGCGACUGCCCCCCCCCCCCCCGCAUCGGGCCUCGGCCCCUCCCCAGCUCCCCCUCCCCCCUCCACCAGGACUGCCUGCUGGCCCCCACCGCGAGGUAAUCGAAAUGGACUGCUCAAUCUCUCAAUCUGUUGACAUGAUGCACACGGUUGCAAAAAUAGAUGUGUCAAAAUAGAUGUAUUGCCAAUUGCUAUAGAUGCAUAUGGUUGACAUGAAGAAGUCAAAAAUGACAUUUGGUUCCUUGUAGGCAGUCAAAAAUGAAGAAGUCAAACAAUAUUGAUCUGAAAUCAAUGCGGGAAAGGGCUACGAAGACACACGGGUAGAUUCCCUUGUGAACUUUUUAUGUCGUUCGUCUAAAUAUAUUUUUGCAAUGGGCAUACCCUACUCUGAAAUCCUGGGUCCGCCACUGAUGAUGAUGGUCUAAACAUAAAACAAGCCUAGAUUAAUUAGCUACAACUGAAAUUAAGCAAAGGUUAAUGUCAUUGACCCUAGCUCUAUCCUAGCUUUUACUAAAGUCCCGGCACAUAUAGUGGUUGGGCCCACUCUCUCUACUUCCCUCUCUGCUGCAUGCACACACACGAGCAACUGGAGGCCCAACAAAGCCCAGAAGGGUUCGGCCGAACCCGUCCGAUCCAGUCUGAGCGCCGCUCCCUCCCAGCCUUCGCGCAGAUGCUCCUCCAACGUUCCUUGACCCCUCCCUCAGUGUCCCAUUGGGUUUAACAUUGUAGGAGAGGAGUCCCUUUUUUAAAAUCUCAACCACCUCCUCUCCUCAUUCACUCCACUCUCAUCUCCAUCAAACUCACCAAGAUCCACAUCGGAAAUACCUGCUUACCACCAUGGCUGGCAAAGCCCUCGUCCCUUUCACCAACUUGGGCUUGACCAUUGAUCUCGAUGGGAAAAUCACUCCAGCAAAUGUCAUUGUCCCUGUCGGCGAUCUGGCGAUGGAGGAGGUCCAGGCACUAGAGGUCGAGCCCCUAGCCAUCAUACCGCCCAAGGGGUAAAGCAGGAGCAUGACAGGCGCUGCUAGGGGUUCAGCCGAACUCCCAGUUCAGCCAAACGAGGACGGCGUCGCCUCGGCCUCCCGCUCGACUGCAUGCUUCCCCUUGCCAAGGAGGACUCCAGAACAGCGGGCGCGUGCGUCAAGUCCCUACAAAAGGCUGAAAUACAAUGAAUAUCCAGGGUCACCCUUGAAGAUGGGUGAACGCUACGCCGGGUCCUUGUUUGACUAGUACGGCGAUGCAUUCUGCCACCGCUAUGUCGUUGUCGAGAUUAGCGGAUCAAGACUUAGACUAGUAAAUUUCUUUUAUGCGCGUAAGGCUUCAGAUGGUGGCGUGGGAGACAUGGGUUUUAUACUAGUUCGGGCAAUGGAAUACCCUACGUCCAGUGUCUGGAGCUGCUUGUGUUGCCCACGCGGGGUUCUGUAGUAGGGGUUACAGGUGUGCGAGAGAGGGAGCUAAUCCCAGGUCUCUUAGGCGUGUUCCGGUCCUCUAGAUGGGAGAAGUGUGUUCUGUUUGCUUGGGAGUAUCGGUUGUGUCUGAGUUGUCUCCGGAGCCUCCUCCCGUCUCAGGUCCCCGAUUCUCCUUUCAUAGCACAAGGAGACCAUCGGGGUUACAGACGAGACCGAGCGUGGGGAGGAGUAAAGAGAUAAACAUAGCUAGGUAAAAAUACAACAAGAAAGGGGGGAACCAAGUUUCUAGGUCACCGGCGUCCUCGCCGGCCUUCGACUUCCGCCGGCGCAUUUGUCGGAGGAGGGUGGCCGCCAUCGCGUUCUGUCGAUGGCUUCCUCGGUGACUGUAGCCACCGGGCGUGAUGAUGGCAUUUCGUCGUGACCCUUUGUCUGUUGGGGGAGGCGGCGGAUCCUGCCAUUCUGCUGACGGCUCGCGGAGUGCGAACGUCGCAUCCCUGCCGCUGGGCACGCGGGGCGCGAGAACGUGCGAGGCUUCCCCCUACCCCAGGCGGCGCAGGCCAUGAGUGCCCUGUGGCAAAUCGGAGGAGGCCGCAGCUACUGUAGCUUGUACUGUGCAGCCACGUAUGGGUACUUGUGGCAGGUUGCGUGGUGGAUGCGGAUAUCCUUCUCCCUGACAGAUCUGCGGCGCAUUUAUGGCGAGAUCGACAUGGGGACCCACAAGACCCGCGCCCAAGGCGGAUACUUGUCUGGAGGGCCCGGGUUAGCCUGACCCCCUACGCUUGGGGUCGGGCGAGGCGGAGACUUGCGGCGGGGCGUCGGACGCUCCCGACACUAGACCUGCGGUCGCGCAAGGCGGAGCUUGGUCUUCCGGGGGUCGGGGGUGCCGGACCCCAGGAUGCGGGGUCGGGCGAGGUGGAGCGUAAUUCUUGCCUCCCAUGUUGGGCCGAUGGCAGUCUUUGUUACCUCUAGUGGGCUUGGGCCUUUAUGUUUUGUUGUUUCCAUGGGCUUCGAGAGGUCGUUAAUAUUUCCCCCCAACAGUAGCCCCCGAGCCUGUGGUGGAGUGGGGGCGCUCCUCCGGAGGCUACUAUCAUCGCCCCUAGGGAAUCCUCGCAGUUGAUCCGGGAUAGGAGGUGUUGUUUGCACGGCUUGACCGAGGGGGUCGAUUAGGCGACGCAUCCUGUGAGCGACUCGGUGCGGGAGGGUUUCUUGUUGUUCCCUUCUGUCUGAGAGCCUUAAGUCGAGACCACCUGCGUGGCCUUUGGUUGCAAGGCCAGCCCCCGAGCCCCCGCACGUUGCAGGGGACCGGUCGGAGGCUAGGUCGACUUUUGUUCAUUACCCUCAAGCGUCUGUUCGCUAGGACGGAGGGGGCGAGCCGUGCCAUGCUAUCCUCAUCGGACGAACCAUGGUGCUCAUUGAGUUACUAACGGGUUGAUUCGAGUGGGAUCCCGGUCCCCGUUCGGGGGGGGUCCGGCUUGGGCCAAGCUGGUGGCGUACCCCAGGCUCCGGUCGGCCAGUUCAUAUAGUUCCUGAGUCCGUUCGGUCGGACCGGGGGCUCAUUGCCUUUCUUCGGGGAAAAACCAUGAACUUUGAUGCCGGUCCAGACUCGAAUGUGAGAUUGAGACGCCCGGGGCUGUCGCGUGCCCGGGUGAUGGCCGCUAGCGGACCCGUCUCCUCUCACCCCUCACUCGGGGGUAUCCUGAGGCGGCUGUCGAACCCGUGGCGGGCCAGCCUUCGAACCUCUGGAUCGUAAUGGGCCGUAGGGGCGUUUUCAGCCCCGUAUCCCUUUUUACCUUUUGGUGGGCCUUGGGCCGAAUCAUGGAGGAGGUCGGGCCUUGGGCCGGAUGCGGAGGAUGUCGUGCCUUGGGCCGGAUGUGGGGGACGUCGUGCGUGUCUUCCGGGAGACGAAGUGGUGGAGGGUGCCAACCCGCGAAUCGAGGGAGGAGGGGAUGUUUCUACUGCAGGUCAUGCGCACGGUUUCCGAAAAGGCAGCGGGCGUGACGGGACGUACCUCGCGCCGCAUUUAUUGCGAUGGGGGCGUCUGUUCUGCUUCCCUCGUGCCUUCCCUAUAAAACGAGGACUUCGCCUCGCCGGUUCCGCCCGCCAUCUACCUUCAAGCCUUUUCGCCUCCUCGCGCGCCCUUAGCUUUCCUGUGCCCGCUUCGUCUUCCUCCGCCCAGUGCCGCGCCCUUUCUCCCCAUCCGCCGUCGAGUUCUUCUCCCUCCGGCGAUGGGAUCCUGGGCGCGUUCCCACUUCGGCCCCUCACGCGCCGAAGGCCUAGUGAGGAAAGGCCUCCUUUGCGAGAGGACGGAGACGGAUGAGUGGGGGUUCCCUGAGAUGGAAGAGGUGCCGACUCCGCCCACCGGCUACGUCGUUUCCUUUGCCCACUUCCACGAGAGGGGGUUUGCGACUCCGCCGAGCCUCUUCUUCCGCGGGCUUUUGUAUUACUACGGGCUUGAGCUGCAGCACCUCAACCCCAACGGGAUUCAGCACGUCGCGGCGUUCGUUGCGGUGUGCGAGGGGUUCCUGGGCAUUGAGCCCAACUUCUCGCUGUGGAAGUACUUCUUCACGGUCAGCCUAUACCAGAAGGCCGAGAAGAGGGGAAGCCAGCAGCGGUCGACCCCGGUGCCGAUAGGGUGCGUCGGAAUCCACCUCUGCCAUACUCGCGCCAAGGAGUAUAUCGCGAUGAAGACCGCGGCAUCCCACAAGGGGUGGCACCAGCAAUGGUUCUACGUGAAGAACUACUCCAACCCCCCCUGCCGGAGUUCACCGGCCGCAUUAUUGAAGCGGCGCCGGAGGUGUGGGUGUACGGCCCGGUGGAGAAGGAGAAGAAGCGGAUCACCGGCCUGCUGCAGGCCAUCGAGCACCUGAAGGAGAGGGGACUGACCGGAGCCGGAGUCAUCGGGGCGUACCACGCCCGGCGGGUGGCGCCGCUGAUGCUCCGGGUCCGCUCGCUCGCCGACAUGACCCCCGGUGCUCUCACCGAUGGCACUGUCCUCGCGACGGGUGCUCUCGCUGCCUCCGAGAUCCGGCAGCGGAUCCGGGAGGCGCUGGAGGACAAGGACGCCGAUUACCCGGUGCCCGGCCACCCUCCGAUGCGCCCGGACGAGAAUUUCAUUGAUCUGGUAAGGAUUUUGCGCGCCAGUUUCCCUCUCUUGCGUUUCUUGGUAUGCCGUUCUGACGCGAGGCCCUCUGUGUUUGCAGGGUAGCAUGACCCGGGUCGUCGACUUGCGUCCGCCAGUGUCGGAGGACGCCGAGUGGCGGUAGCAGAACCGUCUCCUUGCCGAGAAGCAAAAGUGACGCAAGGACAAGAGACAGCGAAGAAGAAGAAGAGGGCCGCCAAGGAGUUCCAGCGGCGGCGGUGGGGAUAGGUCGUGUCGGAUGACGAUGACGAUGAGAAGGAGGAGGAGGAUGACGAGGAGGAGGAGGAGUUUAUCCUGUCCCCCCGGUCAGGGGCGCUUGUUAUCCGGGAGCCGCGCUCCCAAGCGGCCAUGGGGGACAAGGCGGGCGAGCUGCCUGCCCGGACCCGAUCCUGCGAAGCUUUGGGGGCGCGCCCCAGGGGUCGGCGCAGAGCGCCCCCCGGGGGUCGACGGAGCCGACCCCCAUCCCUACACCUGCAGCCCAGGAGCAGAGGAGCAGCGACAAGCGGCCGUUGCCAGAUGCCCCGGGGUCGGCGUCCAGCUCAGAGGCGAAGCGCGCGCGCCGCCCUUGCGCUGGGGGAACGUGAGUUGAAUUUCCUUGCGAAUCUCGUUCCUUUCCAUGCAUUGUGUUUGUUUCCGCUGAUGCUGUUUGUUGUCUCACAGCACCGCCCCUCAAGGCCUUGUCCCGCCGUUGGCGCCAAAGAAGGCGUUGCGGUGUUGUCGCCUCUGCGGGGCGGACCGCGGCUCCGCCGGCGGCGAGUGGCGGGGUCACUGGUGAGACCGCGGGUCCUACCGCGGAGGUGGCCCCUGCGGCGGCAACCGGUGGAGUGGUGCCACCGCCGGGCAUGGGACAGGGUCUGGACCCCGCUCCGUCCUCCGCCUCUUCGGCCGACCCCGCGGUGCAGAGUAUCGCUCCUGGGGGCCCUCAGGCCGGGGAGGUGAUUGACCUCGACGCCGACGAGGUGGAGGAGACGGCGGCGGUGGAGACGGGGGCGGUUGCCCCAGCGGCCAUGACGGGGACGACGACGGCGACGGGGGAAGGAGAGUCUACCCCCGCGGCCACGGCGGGGACAGUGGCGACAGAGGAGGCGGGGACGCCCGCCCCGGCGGCUGCGACGGAGGAGGCGGCGGUGACGGAGACGGGGGCUUCCGCCCGGGAAGCCACAGCCGAGGUGGCAGCGGCGACGGAGGUGAAAGUGCCUGUUCUGGAGGCCACGGUGGGGGUGGGGACGCCUGCCUCGUGGCCACGACGGAGGGCGAGGCGGCCCCAGGGACACUUGCUCCGGCACCCGCGUUGGAGGCGGUGGCGCCGACGGGUUGGCCCGUGGCGGCCUCGACGGGGGCGGGGGUGCGUGCGCCGGGACCGUCGGUGAGGCCGGCGACUUCCGGGAUGGUGGUGCCCGUCUUGACGGCGGCGGCGGCGCGGUCGGCCCCCGCCCUUGCCUCUACCACUCCCAUUCCCAAGGCGUGGAGCGGAUCCGUCCUGCGUUGGUCGUCUCGUGACGACCCGCAGAGGCCCCUCUUCACGUUGGAUGAUGCCACAGAAUGGGGCAAGUGGCAGGCGCUGCAGGGCGGACUCGCUAACGUCCGCGCCGCUCUAUCUUCGGCGUUGGGGGAGCUGGACGGCGUCAUCUUCCCCGGUGGCCGGGUAUGGUGCUUUCUCCGUUGGUUAUUUUCUUCCCGUUACUUCGUCCCUGAUGGCACAUUGUUCUGCAGGCCCUCCAAGAAUGUAGCCGGGGAAAAUCUGAUUUCCUUUGGCUCGAGCAGGGGCUCUGGGAGCGCUUCAACUUGGAGUUGCAGCGGACCGGGGAGCUGACCAUGCAAGUCGCCACCGUCUAGCAUGUCAUCGACGAUCUGCGAAGGCACGAGCAGGCGGCACAGGAGGACGCGCGGCGGGCGGAGGCCAAGUUCCAGGUCGUUGCCGAAAGGGCUCGCUGCGACCGCGAGGAGUUCCAGGCCGUUGCCGAAAAGGCCCGCCACGACGCUGAGGAGCUCGCACGGCUGAAGGUGCAGCAUGAAGCUCUUCAGAAGAGCGGCAGAGGGCCUGGCAGGACCGGGACGCCGAGAAGGUCCGGAAGGAGGAGGCUGAGAAGGUGGCGGCCAACCUUGGGGCUGAGGUCAGCCAGCUCCAAGUGCAAGCGCGAGAGCUUCAGGCCUCCGUGGCCCAGGGGCUCGACCAGGAGCGCCAGCUGAAGGCCUAAUCCGAGGGUAUGACUCUGUUUAUUUCUUUGUCUUUGUGAUGUUGCGGUGAUAUUUUAUUUGGCGGGUUCUUCUGGAUGAUCCUUGCAGAUGAGCUCAACUGGCUGAGGGAGGUGCUUGACGCGGAGCGCGCUGAGCACGGCGACCUGCGGGACGCGGUCCGCGUCAUCUGUGACUUCCUUAGUGUGGUCCAGGGGGAGGGGACGAGCUCGCUGGCGGCUCGUGUCCUCGGGACGUACCGCCGGACCAGCGAGAUCGCCCUGGAAGCGCUUCGCACCGGCUUGAGGCAAGCCUUUGGGGUCUUCGGCUCCCACUAUUCCGGCAUCAACUUCGCCGGGAUGAGCGGGGGAUACGCCACCGGCUACUACGAGGCCGAGCUGGAUGAGAUCGACGUGUCGGUGCUCAGCCCGGCGGAGGCCUUGGUGAAGCUCCUCGAGGAUGAGGCCGUCCCGCCCGAAGAUCCCCGGACGAGUUAACUAUAUCGGGCUGGCGCCCCAGAUGUAAAUACGUUAGGGAAAGACUUGUUUUUUGUGAGGGCCGUAGAGGCCUUUUCUAUGAAUUGUCGUAAAAAAGUUUUUGAUUCCCUUUCUUGCUUUUUGGACUUGGAAAGUUUAGAGCACGUUGUCGGGCGUGUCAGUAAGCUUUGAUGAGCGAAGGCACCGUAGCCGCUGGGGCGUCGUUUUUUUUGCAGUCCGAUCAAUCUUGCCUGAACACCGUUCGUGCACUUUCUCCUUUUUAUGCCCAAAAGUUCAGAAAGAGGGUCGGCUCGGAAAGAGAAAGCGUUUUGAGAGGGUGUCAAGUGGCUUAGGUACUUGCGGCAGGUUGCGUGGUGGACGCGGAUAUCCUUCUCCCUGACAGAUCUGCGGCGCAUUUAUGGUGAGAUCAACAUGGGGACCCACAAGACCCGCGCCCAAGGCGGAUACUUGUCUGGAGGGCCCGGGUUAGCCCGACCCCCUACGCUUGGGGUCAGGCGAGGCGGAGACUUGCGGCGGGGGGUUGGACGCUCCUGACCCUAGACCUGCGGUCGGGCGAGGCGGAGCUUGGUCUUCCAGGGGUCGGGGGCGCCUUACCCCGGGAUGCGGGGUCGGGCGAGGCGGAGCGUAAUUCUUGCCUCCCAUGUUGGGCCGACGGCAAUCUUUGUUACCUUGGGUGGGCCUGGGCCUUUAUGUUUUGUUGUUUCCAUGGGCUUCGAGAGGUCGUUAAUAUUUCCCCCCAACACUAUGAGGAGGACUUGUGGGCAGAAAGUCAGCUACCACAAACUUGCCUCUGAAUAUUUGGAGUGCAAACAUUGGAUGGUGGUUGUGGAGAGCCCCAGCCAUACCUCGCACCCGUGGAGAGGUAAUUGUCGGAUUGCUUGGUUCGUCUCUAGAAUGCGACAAGGUCAGGCGCCACCUCUCACUGCUGCCAGUCAGAAGGCCGAGGGGCCAGUUUCAACAUAGUAAUGAGAAUCUCCGAAGGCCAAUAUGGUUAAGCAGCUAACCUCCAUGAUCAUAGACUUACGUUUAGAAAAUAGGAGGCUUAGCGAUGCGUUAACAGAGCAGAAGUUAGAAACAGAAGAACUUAAGGACGACUUCCGUGUCCUCCGCCUUGGUCUUUGUGCUAAGAUAAAGCGCUUGUACAAUGCCACGGGGAAUGACGGUCUCUACGAUGCAGCUCAAUAGACGUGCCCCUUGUAUCCUUUCCUUUAGGCACUUUAGAAUAUGUUUAUUUGUUUUCCUUCAUUUUAAUUUCCAAUAGAUUGUUAGCGCCUCCAAUUUAAUUUCAAUAAAGUGUAGACUCACCGGUCAUCCAACUUGAUGGAGUCCUUUUGUCACCUAGUUGUCUUUGGAAGAAGUAGCUGGGUACAAAAUAAGUGUGGGGGAGAGCCACAGACUCUCUAGAGCUGAAACAAUGCACAACACCCACAAAUAGAGAAAACCACGCUGCACCAGCACGUACGUGAAAGUGGAGCCAGAGCUGGACCCAUAGGGGUUUGGCCAACCCAAGGGGUGGCCCACUCGGGCCAUCUUCAUCCACCGCGUCGGUUUGUGUCUCUUUACCCCUGAUCUCCCUGAUUCAUGAGUUUGAAUGAAUUUUAAAUCUGAUCAACUAAUUCAAACUCAACUAAAAUGAAUCAACUGCUCCACCUGCUCUACAUGUUUUCUAUGGUUGGCUUGCAUAUGUUUUAUUUCAUGCUUAUCAUCUUGAUGCUUGUGAACAAAUAUCUUUAGGACAGCAUGCUCAUCUAAGUAGUUGAUGUGUAUGAUAUGGUUCGAUGAUAUGAUCUUCACUCUUAAUGCUUAAGUGCUUGGGAAAAUCUAUUUGAAAAUUUAAAAGCCUUUUUGAAAUCUCCUCUUUGAUGUGCCAAAGUCCUACCAAAGCCAUAUGAUAAGUUAUCUUGAAAAACCAUUUGCAUAUGUUGCUUGUCUUUGCAUUGAGCUUUGUCAAAUUGGUGUGACCCUUGUCACAAUUCUUUUCAUACUUUCAUGAUCAAGACUCAUGUGCACGCCAUAUACCCCUUGCUAUGCUUCUAUGAGAUGUUAGCAUUGUACCAUCCAUUCAUUCCACAAAAUAAAUGCUCCACCAUAUGUGUUGGUCUCCUUCUAAGAUUAUUGUUACAAAAGAGAUAUGGGCUAUCAAAAAAAAAUAUGAAUGUCCAAGAAAGUUGGACACAUGAAUGUCCAAUAAAAAGAAAAAGAAAGAUAGCCAUGUCCUCAGAAAUAUUUACAAAGGGAGAGAGAUCAUACAAAAAGGAGUUUCCAUUCCAUCCACCACAUCCAUACAUGUGCACAUCUUGAUCUGAUUGUAUGACUUAUUUUUCUCUUUGGAUCUGGUCUUUGACUUUGCAAUAUAUGUGAUGCAAGCAUGCCUUAUCCUUCAUAGCCUACCUUGAGCUCCACAUAUAGCCAUCAUUAGAAGUAGGAUGAAGAAAGGCAAGUCUAAUGCCUUGGUGAGGACAUAUACACAUUGAGUGAUCUGAGAGAAUCAAAUGAGGAGCUAAGCAAGGUUUUGUUUUGAAAACUAAUUGAAAAAUCCCAAGCUACUUGGCAUAAGGAGUUGAGGUGACUUGAUUCAAGACCAUUACAUUCCUCAACUACCCAAGAUGGCAUGAUAGACACUCCAAAGUUCACAAGUGCAGGUAUGGUUUGGAAUAUCUUUUAGGCUCGCUUCAUACCUUUGAAAGUUAUGUUUCACCUUAGUCCUUUCUCGUUCACUCAAGGAUAAGCAAAGGCUAAGUGUGGGGGUGUUGUUGAUGGCUCUUAAGUACAAAAUCUGCGCCAUCAACUCUUGCAUAAACACAUAAAAUAUGAGCAUCAACAAUAGUGGUAGGAGUUAUUACAAACGAAUUCCACAAGUCUUGGUGAAUAUUUGUAUGCAAGCCCAAUAGGAGAGAAAAGACACCUCAAAAGCAAGGAAACACACUCUCAACCAAUCAAGAGCAAGCACAUGGAACCAUGGGCCCACAACCAAAAGGAAAUCGACUACAUUCCAAACACCCUAUACCCACAUGAGAACCCAUAGGGCAGUGACCCAGAGCAAAGGUGAUGCCAGAGUGUAGAUGGUAGUUAGCAUGCCAAAUUUUGAACCGCAAGCGCUCGGAUUAGUUGUUUCUUUUCCCUUAGAGAUUCCCCCAAGGUUUAUCAAUCCAUGGAACAAGGGAUUUGCACGUUUCACUAAGCACUAAUCAAUGUAAUUGAAAGCUUUUCGAAUAAGAUAUGAUUAUGCUAACAAAGGAACUAAGCAAUCUAGAUUAAGAUGGAUAGAGAGUACAGGUUGUGAACAAGAUAGAUUAAACGCUUGUAGAUGCAAUCACCAUGCAUGAAUGAAUUAGAUCUAGGUGUUAUUGUGAGUGGUUGUGAACCAUGCCCAACACUUUCCCACCCGCAACAUUGUCACUACAUGUGGGUACUCAACUAUCGGAACAUAAGAACACAUCAAGAUGAUCAUUCUAGGUAAGCAAAUAAGCAACCCAAAGUAGCGCUGGCCAGCCUUUUCAUGAAAGAGCAUCAUCAAGAUAAGAUUGAUAACAAAAUAGAUCUCAACCAAAGGUUCAGCGAUUACAAAUCAAGAUCUUCGUAUAACCCCGAUGACAAAUAGAGGUAUUACCCCCAUGAUCUUACACAUGUUGAUGAAUUUUAGGGUAAAGGACACCCUGUAGAUCAACUGGACCAAAGAUGAUGAUGAACGGGGGCAGGGAAGGCCCAGGUUGAUCAGCCUGCGCACUUUUGAGCCGAUCAGCUCAGGGGGUUUCCUCCUCCCCUGGUGCUCCUCUUCGCGUGGCCUCCUCUGGAUCCAAUCUUCUCUUCAUUUCUCCUACUUGUGGCGGCAAUGGAUGGUGUUUGCAUGGUGAUUUCCUCUUCUCCCCAACUCUCCCUCCUUGAAGUCCAUGAGGGGGUAUUAAUAGUCUCCAAUAGGCGGCAGCUCUGGGUCAAUGUCAGUGAAAAAAUCCUAGAGAUCAUCGUACACUUCAUGCUGAGGAAACAAGAGGUUGACCGAGCCCUGGGAUAGACCAAGAGGAUCAUCCUAGAGGGUCCCAGGCUAAUCGGUCUAGGCCCUUCCUAGCCCUUCUAGUCCUCUCCUUCCUCGUGCUGGCUUUUCUCGAUGACCCUUGUCCAAAUAUCCAUGAAGCUCUAUAUACAUACCCCCUUGAUUAUGUUGUAUUUCCUGUCAAAAUACAAUGCUCCAAAAUACAACACAUAUGCAAUAAUAGGGUUAUUUCAGGUGCCAAUUGGUGGGUUAGUAUACGAAUAAGCAUGAAAAUACUGUUUAAAUGACACUAAAAGUGUGUCAAUAACGAGCACCAACAAUCCCCCCACGCUUAGAUCUUGCUCGUCCUCGAGCAAGUCUAGCGACUAAAAGAUCUUGAAUUAAACCUGAGCAAGCGAGUCAAGUACCUAGCCUUGAAACAAAAGAUUAGAGGAGCAGCAAAGAUAAUCAAAGUCUGGGUGUUCAAAGAUUUAUCUAAGCAAAGAUUCCCCUACAACUAUUAUUCAGAACCAAGUAACUUCAAAAAUCAACUACACUUAUUUUCUGGCUUUUUUCAGAGGGUUUUUCUUUCAUCAUAAAACAAUCUCCCUGCAACAAAAUUGAAAAAAGAAUUAUUUUCAAGGUGCUUACAUGUCGCUUAAAUGAAUGUUGGCUAUCCUACUUAUUUGCAAGCUCUCAUCUCUCAAAAUUCAUUCAAUUAUAUGGUGGAGUUUGGGUAAGGUUAGCUAGAAUCAACACGUAUAUUAUUGAAUUAAGAAAACCCUCUAACGGUGGCCUACCUUCCGAGCCAUUGAUCAUAAGAAUAUCCACAUAAUGUGAAGUUUUCAAGGAUGAGAAGAUAUAGAAUGGUGGACAUGUGCAAAGGCAAAGAAAUAUAGUGACUCUGAGGCACAAGCAAUGUCCUCGUCGUUGGAUUGCAUAUGGUUGUAAUGAAAAUAUGUUCCUUAAACAAGUCUAUCUUUUCUUUGCACCACUCUUGAUCUUCAUGACAGUAAAAACUCCUCCUUUAUUUCUUUCUCUCUUUUCCUAUUAUUUCUUUUUAUUUGUCUCAAUACUUUUAUUUCUUUAUUUCUUUAUUUUAAUCUCUUCUCUGAACCUCUUCUGAACACCACAUAAUAAAAAUAAGUUUUAGAUCCUUCCAGAGACCUUCCAGGAAUUUGCUACAUGAAAACCGAGGCAAGGAGACCCCAGGCCGAUUGGCCUAGCCACUCCUUUGCUCUCCUCUAGCUCUUCUUUCUGGUGAAGCUUCCUUAUCUUGUAUCUUUCCAAAAAUUUCAUAAAGCUCGACUAGAAACGGAACAGAUCUUCAUAUAAUGAGUUGUGUUCAAGGAAUUGGUAAUAAAAUUGAGAAAUUUGUGGUUCGGGUUUACGAAUUCAGUACAAAAAUAUGAUUGUUCCAAUGAAGAACUCUCAUUACUGAAUAUUGACGAGGCAAGCAUUCAAAGAUGGUAAAAAGGAUAUGAUCAAUUCUCAAAAUUAAAGCAAACCAAGAGAGAGCGAUCCUAAUUCAAUUCAAAGUGUCAAAUGUUGCUUAUGGUGGUAUGAAUAAAUAUUUUUAGGCAUUGGGUAGGAUAAAUAAAAACUCUCAACCUGGUUAAAAGAUAUUGAUCAAUCUUGUUUUUGCAGAGGUUUUAAAUAAAAAAUAAAAUUUUAAAUCACCUCCAAUUCAAAGCCUUACUCAUAAAUCAUAAUCAAAACUGAAGCACUUGAUCAUCAUAAAGCAUGGGUAUUGCAUAAACAAAUCGAUUACUAAAACUCCACAACUACGAUUUAGAAUUCAAGACAAUGCUCAUAAUCUAAAGUUGCAAAGAUAAAAUAAAAGACAACCAAGCCAAGGUAGACACUAAAAACACUUGCACGAUCCUUGAAUUUUAUUCAUGCUUCUUCUCACAAAGACGCUAAAGUAGCCAUGUAGGCCUAAGUCUUCCCAAAAGCUUAAGAAAACUACUACUUUAUCUACUUUUGGUUGAAAUAAAAAGACUAAUCUAGACUCUCACAUGAUUCGACUCGACCAAAUUAGAUCCAAAAACUCAUACGAGCGACGAUCUCCCCCCCCUCACGCUUAAAAUCUACGACCUCCUCGUCGUAGCCAUAUGGAGUACAAGGAAAAGAAGCUUGUAAACGCUCUAAUGACGCUACCCGCACUACUUGCACACGGGAUGGUUGCUGCUUCCUUCGCUUUGUUCUUCCUCAUGUUGCUGCACAUCCCGAAGAGCUUCCUCACGUUCCUCUGCAAGAACUUGAACUCGUCCUCCUGACGGCGAUCAUUAUCUUCUGCCUUUUGAUCCAGAGCUUGUAAGGCUUGCAUGAUGUCAUCGAACGCAUCGAAGAGGUAGUGGAUGUUCUUCCUGCAAGCUGUGGAACAUGUACGAUCAUGCUCCUCCGAUUCUGGCCCGUCGUCUUCUAGAUCCUUCUCUUUGCCCUUGUCUUGACGGUGGCUAUCUUGCUCCUUGCUCGCCUUCUUGCCUUCAGCCCAAUCCCAGUACGUGUUGUCAUCUUCUUCAUCGUCACGGCCUGCAGCACCCUAUGAUCCAUUGUCUAUCUUGUAUGAAAGAAUCAGAAGCUUGUUCUCCUCAGGGUGUCUUGCGCGGUGCAGCGUUUGCAAGUGCAAGACUUGCUAGUUCCUUUUACACAUUGUAAUGUUCAUUGCAUGCUCUAAUUGUUCUACAUUUGUAAUUUCUUGGUGAAGUUUGGUUACUGAUCCACUGUUUGAUUAACUCUUGGGCCCAAACACUGUACUACUUCUGAUUAGAUAUCUGUAUCUUGACUUUGACCAAAAAAAAUAUCCGGCAGUUUUUGCCAUUAAAGUUUCAUAAAUCAUCUUGCAAAAAUCGUACUAUACAACAAGGGACGGUUUAUUAUAAAAUAUACGUUCCCCUUAUCACAUGCCACUUCCACUCAAAAGGCAACGAAUCAGUUUUCAAUCCUGAGUGAGCAAUUUGCUUUUAUUACCGAUGCCUCCUAUUCCCUUGUGCACCAAGUUUAUUUUGGAUAGGGCUGCAAAAAACGACUAACCAGCUCGGAUUCUCCACCUGCAAAACCGCAUCUGCAGCAACCAACCCCACGCGGUGGAAAAAAAAACAAAACCUAGAAACCGGACGGGGGUGGAUGUGGGGCUCGGAGCCCAAGCAAAAAACGGAUCGGGAGCGCCGGAGCAGGCCAUCACCGGAUGUUAGAGAUAGAAAAUGGUUGAAGUUUGGAGUGGAAAUCAAACAAGCCUUGGAGCAAAGGAAAAAAAAAGAUCAAACCACUCAAGCAUUCAUUUGAUUUAGAAAAGAGAACAUUUGUUAAGGUGGGGAGUUGAAAUCAUCUUUUAAUUAGUUCCACGUAUCUGGUAUCAUUACAGUUGGUUUACUUGUGUAAGUAUAAGUAGCUCUGCCGAAGCCUUUGCUCCUAUAAUUUAGUAACUAGUACAAAUGGAUCAAUAGGAAAAUCAAGUUGCAAUCAUUUCUCAGCCAACCAAACCUAUGUAAAUCAAAUUAUUGUCCAUGCCCGGCAUGCACAGGUGCCUGCCAUGCAUGCAUUGUUGCUCCAUUGUAAUAACCAUUAUUGUCCAUCGAUGUUGCAGCGCAUGUGUGCACUGUGCAGACACCAAGCAUCGAGAUUAUGUACUAGUAAGGUGUUGAAAUAAUGGGCCUAGCCCAUAAGUAAUUUCAGAAUUUCAAAUAAAUCUCAAAGGCCCAUGUGGGCAAGAGGUGGAGUGGUGCAAGUCUUUAGUCCCACAUUGCUAGUCGAGGGGAGGGAUGACCAACUUAAAUAUGGAAGUUGUCUCCACUCCUCCAAGCUAUGUGUGAAGGGCGCGGGCGCGAGGCACUUGCGUGAAUGGUCCGCCGAAAUCUGGCCCCCCUUGCGGGGGCGCGGCUUCCUUUUGCCGUUUUAUUUUUUGGUUACUUGGUCGUUAAGUCAUGGAAUCCUAACCGGUUUAGAUCACGAUCGUGAAGGUUUUUGGGAAGCGCUCUGCGCGACUGCUCGAUCGCUUCUUCCGCUUCGUCAAGUUCUUCGUCGACUCCUUCACCACGGCUCGUCUACCUCUUCGUCGCUCGGGCCUCACUCGUCGUCGCGAACAACGUCAGGCUGCUGAUCGUCGUCGCCUGCUGUAUCCGGUAGUCGUCCAGGAGCCGGUUUUCAUCAAGAAAGAAACGUACGGUCUCUUAACUCACAUUAUGUCUUCCAUACUAGCUAUUAUGAUUGUUGCAGUCUGAUAGCUCUGGAUAGUAUGGUAGAAUGUCUGAUUCUAUUUGCAAUGAUAGACUUGUCUAGAUCUUGCGUAGACAUGUCUAGUUUAAUCUGCUGCUUGUUCAUCAUAUUCAUGAUUUAUUUCUGGAUUAAGUUAAAACUAAAAGUGCUUAUAUAUCCAACAUAAGGUACCAAGAACACGUGAAGCACCCGGGGGAGGCUGCUCCACUCCGCAUGCACAGGUGGGCACGGCACCACUACUCGUCUCCUUCAGGCUGAGGAUAAGUGAUGUACGCUGAUCAACAGACCACGACGGAACCAGCAAUAAUAGUUUCAGCCUGCCUCACAGUAAUUAAUAUAUCCUGUAUCCUCCGAGGACCCCUCCCCUUAAUCUUGGCCUAUUGCAUCCAAUAAUGAUAUGUGUGUUUAUCCAAAUUUACGGCACCUUUGGCGGGGGUUCCACCCAGCUCCGCCCUCUCCACCUUCGGUACUCCAUGGGAAACCAUUCCUUUGGAAUCAAGGAAGCUUGAACAGUAUAACGAAUAAAGUUUCAUAUAUCCAUUUGAUUUCACAUGAAAUAAAAUAUUCUGUCAGAACCAAUGGUUUCACUGAAGCUCCAGGCAGCGAGCGAAGGGGUGAGAGAGGAUAACGCUUACUGUGUGUUACCAUCGCGUGCACCAUGGAUGACCAACGCGCAGCCGAGAUGAAACGGCGGACCUAAACAGGUCCUCGCUAUUUUUGCAGGUUCUCGACCAGGCCAGUUCUUUAGGCCAACCUAUCAUUCACGAGUUAAACAUACGGUGGCUGGAGAAAUGUUCUAUUCUUUUAAACAAUACCAGCUGGUUCCUCCGUUUUUAUUCCACCAAUACAAGCACCACCUUGUAACAUUUCCUAUGUUUUUUUUCCUUUCGUCUGUUUUCUCACUACAUGCGUUGCUCUUUCAUGCAUUUUUUUCCAUUCCUGUAUUCCAAAUAGGUCUACAUGAACACAAAAUGAACUAGGGGACAGAAAAAGCCAGUGAAGUUAGUUUUGAGCUUCACCAGCUACUUGCUACAUAAAGUGUGCUAUAGUCGCAGAAAAGCUAAGCUGGAUCAGACGUGGCCGAAACAAUGCCAAAGAGCUAGGUCCCUAGCUGAUGGCAACACAUCAGAUGACUAGCCUGCUUUUCUGUAAUAAUGAUAUUGAGCAAUACACUGCAUGGCUAACCUGCUUUACAAUAAUUGUCAUUUUAUAAUAUUGGUCAUCACGAGAGAUGCACAUUGCAUACACCGGCCCAUCCCUAUAAAUAGCCAAGCCUUUCAGCCAUCUUGGGCACCUCCUCUCAGGGCCUCGUCUCACCAUCAGACAUCUCGUUCCCAGUUAUAAUUUGCGAGGUUAGAUCAGGCUGCGCCAUGGCGUCCGCAACUGCUGUCAAGAUCGUCGCCACCUUCAUGCUGGUGCUGACCAUGGGCCACCUGAUGGCCGAAGCAUCACCGCAGCCUCGGCGUGUGCUUGCAGAAACGGAGCAUGCUGCGGUGUCCGGGAAUCCUGGCCUCCCAGGUGAUGCUAGCGUCAUGCAGGUCCUCGAACCCGCCCUAGUUUCUCGGCUUGCCUGCAAACCAGAGUGCACAGUCCCUUGGCCUCCUUUUGUAUGUAUCUGCUAGAUCCUCUUCCUGGCUCAACGGAACUUCAGGGAAAUGGCUGUGACGUCGGCCAAAGAAUAAAUUGGAUGAACAUAAUAUACCCCGGGUAGUGUAGCUUGGGCUUUUGUUGAGCGUCUGGUGCUAGUUGUAUUUUGUUUGCUCAUGUGGCUUUGCUUCUGGUUGCAUAUUGGCUUUCCUAUCGCUCUCUGUUGCAGCUAUGGUUUCUGCCAGGUGUGUGUUAAUGCGGUUUGUAAGCGGUGCUUGUUCCUACCUUCUGUUUUCAAUAAAAGAAGUCGGAGUCUCCCUCCGACUCUUGUUAUCAGUCAACAAAAAUGAGUUGUAUCAUAUAUAUCUGCGUCUUUUUUCUACGUAUCUUUGGGCUGCUUCAGCUGGAAGUUUAUCGUAAGUACGUGUAUCAGGAUGAUCGUUUGAAUUAAAACGAAAUGAUAAUGUGUGGCUGCUAGAAAUGGAAUGAGCAUCUUACUAUAUUACUAAUUGGAAGCCUCCACGUGAAGCCACCUAGAAAUUCUAGGUGGACGUUUUAAAAAAAACAAAACUCAUAGAAGCCUCCACCACCUAGGAAUCCUAGGUGGACACUCUAAAAAGAGACAAAUCCUAGAAAUUCUAAAAAAAGAAAAAAAUAAUAACAAUAAGAUUUUUUUGCAGUCAAUUACAUAUAUUUUUUUGAGACACCGUGCUGCUAGCUCUUGCCAUUGCGACCAGUAAAGCAAGCAGAUAGUAAGAUGACAUGCGUGUGGAUUGAUUAAAACAAAUUCAGUUAGUUGAUUCUAAAUCGUAUGUAUCCUAAAAGGAAGAUAUGUGCGUGCAUGGUCCCUAGCGAUGACAUGUAGACAUGUAUUGCAAUUUCUUUUUUAAAAAACAUGUCUAUCUCUAAACCAACAAACAGAAAAAAUAUCAAUCUAAAUCUAAAUCUCUUCCGUUCUCACACGCCUAUUAAAGAGAAGACAACCAAUCCCAUCCAUGUUCCAUAGAAUCCAUCUAAAAGCUUGCUCACUGCGGACGGCAUUUGACGGCAAAUCAAUGAAAGAUCAUCCUCUCCAAAUAGCUGGACGGCAUCACCAUCUUUAUCUCACCAACCUACAGAGCUACAACGAUGUUGUAGAGAUCAACUAGGUAACCUACCAAUCACCCUCCCCUUUUCUAUAUGCUCUAAAGAACACGUGGAGUAAUUAUAGGCCUAUAGGAGCCGACUAACCUAGAUUAAUAUGAAAAAUAUUCCAAUAUUAAAAGCAAGCAGAUAGUAAUACUUGCCUUUGACCAUUUUUCUAGAACUGUUAUUCCUAUUGAAUGUUCAAGUGCUACGGCCAGGCAUCGAAUGCCUGCACGGAACCUUCCUAUUGAAUGGUUACUCUAGAGAUCAACGCACCGCGAGACAUUUUUAUGGAAUUUGUUUGAUUCCCCUUCUACAAUUAGAUUAAUUUUUCAUGGCAUAUAUUACUACUAUUAAAUUAUUUGUUUAUUGUCGGGCCUGCUGCAUGUGUGGUAUAUAUGACUUGCUUCUCACCAUUGUUCUCAAACUAUUAUUCCUAUCGAAUCUUUCUAUCGAAAUAUAUUUUAAUUACUUGAUUGUUGUUUGUGUACCAUAACUUCUGUAUAGAAAAAUUCCAUGUUUGUAGAUAAUGUCUUUUGUAUAGAAAAAUAGCCCAAUUAGAUCCAUCACCAUCUUUUGCUUAUGUAGUUGAACAAGUUGCAAUGUUGAACAAAACUUUAAGUGAAAUUAGACCAGGAAAAGGAAUUGUGGAACAUUAAGGCAAGGGUAACCAGAUUGUGGAAUGCAACCUUACUCAGUAGUGGCGAACAAUUAAGUCUUGACAUGAUCCUUAUUGAUCAAAAGGUAUGAUAGAUGUUCACUUUGAUUGCAUUAUUGGUAUAAUUUUUGGUUUACAAAUUAUUAAUGAUGAUGCAAAAUUAGGGAACCAUGAUCCACGGUGUUAUCAAUAAGCCCUAUAUGAAAAAGUUCAAACCAUUGAUUGAAGAAGGCAAUGUGUACAUAAUUGCAAAUGUCAGAAUCACACCAGAACCACAGAAGUAUCGGCCAGUGGAAAAUGACAGGAUAGUCAACUUCUUACCCACAACUGCACUAAAAACGAUCAAAGAUACUGAAGACAUUCCAAAGUAUAGUUUUAACUUCAUGAGCACGGAUAUGCUUUCAGCAAGAAUAAAUGUGGACAUGUACCUAUUAGGUAAAACAUUACUGGCUUUUCAAUUUUUACACUUCCACUCAUUAAAUGACCAUCUAAUAAUAAUACAUAUUUAUGUUUCAUAGAUGUUAUAGGUAUCUCAGCUCACAUUGGACCGAUAGAAGAAACAAGGACAAACUUCGGAUUUACUAAAAUCCGUGAUAUUGUGCUCCUGAUCGAGUAAUUCUCUUUUCUUUUGUAGAAAACAACUACAAAACUUUCAACAUUUACAUGUAUGUUAUAGAACUUCUGUUGAACUAAAAAAUAUCUUCUACAGUGCCCCUACAAAUAAUUAAUUUCGUAGUUGGAUAUUUAAAAUAUUUAUUAUUCACUUUUAAAUUUGUGGCCAUGAAGUUAAAGUUAGAUUUUGGGGAGACAAAGUUGAGGAAGUUGAUGAUAAGACAAAAUCCCAUGUCAUUGCAAUAACAUCUACAACUGUGAGUAAAUUUGGCAGUAAGUCUUCAUUCAAUAUGAGUUAUUCAAUAUUAGUCAUUCAACAAACUAACCUCGUAAGAAAAAUAAAUAAUUGAUGUUUUAUCAGGGUAUUCUCUAUCGUCAACCAAUGCAACAAAACUUUAUGUAGAUCUACCUAUUCCUGAAACUAAGGAUGCACAUGAUAGGUGAGAAAAAUUAGAUAUUGUUUUUCUAUUUUAAUCUAUGUAGCAUGCACUCUAACAUGAUACAUUCUUUCAUAUGAUAAAAAAAUGUUAGUUCAAUUGAAAAUAUUGUCAAAGAGAUUCAUAUUGAGGACCAUCUAAAAGGGACAUUGGAAGACCAAAUGCAGUACAAUAGAAGAACUUUAGAAGAAUUAAAUUUCAUAUUAUUUGAAACAUCAAAUCAGGUAUGGAUUAGUAUGUUCAUUGUACACUAUACUAUUUAAAGACUUACAUACAUAAUGAUGGUAUUGUUCCUACUUUCAGGAUGAGGUAUUUACUAUUGAAGCAACAAUAAAUGAAAUUAAUGCAACAUAUGGUUGGUUGUCACACCCGAUUUUAAGGACAAAAUUGAGUGCAUUAAAUACAUGUGCACCAGGAUCAAGUUACACACAUCCUAUGAGUACCGUCCUUCUUUGGCACAAAGAUAACCGGUGCUCCCCAUGGUGAUGAACUAGGCCGAAUAAACUAUUUUGCUGAUAAUUCCUCUAGUUGUUGUUUCAAUUCUUUUAAUUGUUCAACCAACAUUCUAUAAGGACGUUUGGAGAUAGGUGCAGUACCAGGUAAAAGAUCAAUAGCAAAUUCAAUGUCGCGGUCAGGUGGCAUACCUGGUAAAUCGUCGGGGAACACAUCCGGAUAGUCACACACCACUUUGAUAUCUUCCAAGGAUUUUCCAGCCAACUGAUUAACUGCACAAUCUGCUGCUGAGGGUAGAGUAGCUACAAACUCCACUUUCUCUCCAUCAGGACCUGUUAGCAGAACUGUCCUCUUGGCACACUGAAUCGUUGCAUCAAAAGCGGCUAACCACCUCAUCCCCAGAAUUACAUCGAUUCCACUGGACUCAAGGACGAUAAGAUCAGCCGGAAACUCUAUACCCAUUAUUCUCAGUUUAACUUGUGGACAGAUGUAUUGAGCCUUCAUUGACCCCCCAGGUGAACUCACUAGCAUAUGACGCCUCAUGGUAUGCAUGGGUAAAUUAUGCUUUGCUACAUAAUGACUAGUGACAAAAGAAUGCGAUGCUCCAGAGUCAAAUAAAACUGAUGCGGGGGCAGAGUUGACAAAGAACAUACCAAGCACUACAUCUGGAGCCUCCUUAGCAGUCUCGGCUUCCAUGUGGUUCACCUUGCCACAAACAAAGCUUUGCUGCCCCUGAUUGCCUUGUGGGGUCUGGUUCCCAUUCCUCGGUUGCUGCAUCUGAUUCUGCCGAGGAGCACUGCUGUUCUGCACGGGGGUAGCUGGCCCACCUCUCUUAGGACAAGAGCUGGCAUAGUGACCAACCUCGCCACACUUGAAGCAGGUAGGACCCACUGGAGCAUUGGGCCUUGUUGGAGUGCCAGUAGGGGUCAUCUGGCGGUUCUGCGUAAAGCUUGGGCGCGGAGUCUGCAUAGUCUGCAUCCCUGGAUGCUGGAACUGAGGGCUAGGGCGCUGGAAUGACUGCUGAGCAGGGCGCGGAAAUGAGUGCUGCCAAAAAUUCCCACUCGGGCCCCCUGCGCGGAACGGCGUCCCUUGCUGUGGAGCAAAGCGAGGGCGGGUGUUGCUUCCUGAAGACUACUGGGAAUUGAAUUUCCUCUUCAUCUCCCCGAGCUCGUUCCUCUUGUGUUCCAGGCCAAUUGCCUUGUCUAGCAUCUUCUGGAAACUGGGGAAGGUGUGCGACAUAAGCUGAUAUUGGAGUGGUCCAAUCAACCCAUCCAAGAAUAGCUCCUGCUUCUGCUCAUCAUCAGCAACAUCUUCGGGAGCAUAUCGGGACAACUGGACAAACUUGUCCCUGUACUCUGCCACUGUCAUGUUCCCCUGCUUGAGAGCAAGGAACUCCUUCUUCUUAAGCUUCAUCAAUCCGGAAGGAAUAUGAUGACUUCUGAAGCUAGUCCUGAAUUCAUCCCAGGUGAUGCCAUUAGCAUUGGCAUGGGUGGUGGUGUAAGCAUCCCACCAAUCAGCAGCUGGCCCUUCCAGGCGUCCUGAAGCAUACAGGACCUUCUCCCUGUCAGUACAUUGGGCGAUAUCCAGCAUCUUCUCCACUGUUUUCAGCCAAUCAUCAGCAUCUAAUGGAUCCGGAGAAUGUGAAAACGUCGGGGGCUUGUGGCUCAUGAACUCCCUAUGCCUGUCCCUUGGCGGCGGCUGCUGCUGGUUGUUGUUGUUGUUAUUGUUCAGCUGAGCUUGUAAAGCUGCCACGGUGUUGGUCAGUCCGGCGAGAAGCUGAGUCUGAGCUGCUAGAAACUGCUCCAUCCCUGCAGGUGCUUGUUGGUUCUGUUGCGGAGCGGUGUUGGGAUUGCUGCUGUUGUCCCUGUGGCGUGGCACUGUGGGACGGUCAACUCCUGAUCCGGACCUGGUGUUUACCAUCUGAGCGUUAGAGACAAUGGAUUUAGAUAGAUGUGUGAAAGAAUAACUGAGAAAGAUAAAGCGACCAGAUGUAAAAGUAACACAGAUUCUGUUAGCUCCAUUUAAUUAGGUGUGGUCGUCAGAAGAAGUGUCCAUAAAUUCUGAACAAUUACCAAGUCGUAACUUAUUAAAUUUGUAAACCAACCCAACUGGAAUCAUCUCAAUCGGACUUCUGGAUCUCGAGUUACAAAAUUAACAAGCUGACAGUGUCGGUCGAUAGGUUCAGAUUCUGAGUGCUUUACUAAUUCGCAUACACCUCCCAGACAGAUACACCAAAAAUUCUGAAAAAUUUACAGAUAGUACUCCACGAAAUUCUGAAACUAACCCCACUGGUUUCAUGUCAUUUGGACUUCUGUAGCUAGAGAUAUAAAUAAAAAAGUACUGGCGUGUCAGUUAAUGUCGAGAACAGAAUUGAAUGUCGCUUAGCUUGCGUGAUGGAUAGAUUUAGACAGAUGGUAGAUCAUGAUUAAGGAAGAUUAAAUACUGAUUUAGAACAGAAAUAAAACCCAACUAAGCACUUUAUUUAUUAAGACCAGUAUCGUGUGGCAAUUGCCCCACAUACCGCACUCAUUACAAAAUCCAACUCAAACAUGUAGCACAAAACCAAUCAUCUAAGCACACUUUAACUAACACACUCGAACGACGUCUAACGAUUACAAGAAUUUAAACUAAAACACUCCUAAUUUCCUAGAGGUCUUCUGCGGCGGUGCCGGGCGAGUCGUAGCGGGGACGCUUAGGCGACGGCGACGAAGCGGGAUGAACAGCAAACUCCUGCGGCGGCGGUGCUCCCGUCGCGGCAGCCAUAUUCGCAUCCCUCUCCCACCGGAGUUCCUGAACCUCCUGUUGAAGCUCCUGGAUGUGGUUGUUUGCUUCAUUCAAUGCGGUGAGAGCUGCCGACGUGUACUUGCGGAGGAAGUCUGUAGCCAUGUCAACCCCAUCGUUAGUAGCGAUGAAGGUUCUUGCUUCCCCACUAGCUCGGUAAGGAAGGAACCGAUGGUAAGUGUGCUGCAAUCGCGGCCGUUCCUUGUGGGAGACGACCUCAAGUGCCCUCCUGGCGGCCUCGGCAAUGCCGGAUUCCAUGGUCCUCCUUAUGGUCACAUCAUGGUGAAAAGCCUUCACCUCCCAUCCUCCCUCGUGCUCCUCACGAAGGACAACCUUCACCUCCCAAAAAGUGGGAUAGCGAGGGUGGGUGAACCGGGAGCACUUGUAGAGUGGCCUCAUGCCGUACCCCAAGCGGUGACAAGUCCACCUGAGUAUGUCGGCCAUGUGCACUCCUUGGCCAUAAUCUUCCUUCACCCAUUUGAUCCAUGUCUCGGGCUCGGGAUCUGCUUCGGGCUCAUCAUCCGUCAAGUCGACGACCGGUACGGGCGUCGGGGCUGGUGCAGGAGCGGGCGCCGGUGCUGGCGACGGUGCUGGUGACGGCGUGGUCUCCUGCUCCACGGUCACGGCGUCCCCGUCAGAGUCAUCCCCCGGAUGCUGGAAGAUCUCUUCCUCUUCUUCCUCGUCCCAAGGCUCCAUGGGGGCGUACGACGGCGCGAUGCCAUGACGCGGCGGACGGGUGCUCUUGCGUGCGGUCAACCGGGUGCGAGCCAUCUAACAGAAAGAAAGAAGAAAAUUUUAGAAUAAAAUUUUGAACAAAGCUAGAUAAUAAAAUAGCAAUAAGGAUGAGACAAAUCAAGUUUAAGAAUAAUUAAGUAGAUUUAAAUUAAGAAAGGUAGGAAUGGCUACUAGAUUAUUAUAAUCCUUAAAUACGACCAUUUUCUAACUAGGCUAACGUCCUACAGUCAACACGGCUCUGGUACCACUUUUGUCACACCCGAUUUUAAGGACAAAAUCGAGUGCAUUAAAUACAUGUGCGCCAGGAUCAAGUUACACACAUGUACGACAAUAGUGAAUAGUAAAGCCAGUGCUAAAUCGAAUAAAGAGAGUAUUAACCAUUAUUACAUGACCGAAUGUCUCAAAUAAACCACAAAGUCUAAUUAUUACGCAGCGGAACUCCAAAGAUGACGACGACUCCAUAGGCAGCUGACUGAAGAAACGUACGCCUAGAACUCCUCGAAGUCGUGGAAGUACUCCUCUUCCCAAUUAACUUGGUCUGAACAGCGGUUUUGCAAGGGUGAGUACACUUAUGGUUGGUACUCAACAAGUCGUGGGAAGUAGUGUAGUGUAAGGCUAAUUCAAGGUAUGGCUAAGGCGUAAAUAGCAUUCGCUUUUAAUUAAGUUGGUCAAAUUUUAUUAGCAUUUACUAAGUAUAAGUUCAUACCACCCGAAAUUAAACAUGAACAUAAAGUAAACCACAUGUGCAUGAAAUGAUAACAAAUUAAAUCCAUCUUCCGAUAAUAUUAUCAUGUGAGGGUCCAGGCCGCUCUUAACCGUGAGCACGGCUGAUUGAUCAGUUUAACACUCUGCAGAGGUGGCACAUCUUUACCCACAAGUCGCGUAAAAGUUCAAAAGAACUUUGGACCCAACCAUGCGGUGUUUGCAAGGCACCAUACCACACUUCCGAGGUGUGAUUGCAUAGGGACGCUACGAGGCCUUUACAAAGAUUCAUUAAUCAGUGGUAACCCGCUAAGGUUUCGGUGUCUGGCGUGCACCACCCAUCCCAGGUAAAAUGCAACGACUCAGUCCCCCCCCUUGAAUCAUCACGAGUAAGGUCACCCCAGACUAAGGUUUCUAAUUAAUCAGCCAAGACCAGAGCUAUUUAGUCUUGUGGUAGCACUGUUUUCCUGGGUGGUCGCUCCAUGUUCUGAUUAACAAAUAAUGAUCUUGUCUUAAUGAAAGGUAUAACAGAAAUAAGGCAAGAUUAAGCAUUGUUUUUAGUUAAACCACCAUGUACCAAGUAAGCACUAAGCAUGAGCUACCCAACAUAAAGUAAACCGGUUGGUCAAGGCAAAGGUAAAACAAUCUAGGCCAACCUUAAUUGGGACCCAUCAAUUUAAUCUUAAUAUGUGCACAGCAUAAAUGUUGAGUACGAGAAAGUAAAGGUGUAUAGGACAAAAAGGUAGUGAUCAAGGACACGACUUGCCUUCUUGGCCUUGCUCCUGCUGUUCGUACUCCUCGAAGGCUUGAUCGGCAACUCCCUCGAACUGCGGGGCGUCUACACGCAUCACACGAGCACAUACAAGCAAACAUGGGCAAAAGUAAGAAAACAGUAUACCAAACAUAGUCAAACAGAGAAAACAAGCUUGAAAAGAUGAUCUACGCUUUAAAACGAACACGCGGAUAUAAAGAACGCGAAAAACGGAGUUAAGAUGCAAAAGAUAUGAUUAAAACAAAAUCCAGGGACUUUUCUGUAAGAAAAACAAAACUUUUAGGGCCUAUCCGCGAAAACCGAGGGCUUAUACGUAAUUAUGCGUAUAAACCGAGGGUCUGAUGCGUAAAAACAUCAAACCCGGACGGCGGGUUGAUUUCUGGAAAGGUCAAGGGUUAAACCGAAAAAUGCGAGGGCAGAUCUGUAAAUACUUUCAACGCGAUCUGGACCGCGGGUUGAUUUGCGAAAAAGGCGGGGGCUAAAGUGCAAAAACUGCACGGCGCGGCUCGGUUGACCGGUACGCGAUCUUGAUUGACUCGCGUCCGGCCGUCGGAUUAAGAUCCGACGGUCGCGGUGAUCCGCGACAUCGCGGCGGCGGCGGCGAGCGGCGGCGAGCGGCGGCAAGCGGCGGCGGGUCGCCGGAGUUAGGCAAAAUAGCGCCACGAGGCACGGUUUAACGCGCGGGUUGCACCAAAAAAGAGAGGGGAACACGUCGAUCCCGUUUUGGGGGUUCUUGUCGACGGGGGCUCACCGGCGACGGCGAACGGCGGCGAGGAAGAGGCGGCGGCGCUAGGAGCUCGGGCGGCUAGGGUUUCGGGGAGCUGCGGCGCUGGUUUUGGGCGGAGGAGACUGGGAGGAGGCGGCGGCUUUUAUAGGGCUUGGAGAUAGAGCCGGCGCGGGUUCAAAUCCCCCGGAGGAGUCGGAGCGGAUGGAGUCCGGGGCGGAGACGGCGCGCGGCGGUUGCGGAGUUCUGACCGGAUUCGGCCGGAGGUGGGAGACGAUGGGUGGGGUCCACCCGUCAGUGGCGGAGGGGAGCGGUAGACGGGCCGGCGCGACCGUGGGCUGGCGCGCGCUCGUGGGCUGCGGGGAGCGGGAGAGAAGCGGCGAGCGGGCGCUGGCGGAGCAGGCCGAGCGGAGGUAGAGCUGGGCCGCGGAGAAAAAGGAGGAGGCCGGCGGGCUGCUUCGCAGGCCGGUAAGGAUGAGGCGGCCGGGCCGAAGAAGAAAAAGAAAAGGAGGGACAAGGAGCUUUCGGCCGAGGGAAAAGAAGAAGAAAAAGAAAAGGAAGAAGAAAAGGGAAAAGGUUUUGGAAUUUGAAUUUAAAUCUGAAAUUCAAAAUUUGAUUCAAACUCAAGCAACCAAAAAUUAUGCUCCAGCAUGAAUGCACAAAUAAUUCCUAUGAUGAAUUAAUUGAAUUAAAGAAAAUGAAUUUAAAUGCCUAGAAAUUAAAUAACACCCUAAUUUGAGCAAAUUUUAAUGAAUUUGAAUUAUUGAAAUUUUGGGUGUUACAUUGGUACUACAUCUCAUGUAGUAGAGGCGAUUGUAAGAAGCAACUUGAAAAGAAGUUUGAUCACUACUAUUGCAAUAAAUGUGACAAGAGAGCCGAACCUAAAGCCCAGUAAAUUAUUUAGUAGUUUACAAUCUUAUUAUAAUACUUCUAUUUCUAAUAGGAGAAUAAUAUUUUCAGAUUCAAAUUAAGCUUCAAAUAAGUGAUCCAACAACAAGUGCAACUUGUGUACUUUUGACAAGGAAGCAGAAAUGAUAAUUAAUGAAUGAGCAGAUUCGAUGAUCACCUCAGUUGAUCAUGAUAAUAAGUAGCUACCAAAAUCAAUUCAGGAAAUAUGUGAAGAAACAUUGAUUUCUCAAUUCAGAUUGACCGAGUACAACUUGACAAGUUUUAGACCUGAUUAUACUGUUUCAAAGAUAUUUUUUCCAAAAGAAAAGGGCAGUUCAAGAAUUGGUAUGGAAAGUGUAAAAAAGGUAACACUUUAUUAUUAAUUUUUUAUUGCACUUUUUUCUUUUGAAUCCGUAAUACUUAAUAAUUUUACUAUAUCAAUGAAACAAAUUCUAACCUAAAUUUAUUUUCUUUUUUAUUAUUUGUAGGAAGUAGAAGACAACUCAGACAAAUGCUACACGAUAACUACCGAGAAUGAAGAGGUAGACACUGAUGACUCUUUUACCGAGAAAGUAACAUUCGUAGAAGAAGCCAUAAGGACUGGGGAAAGAUUGGCUAGAAAAGUAUACUCACUUCCAUGUCAGUGUUCAUUCUAUUUACAAUACAUGCAAAAAAAAUAUUAUUCAUGCAAAAUUGCAGGUCUACUAAGCAUUAAAGGAAUAGCGGAUAGUGCAAUAUGUAAUCUGAGCAGCAUGCAUUACAAAGUGCUCUACUGCAAUUAAAUUAAAAAACAUGAUAUAUGUUGAAUUCUUAGACUUUAUUAUUAUACUUUUCUACGUGACAAUUCACAAUUUUUUAGAAAAAAGAAGAUCCCAGAAGAAGUGACCAUGAAAAAAGGUCUAUGACCAGCAAUAAGAAAAAAUGCAAGCAUAGAAACAAAUCCGUAGAAAACAUAGAAAAUAAGGUACUCCAUAAACAAAAGUAUUCUCUUAUAUUUUUAUUAAAUAUUUUUUUAACACUUGACAAGUUCUUUUUUAGGAUCAAUAUAUCAGCAAUUCAGAUGUCAUUGGAGAUGAAACCUUAGUUCAUCCAAAAGGUCAAAAAAAAACAUCUGAAGAAAGGUGUUUGGCUGAAAAGGAAAAGCAAAAAAGUGGUAAUGCAGACAAACACAUGCAGAAAAAUAUAAAAACAUGUCAUAGGGAGGCAGACCAAUCUUGCAAGGAGGUAUAGACGAAACGUGAUACACGACCUGCCUACCUUGUCGUGGAUACCCCAAGAAGAUGUCAUAGAGGUGCAGACCAAGCUAGCAAGGAGGUCGAAACGUGAUACACGGCCUGCCUACCUUGCCGUGGAUAUUAGCCCUGAGAUCAUUCUACUGUUCAAGGAAUAACACUCAAUGCUGCUGCUGCUGCUGACCUGGCUCCAUAAAGUUAUACUCCUCUAGGUGCUUGCACUAACUUUAUCUGAAGUAUUAUUCUCUCUGCACUGUAUAUAUGGUUAUGGAGUUUGCUGGAGUAUCCGGGGCGAAGAACCUACAUAAUACGUCUUGGAACUAAUUGACAUUGAUUCACAGACAAACUCUACAAGGUGCUGUUCUUGCCAUUUUAGAGCAUCCAAAGGACUAUAAAUAACAUAGUUUACCAUAUACCAUAUACCAUAUACCAUAAUAUGUUAGCUAAAAUAAGAGCAUACACAUGUUGCAGGAGUCCAAAAGCACCGGUUGAGGACCAGGUACAUUGAAUUACUAGAAAAAGACAGGGGACAAGGUUUAGGUAACCACAUGAAACAUUUGAAUUUAUUGUACUAUGAACACUUAGUUACCAUGCCAGGAGCACAUAGUUAACACUAACAUUUAGCCACUUUAGAUCAUCCCGAAUCACCAAUGACCCUCAAUAGUGACAAAUUUUGGUUUAAAUGCCAUCACCAAUGAUCCUCAAUAGUGACGUAUUUAGGUUUAAAUCCCGUCACUAAUAACCCUCAAUAGUGACCUGUUUUGGUUUAAAUCUCAUUACCACUGAUCCUCAAUAGUGAUGUGUUUUAGCAAAACAUGUUAUCAAUGACUUGUCAUUGGUGACGUGUUAAAACGCGUUAUCUCAAUGGCAAAUCAUUGGUGACGUGUUAUCUCAAUGUUAUCAAUGUUCUAUUCUUUUCAACAAUACCAGCUCGUUCCUCCGUUUUUAUUCCACCAAUACAAGCACCACCUUGUAACAUUUCCUAUGUUUUUUUUCCUUUUGUCUGUUUUCUCACUACAUGCGUUGCUCUUUCAUGCAUUUUUUUCCAUUCCUGUAUUCCAAAUAGGUCUACAUGAACACAAAAUGAACUAGGGGACAGAAAAAGCCAGUGAAGCCAAUUUUGAGCUUCACCAGCUACUUGCUACAUAAAGUGUGCUAUAGUGACGUGUUUUAGCAAAACAUGUUAUCAAUGACUUGUCAUUGGUGACGUGUUAAAACGCGUUAUCUCACUGGCAAAUCAUUGGUGACGUGUUUUAAAAAAACAUGUCACCGUGAGAGUCAUUGGUGAAGGGUAAUUAAAAUGCGUCACUAAUGUUGUAGCAUUAGUUAUGAUAAUUUAGUAACGCAAAAAUCUACCAUCAGUAUUGAGCUUUAGAGCCAUCGCUAAUGUGGGUUUCUUACAUAGUGAUGCAAGCUCUACAAGGUGCUGUUGCUGCCAUUUUAAAGCAUCCCAUGACUACAUGUUAAUAACAUAGUUUACCAUAUAUCAUAAAAAUAUUAGUUACAAUAAGCACAUACGCAUGUGGAAGAGUCCGAAUGCACCGGUUGAGGACUAAACACAUUGAAUUACUAGAACCAAAUGUAUGUUUAGAACAAAGACAGGGGUCAAGGUUUGGGUAACCGCAUUAAAAACAUUGGAUUUUACUGUACAUGAACACUUAGUUACCAUUACCAUGCCUUGAGCACCUAGUUACAACAAACAUUAAUUUAGCCACUUUAGAGCUUCCAGAAUCGCUAUAAAUAAUAUACCUACGCCGUACCAUGAAAACAUCAAGAAGAGAGACGGAUACAUGGACCACCAUCAAGCGAGUAGUGACAGCACGCACAAGAAUACCCGGAACCUGUUAGCUUGUCUGUAGUGAUCUGUUUUCUUCCCCAUAAAAUCCAUGAGUAUUGCCACAAAUAAUGAAAGAGGCUGACCAAGCUAGCAAGGAGGUAGAGCAAACGUGAUACACGGCCUGCCAAGAUUGCCCUGGAUACGCCAAUAAGAGCGACAGAUACAUGGAUCACACCAAUAUGGUGAAACGUAUAUUCAUCACACAAGCAAAGCUGGUCAGUUUAUCCAUGGUCAAAUUGUGGUCUUUGUUUUCACUUGAGAGCUAAUUGAGGCACUAUAAUAUGGGCAGGCCUAUCUUCAACAGACAUGACAGCUACAGGGAACUUGACAUAAUUUGCUGGGCCGCCUGUGCACAAUUAUUUGUUUUAUUGUCCUUGCAUAGAAUGCUAAAAUACUCUUUACAAAAUGUUGGAUCUAAUAUUUGAAAUAUAGAGUAGUAAUCAUAUAUUGAUCAACAACUUGAAAUUAUCUGUACAUUCUCGGUGAAGCUGUUGAACUAAUUUUUGCAAAUUAUUAAUUCAUCUCAUUACGUAAAGAAAAAAGUAAGUGGAUAAGAUAUUUCGUGGACCACAUCACUGCAAACAUGUCAUGGAGAGACAGACCAAGGAGGCAGGACGUGAUACACGACUUACCCUAGGUUGCCGUGGAACCGCCAAGAAGAGAUACAGAUACAUGGACCACACCAUCUUGGGAGUAGUGACAGCAUAUAUGCAGAAGAAUACCCCGUGCCUAUUUGCAUGCAUGUCUCAAGUGAUCUGUUUUCUUCAGAAAAUACAUGAGCAUUGCCAGAAAGAAUGGCAAGAGACAAACAUGUCAUAGAGACUUGCAUGUCUUGCCUUGGAUACGCCAAGAAGAGGGACACAUACAUGGAUAACACAAAUCUAGUGACACGUAUAUUCAUCACAAAGGCAAAUCUGAUAAUUUUAUCCAUGGAGCAGACCAAGGAGAAAUUGAUGACGGACAUGUGAUCUCUGUAUUCAGUUGAAAGCUAAUUGAGCUACACUAAUAUGAGCAGGACUAUAUUCAAGAGACUUGUUGAGAGCUACAGGGAACUUGUAAUAAUUUGCUGGGCGGCCUGCGCACAAUGAUUUGUUAUACAUAGUUGAAAUAUUUCAAGAAUUUAUCAACCUCAUACUCUGAAACCCUUGGUGCAAUGUACUCUGCUUUCCGAGGUAGACUGUUCACGUAAAAUGAGGUCAUGCGUAAGACGGAAUCGGAUUGGAUUCACAGGGAAUCAGAUUUGGAUAGCACCUUUUAGCAGGUUUUUAGUCAAAUGCAAAUUCGGAUCCACAUGUGGUUGAAUGCGAGUUCAAAAUUCUACUUGGAUAUCCAUUUAAUUUAGGUGAUAGCAAUUAGCACAAAAUGUUGGAUGAACAAAAUCAUAGUUAGACAUACAAUUACAUGUAUGGUUAAAGUAUAAUACAAUACACCAAGAUUAUUCCUUGAAAAUAUUUCUUAAAAAUAUUAUAAUAAAUGAAUAAAUAUAAUUGUGGCCACCAACAAAUAGUCGGUGGUCGCUAAGUUGGAGCCAUUUCUGGUUACUAAUGCGGCCUUCUCCUCGACCAGCGACGACAGCUGAGCUUGUUCCUUCUGACACUAAAUCAUCAGAGUCUUCCCUCCACUACUAUAGAAUGCACCUUUAGCACCAAUUGGGAAAUCCCCUUCAGUAUUGGAUGCUGCAACCAGUGCUAUAUAUCAAAAUGGAGACUAAAAGCCUCGGUCUUGGGUACCGGUUGCAUAACGCAUUACUAAAGGAGGCAAAAGAGAAAUGUAACAAAAAAAAUAUUUUGAAUUCCAAGAAUGUUUCACUAUUCAAGAUGACUAGCUGAGAGUCAACAGACAAGAUACUAGGAAUGUGGGUGCUUGAAUGCAUUUGUACAGAGGUCAUACUAUUUACAAACUCUUCUAUGUUUCCAUAUGACUACCUACUUCAAUGUCACGCGAGCCAUUCAGCUGGACACAUGGCACACUAGCUUGCAUGUCGAAUCCAUGAUUAAUUAUUUGCACUUGUGAUCUCUUACCAGUAUUUGUCCAGACUAGAAACGUGCAACACAUUUUUAGGAUAUGGACACGCAUAUAUUUGGACUAGUAUACAGGUCACCUUUGGAUGCGUACAAGGAUGACCGGGAGGGACUAAUGGAUACAAGGAAGGGACCAUCAGGAUUAAUAUUGACAUAUGCCACAUGACAAUCUUCAUUGUCAUGCAAUCCCUAUCAACAAUCAUGGAAUCCCUAGUGUACUAAUCCCUGGAGGGUUGUGUGGAAAUUUAUUUUACCUUGCGGUGAAAAUCUCAUGAGCAGUCAUUAGUUAAGCUGACUAGCUGAGAUAUAAUAGACAAGCUAGUAAGAUUGGGAGCAUCAAUGCAUCCAUACAGGGUCACAAUAUCCUUUCCAUUCACUUUUAUAUAUAACCCUACGAAUACAAGUCCAACGAAAUGCGGGCCUUUCGAUCAAGAUAAAUUAAAUGGCCCACUUGUAUUUCUAAUCCAGGAUUAACUAUGCCCUCUGUUCAUCUCUUGCAAGCACGUGCAACACAUUUUCACGAUAUGGACAUGCAUGGAGGUUAUUAUACUGUUUGGACAAACUCUGAUGUGCCAUGACCUAAAUGCUUAGGGCCUGUUUGGUUUGAGUUGCUUAUUAUAAGCAACUUAAAGUUGCUUAAAGUUGCUUAUUUGAAGUUGCUUAUUUUUAGUCUAAACUGUUUGGAUACCCUUGCUUAUGAGCAUUGAAUGAGUUGGACAUUGUCAAAUUUGCCCCAUGUGUUGCUACCCCUCCAAUUUGCCUCCCCACCCUUCUUCUUCCUGCACACGUCCGAUCCCGGGGGCCGACGGCGGGCAGGGAGCAGCAGCAGCUGGCCAGGGCGGCGGUGGGGCGGGAGCGGCGGCGCACACCAGCACGCGCUCGCACGCCAGGUGCUAGGGCGCGGCGAGGCAGUCGUCGUAGCCCACCGGGAGCGGGUGCUCGGGCGCGAGGCGGUACUCGACGGAGAUGCCGAGCGUCGGGCGCGCGGCGGCGAGCGCGUUGAGGAAGCGAUGGUAGUGCGGCGACGUCGCGGACUCCGCCACGAAGCCGCCGCCGUGGACGUACACCACCACGGGCAGCUUCGUCUUGCCGUCGGCGGCCGCGGCCGCGGCCUGGGGUGGCAGGUAGAGGCGGACGGAGCAGGAGCCGAGGUCGACGUCCCUGGAGUCGACGCCCGUGGCGGCGUCCAGGCUGGGCCCGACCGGCGGCGGCACGAGCGGGCGCUCGAUGCGGCCGCUCUUGUAAAUCCGACGGGUCUGUGCGGAGGCGGGCGGCGGGCGGGAGCGGCGGGUGGGAGCGGCGGCAGGUGGUGCGGAGGCCGGCGGCGGCGGGUGGCGCGGAGGAAGGGGAGCUGGUGAGUGGUGACAGGGGAGGGGGGGAGAGAGAGGGGGGGUAGGGUGCAUUGAAUGAGGGCAGGAGGUGUAAAGUGCACCUUUUAGUCCCCAUGAGCAACCAUAAGCAGCCCAAGAGUUGCUUAUUUGCUUAUAAUAAGCAACCUCAUAAGCAAGAGUGAUUGGUUUCAUAAGCAACUUAUUUGCUUAUUUUAAGUUGCUUAUGCAUAAGCAUGUGAAACCAAGCAGGUCCUUAACCUAUGGUUGUGGCACCACACAGUACAUAGUAUUUAAUAAUGCUAUUCGUUUGGUAUGUGCACAAGGGCACGCAUGAAAUGUCUGGCCCACGGUAAACAAGUACGGACGCUGCAAAUAAUCUACUCUGCUCGUCCAGUCCCUAGCCUAUAAAUAGAUGCCAUGCUAGCUCUUGUUGUGCUCACAAUUAAUCCUGACUACACACGAGCUUCUCUCCCUGGCCAAGACACAAUCAUAGUAUGAUGAAGAACAUGGCACUAGCCGGCAAUGGUAUGAAGAACUUAAUCCUCGCUGUUCUCUUACUGUGUCUAGUUAUAGGGCAGAUACAAGUGGAAGCUAAGAGCUGCUGCCCAUCCAUUACUGCAAGAAAUAUCUACAAUGCCUGCCGUAUCACGGGUACAUCCCGUCCAACGUGUGCAAAACUGUCAGGCUGCAAAAUUAUCAGCGGGGACAAAUGCAAGCCCCCUAACGACCACCUCACCCUUGACCCGGACACUGGUAAAUAAUAAAUUUAUCUCACUUGAUUUCUUCGUGUUUUGAGUCGUUAAUGUAUUUUCCAUCUGAUGAAACGUAUUGGUUUUGCAUUG